UACAUUCAUAUAUGACAGACUAGCCAAAACAACUUUCAACAUUUUCUUUGUCACCAAACAGAAACACUUGAACCUUGAAUUUUAUUUUAUCUCAGUUCAUCAUAUUCCAAGAAGCAAUGCUCUUCUUAGAAGGUUAAUGAGGGACAUCAAGAGAACAAUAAGAAACUUGACAGGGGUUUCGUUCAUCAUAGAAAAUCAAAAGGUGUUUGUCCCAAACGGGAUAUCUGCCAUUAGUCAAAUUUGACAUACAAAAGAACUUACAAAGGAACUCAAAAUGGCCAAAGAUUUUUUUCAAAGAAAAUAUGAACAUUGGACAUUGGGAAAUUCUGGGUGUAGUAUACAAUAACGAGUAGUAGAAGUUCAUCAGCCUCUAGAUGAAAAUCUCAAAUCCCAGGUUUUUCGAUAAGGAAAAUGUUAAUUACUUGGUAAUUCCUGUUUAUCUUUGUUGGUAUUUAUAUUCUUGCCUCACAAGCUGCUAUAUGUUUGCAGCCUACAGAAGCUGGCAAUGGAAGAAUAAACAAAAAACAUUGCUAUAACGUAAUCAACAGCAAUUAUAGAGAGGCAAAUCCGGAGUUUCCAAAAUCAAUCAAAUAGAUACCCAUUGUAGAGCGAAUCAUUCUAAAAGUUUCUCUUUUUGCUCAUGCCGGCAUUUCAAGGAUGAAGAAUCUUACUAUGUCUUCUAUUGGGUCUACAUUUUGAUCUUGGCUGAAACAUCACGUCAGCUUCUGGCCAACUCCCCCACUCCUUCAAUAAUGUAAGACUAGCAAUUUAGACCCUGUCAUGGAAAGCCUUCUUGUCAGAAGAAGAUGGAGAUGUAAAGUUGGUCAUGGAUCUCAGAAGAAAAAUGAUUGUUCAUUGUUGAUGUACCUUUGUUGAAGAAACAUUACUCCUCUCACUGUUGUAAUACGGGUGUAAGAUUUAUUACAUCAUUAUCACCACAAGAUAAUGUUUCCAAAGAGAACUAAAACAUAAACCAGGGACCUAGUUCAUAAUUUCUGUUGACGUGCAUUCCAGAUAAGUUAGGUAUUGCUUCUAAUGAGUCACAACCAGAAAUAUCCAAAUAAAUUAAAUUCAACAUUUCAAGUCCCCGAAGCUGAGCAAGUUUCUUGCAGUCUCGAACACUUAGAAAUCGUAAUUUCUCACAUCCCAUCAAAUUUGGCAAAGUCUCCAUUAAUUUGCAUCCUGUAAAAUCCAACACUUCUAAGGACUUCGCACCGUCAAGACCUUGAAUUUCAACUAGAUUGCGACACCUAGAAGCCUUGAAUUUCUUCAAACACUUGCAAAAAUUUAAAAAUAUGACCUCCAAAGACUUCAAAUUAUCACAGCCCUUAAUUUCAACUAGGCUAUCGCAAUGCUCAAUGCGUAAUCGUUUCAGAUGAAUAAAUCUUGAAAGGCCCAAUGUUUUAAUGGAAUUGCACUUUUUUAUUGAAAGCUCUUCCAAGUACGUGAGUCCGCUGAGCAAAAGUGAUGUCAGCUUAUCCCACUCCUUAAAACAGAGUUUCAAUGUUAUUGAGGAAAGCUUGCGGAUGUCUUCAGGUAAAUGGCAUACCUCAAGAUCGAGUCUUUCUAGGUGGAUAAGGCGAAGGAGCUGUGGCAGUCCAGGUCCAAGGCGCUGACAAGUAACCGACAGACAUGUUAAGCCCAAAGGAAUCUUUGGCAGCGAUUGGAGCUUGUAACAGCCCCUUAGGUCAAGGCUUUGGAGAGAAGAAGGAAGCUCUGGCAGCGACCAGAACUCACUACACUCCCAUUGGUUAAGGAUUUGGAAACAAGAAAGAUUCCAGAUGCUUUCUGACAGGUCAGAUAUCGGUAUCACAUCGAGAUAGGUAGUCUGGGGGGAAGGCAAGUCAUCGAUUUCACUUAGAAUUGUCCCUUCCAGACUACUGCACUGGUUGAGAUUUAGAAACUGUAGAUUUUUCAACCCUCCAAUAGCAUUGGGAAGCUUUUUGAUCGCAGUACAUUGCAAGUUAAGGUAUUGCAAAUUCUGUAAAUCCCCAAUUGAGCUGGGGAUUUCUCUCAGUGACUCACACAUGAAGGCACUCAGUGUCUUCAAUUUCCUCAAAGAACCAAUAGACGAAGGAAUUGCUGUAAUACCAGAUUCACCUAAAAGAAGCUCUUCUAAAUCUUUUAAUCCACCCACCUCCUCUGGUAGCUCUUUGAGACCUCUACAGGAAUACAAGCCCAAGGUAACGAGGCUUGUGAGUUUGCCAAUAGAAGGGUGGAGAUGCUCCAAUCCAUCACAAUGGUUCAAUAGGAGAAUUUUCAACUGCGUGAAAGCUGAGAGUUCAGGAGUACAUCUUAACUUAGGAAAACCUUGAAUGCAGAGAACUUUAAGCUGCUUUGACGCCUAAUACAAAAGGAGAAUAAUCCGUCAAAUGAGGAGUUGAUUGGCUAAACAAAAAACAAACCUCAAGAUCGCAGAGAGGAUGUAUUCUUUUCCCAAUCUUACCAUGAAUGAAUUCCAUCCUUCCCAAUUCUCUGUGAUUCCUUCCCAAUACUCUCUGAUUCCUUCCCAAUCCUCUUCACUCUCACCCUCCAAUAAGUUCAGCACCGAUAAUUUUGGCAAAUGAAAGUUGAUCGUCGAAAGAGACGCAUCGUUUCCAGGAACGGCCCACUCAAACCAUCUCACUUCAGAAAACUUGGAAUCUCCGCUAGAAGCUGCCCCCAAAAAGUCGUGGAACCAGGGGUGUCUCUGCAAGUUUUUUCACUUUUUAGUUUUUGCUUUUUUUAAAUCUUGAAUUUGCACGAUUACCUUUUUAUCCUUCCCCUAUACAUGUAUGGAUAUGUAAACUCACAUUUAUUUCUUUCUUUUUUUACGACCUUUUGAAAGUUAAACAAAUGACGCAAAGAUAAAGAAAAAAAUAAUUAUUGCUUUAAAACAACUAAGGCAAAUGCACCUCAAUGUUUCAUCUCUUGCUUCUUCUUCUUUUUCAAAAUUUUGUAGCGCAUGGAUUUUCACUUUCAUUUAAGAAGAAAUACAUAAAACUAGUUUACAACGUACAAAUGUUUACUUAUAAAUUUUUAAAUGACUUACGUAUAGUUUUUAAAAGAAUUUGUUAAAGAGUGUCAACGGGCCACCUGUAAGUAGCUAAGGAAGCACCCUAUUUUCAUUUCAUUAGUUAAAUGUAAUAAUGUGGAAGAGAAAAAAAGGGGGAAUUUUUAAUAUAUUCAGAUAUAUAGAAAAGUUUACGUGGAGGGAAAUUAAAAGAAAUCAAAUAUGAUAUGCAUUAUCAAAAUAGAUAUAGAAAAUUAAAAGAAAUAUCCUUAUCUCUAGAAGGUAUCUAAAUAUCUUUAACGUCAUUAACUAUUUGCGUGAAGUGUUUACUCAUUUCUUUGACAAUUGAAAGACCAGGAUUGAAAAAAAUAAGUCGCUUUCAGAAUAACUAGAAAAUGAACCGAUUAACUAAAAAGUGCCGUGGUAACAAUGUUUAAUCAUCAUACGUUGGCUUCCAUAAGAAUAGCAUCGUUUCUUUUUCCAUCUUAUAAAUAAAAAAACAUACUGUUUAACUUUCCUGCUAAAACAGAUCAUUUCAUUAGUUGCAGACGGUGAAAGAAAUUUCCUUAUGGCUUUAUUUGACUUUUAUAAUAAUACCUAUAUUUUCCCCCAAAAGUUUAAUUGGUUAGAAAUUCACUUUUAUGGUUAGACACGUUUGUCUUUAUAUCUGCUUUAAAUAUUAACCAGUGAAAUGCAAUGGGUAUAAAUUCUCUUAAGUCUAUUCGUCUGAAAAGUCACUAAAUUGUUGUAAUCACCAUCCCACACUAUCUUUAAUAAUUUUCGCUCGUACAUUGAUCUAUACUAUGUAUUACAUUAAAAAAAAUCUAUUGUAUGGAAAGGGGAUUUCAAACCUCAAACUUUCGUCAAAAGUUUCCACACAAUUCGCAUAUAUUUCACCAAAAUGAACUAAAGAAAUAGGAUAUAACAAAAUAGACAUAAUCAUAUUUGAAAUAGUCAAUUGGAAAUUAGUCCCAUAAGUAUUUCAAUUUCCAAAGUUAAAUCAAAAUCUCUCGAAUUGUACAAUAAUCAUUUUUUUCAAUGUUAUUUAUCAUCUUUCAGCAUUUUUAUCCAUUCAAAACAGAAUUGACUUUUCUUUUUCAUUUUUCCAAACACCUAAAUGGUGUGCUCUUUUUGCUAAUGUUAAGAAGUUAUUGGAUCAACAAAAGAGACUGAUAUUAAAUCAUAGGAACGAAAUCUCUUGGUCAAUUUCUAGGGUUAAUUCCUCAUCAUUGAUCAGCCAUGAGCCUGUGAAGCUUUUUAGAUGGACAAUAUAUAAUAAAAUGACAUGAACAUUGAUAAUCUAAGUAAAAGAUAAAACAUAUUUGAAAAAAUUGGCUUCAUGCUGAAAAUCAUAUAUGAUGAAUACAAGGUUAUGGAUAUAAUAAUAAGCAUGACAUUUCCUCCAAUUAAUCAAGUUUUCUUUGUUUAUUUUAAAAGAGUCAAGUUAGUGUAGUGAAUUCUGGUACAAAAGAGGCAUUGUCCCAAAAGAUAUAAAUAAUAUAAAACAACUUAUAGCGGAUAGAAAUGUCCGUUAUAAUGAAAUCCACUCUUUCUUAUACACCUAGACCUGACCUAAUCCAUGAAAUGAGCAAGGUCAAUGCGAUAAAUCCUUAGAAAACAGUAAGAUUUUCUCGUAUAUAUUUUUUGCUAUCUAUUAAGAGGAAAUAAGAAUGAAAAGAGAUAGAUCUAAAUAACUAGCACAGGGACGGUAUCUUCCAAAUCAAAAUGGAGAAAAAAAAUAUCAAACAUUCGAUUCCUAAAUCACAAGAGCACCACAAUACAUUCAGCCGUAAUAGAAAGCAAACAUAUGUGACAAGUGUGAAAUUUUUUUCCAAUCUUAUUUUUGAAUUAAUUAUCGGUUAUUAUACUAUCCUCUUUUUUUUUUAAAAAUCAGGAAAUCUUCAUUUAUUUGAUCUACGAUGUUUAUAUUUCAUCUUCAUUCAUAAUUAUAGUCCUUGUAAUUAUCAAUAUUUUCAACUAGUUAUGACAAUGGCAUGCUUUUAGUAAAUGAGUUUUAUAGAGCAAAAUUGUAGUUAAAAGAUCUUAAAUUGAUUGUCAAGCAAAUCUUUACAUUUGUAAUUUAUAUCACUGAAAUCGAAUCAAAUGGUAUAACUUUUUCAUCCUUUAAAUACUUAUAAUCCAUUUAGCUGUCACAAAUAAUCUAAGAUGGACAUAAAUGGAUGUUUAAAUAGAUUUUUUUUCCUAGAAAGUAAGAGCAUCUAUUCAUCAUCCUAGAUGAAAUAUUAGAAUAGAUCAGAUUAAAUAUAUUAAAAUAAGAGGGGAAGAAAAAGAAAGGAGUGCCAUAUUUUACCCAUUUAUAGGUUCUUAGUACUUUUGGGACUCCCUCGUAGUCGUCGUCCCAUGGUCCGCUACGUUUCUCUGGCGGUUGUCCUUGGCAAAAAAUGCUCCUUCCAAGAUCUCUCAAUUGAUCAUGCAUCUCAAAAUGACCAAAAUAUCCAAUCUUAAUUAAGCACCUCAACUUCAACUCUUCAAUACCUUGACUUGGAUAAAGCCCACAGUCCUCCCACAUGUACAUGGCGUAUUCACUCGUUUCGCCAAUAAAGAAACAAACAAUAUCGAGAAAAAUCUGCUUAUGUCCAUCUUCUAAUGCAUCAUAACUUAUUUGCAAUAUUUUUUGGACAUCUCUAUGUGGUUGGCUUUUUAAUUGCUUCCACACAUCUUCCCAUACUUUUCGAUUCAUUUUUUUAUACAAGUAUGAACCUACGACCUUAAGUGCCAAGGGAAGCCCACCCAUGGUGGAUACAAUAUCACGAGAUAGACCCUCAAAGUCCUUUGAAGAAUGGUCCAUAGAAAAUGCAUGUCUAUUAAACAAAAGCAAAGCAUGCUCCCGAUCCAAUUCAUUCAAAUCAUACUUGUGUACAUCGAAUUCAGAUUGAUCAAGAAUGGCUUUAUAUCUGGUUGUAACAAUAAUAAUACUUCCCGCCAUAAACCAAUUACGUUCUCUAGCCAAAGCAUUUAAUCGAUCCUCGUGAUCUAUAUCAUCCAAAAGAAUGAGAAUCUUUUUUCCUCUGAAUCUAGAUUUGAUCAAACUAAUUCCAUCAUCAACAUUCCCAAAUUCAAGGUCAAUUUGCAGAAUGUCCUUAAUUAGUUGCUUUUGUAAAUGAACAAUAUCGUUGUGGCAAGCUGUUUCUCGAAUAUUUGCAAGGAAGCUACGAUGCACUAAGUCAUUCGACAGCUGGUUAUAGAUUACCUUGGCAAGAGUCGUUUUUCCAAUCCCACCCAUGCCAUAGAUUCCAAUCAUUCGAGCAUCAGUGGUAGGAGUGUCUACCCAUUUCAUGAUUCUGUUCACAUGAUCAUCAAUUCCAACUAAGUGCUUAGUAACAUCAAGCUGAAAAUCUUGUCGCAACUUGCUUAGAACAUUUUCAAUAACUUUUUUCACUAAUUCUCCUUCAUGCCUGUCCAACAAAAAAACUCAUUGAUAAUUUUAUGAUUAUACAUAAUCUCAUCAAAAGGCACCGACAGACGUGAAGAAUGGAUGGGACCAAUUAAUAUGCAAGAUGUUUUGGUUUUACAAAUAAAAAUGGAGGAUGAUGGCCAGUGGUCAUUUCAUUUUUUCUUUUCUCUUUUGCUAGAUGGAUCUUGUUGAAAGAAAAUAUGGCGGUGCACCUGGCUCGUUAAGAGUCUUUAGAAGUGUAAUGUUUGUUACAAGGCUUAAGAUUGCUGCUAGUUAAAUGAUAGGAGGUCAAUUUUGUUUUAAUUAAAGAAGUUUAGGAGAAAAGUAUGUUACUCCACUCUAAGGCCAGGGCAUCUCACGUGCCAAAAUCGAGGACUUAUAGUUGAUUUACAAAUUGCUACCGAUGGGGUCUACUGACAGUGGAAAUCAAACCUAGACAUGGUAAAUGUGAAGUGUUCGGUCCUUUUCAGCUGAGCCAACUUCCAUUCGCAUGAGGAGGUCUAUUUUAUCUGGUGGUGAUAAAGCUUUGAAAUACUGAGCAUGCGCGUCCUUUCUAAGCGUAUUGUUUGGUGAUUGACACUAUUGGCUAGAGGGGUUGUCAUUUCUUUGAUUUUUGCUCUAUUGGAGACAACCGUAAUUCAUCCGUUUCGCUUGAACAAGAAAAUUUAUAAGAUAAUUACCAAAAAAAUCUUAAAUUUAUUAUAAUUGUGUUAAUUCAGUCUUUAAUUUUUUUUAUGGCCAAUUUAGUCCUACACAUUUUGAAAAUAUGCUAAUAUAGUCCAUCUAGCCAACUUUGGCUAGAAAUCGCUAACAUGGACGCAGGUCGUCUUACGAGGCACCGUCAAAUCAACGUGGAGUAUUUUUAUAAUUUUUUAUAAUUUUUUUCUGAACUUUGUUGAAUUUGCUUAUAUUUUUUUGUUUAUUCUUUCUUUCUUUUUUAUCCUUCUUCUUCUACGGUCACCGGCCAUAGAUGAGGGCUGCCUCGCCAUAAGGGCUUGGCCUCGCCAGAAUCUGGUCCUUCUAGUGGGUCCUAUAGAGAAUCGCAAGGAGGGACAGACCGAGAGUUUUUCCAACAAGAGAGGGCUGUCGAUGGGUCAGAUGAGGAGGUUCGCCAGCAGCCAGAACGUGCUGGCGAGCUUCGACUUGACGGCACAGGUGGCGCCGGUGGAUGCAACGGAGCAGAGGAACUCUUACUUUGAUGACAAAGACAGAGACAAAGAAGAGCGAGAUGAGGACGACGGCGACGAAGUGGUGAUUCUAUUUCCGUCCCUCAUUUUGGUAGGUGGAGUGGAGUCGAAGGCGAAGAAGGAAGCGAAUCUGUGGAAGAGAAGGACAAUGGCUCACCCUCAACCACUUCGCUUGCGACAUCCCCAUUAAUUCUGCAAAUAUAAUCGUGUUCUCGAAUGAUUGCGUUCCUGGAUUCCCGAUUUCUGAUGUUCUUCCUUCUUUUUUUAGGGUUAUUAGUUUGUGUUGGCCUGACCUCUUUAGAAGGACCAGAUUCCGGCGAGGUUGGCUGUGACAUCCAGAAUUUUCAAUAUUGUUUUCUAUUAAAUUAAUCGGGCAUUUCAUUGACGUGUCUAUAGGGUUGUUCUCAGAGCUGAUCACUCUCGAGAUAACUAGACUAGCUGGGUAAGCCAUUAAAGAAUAUUAAGGCAAUAGACUUGAGAAUUCGACCAGGAAGCGGCUUCUCGACCGUGUUCAUCUUUAGAGGUCACUACUGCACAGUUAAAGAUCGAAUUGAGAUCAGAGAUAGGUCGGUUCGACUGAGAUGUGUGGCCGAUCGUGGGUGACUCCACUAAAUUGGAAAAUUCUCGUCGACCGACACUAAUUUGAUUUUCUGUCGUUUUGGUACCCUGUGUUGGUAGUCGAGCCCUCGAGAUUUUCACGACAAUUGAGAGUCGCCAAUGUGUCGAGUGGGUUCAUUGUGGCUCGAAGAAAAUCGACCACGCGUCAAUUGCCCUAAAAAGUUCUGAAAACUACCCGGUAGUCUAGGUCACACUAAAAGCACGCCGGAGUGAAAUUAACCGUCGAUUUGAGUCAGAUUUCAGAAAUCGAAAGUUCAGUGAUGUCACAAGCUAUUUUAGGAACGUCAACUCAGUCUCAGAAGAUUUUUCGGAGAUUCGGGAAAUUUUACGGAAAUUGGGUUCGGACGUCGUGGAAGUUUGGCCGAAGUUCGGAUUGGCUAAAUUAAUGGGAAAUUUGACUUUCGGGUUGAGCCGUUGUGUGUCGGGGAAUUAUAGAAAAUCAUUUGGGAUUUUUCUACAUCAAAAUUGGACCUCAAUUUGGAGAGAAUGGUUGUGCAAAUUAAGCCAUCUCUCCCAAAAUUCGUGUACCCCCACCUAGCCACAACCUUUGGACCACUUGGUCUUCUAGAAGAGAGUGUUUUGAUGGCCUAUUGAAGGCCAAGUAUUCUUACAUGGCCAAGAUUGAUUUUAGAAGAUAUUUUGUGAAAUAUCCAACCAAGUGGAGCCCAACUCUUCCUCAUCCUCUCCAUCUUGCUGCCGUGAAUUGCUUCUCUCCUCUUUCCAUUUUUCUCUGGCGUGCGACACUUCUAGCAGCAAUUGAAGAAGACCCGGCUGCUUCCUUUGAAAUUUUCCGAGCGUCCACCAAGCUGCCCGAGGAGCUCAGCAUCCGCCGAAUUCUCCACCGCUUCGUGUCUUCAGCCAGCUCACGCUCGGUCAAUAGCGAAGCCAGAAGAAGCCCCGUCGUUGACUGAAGAUCCUCACCGCACGAAGCUUUGAAGACAGAAACUCCACCGAGUGAAGCCACGAUCCCACCGAGCUGGUCGGCCACUCACGCCAGCGAAGACCCCUACAGCAGCUCCACCGAAACUUUUUUAUUCUGCUUCGUUGAAGAUUGAUCGUCCACGAAGCUACUCCAAGCACCCACGCGGCCAGCGCACGCCAGUCAACUCCAAGCUUCUCCUCUUCAAUCUGUUGACCAAGCUGCUGCCACGUUGAGCCAGCGAAGACUCCACCAAGCGAAGCUGCUCCUCCUCCGCAACGGUCCACGGUUCUUCAGUCAACCAAACCAGCGAGCUCCCCCGUGAUUGACCGAAGCUGCCAGCGAAUGCCCUUCUCCACUAAGGUUGGUCGGCCAUUUUCACGGUUCUUCAUCAACCUGCGCUUCCUUCUCACGCGGGCAACACCGAGCAAAGCCAGCAGUUUCCAAUGUCUUCUUCAGCUCGUACGAAGCAGCCCAGCCCAGCUCCUUCGUGAGUUCAGCCGCAAGCCCAUUGGAAGUCCAUGAUUUCAGCAAUUCGGGCCCAGCAGAAUCAGCUCCGAAGCCCAUCAGUCCAGCAGUUCUUCAGCCAAUUUAAUUCAAGUUGCAGCCCAGUAAUUUGAGGCCCAAUUCAGUAGAAUUCUUACUGAGGCCCAUCUCCUGCAGUCUUCAAGCCCAGUCCAAUCCAAGUGAAGUAAUUAGUCAAGCCCAGUUCAGCAGCCCAUCAACUGAGAUUGGAGGCCCAAUUUCCAGCAAAGAAAUUUGAAGCCCAAGUGAAUUCAGUCCAGAAAUUUCAGCAGGCCCAAUUCAAUUUGGGUCUGGCCCAAAAGCAAGAAACAAAUCUCAAUUGGGCUGAGAUUUGUUGGGGCCAAGUCCAAGGCCCGGUCCAAGUACGCUGGUGUCGUCGAAAGUCCGAUUUCGGCCGCCGUCGCGUCGCCGUUGCGGUGAUUCGGUCUCCGCUUUUAUCAAGUGAGUUUUACUCACUAAUGCUUUAUUAGUUUGCUAAUUAUGCUUAAGGUUGGUUAGAUUUAAUUAAGUGCAAUUAGGUGGUUAGAUUAGGUUAGAACAAUUAAAUUAGUGACUUGAGGAUGCAUGUUAGGUGAUUAGACCUAGCUAUUAGCAAGUAGAAAUGUUUGGUUAUUUAUUGAAUGUAUCUCGGGAUUUUUCCCGACCCGUUUCGGGCUCCAAUAAGGCAAUAUAGGCCUAAAUUGGAUUUUCAAUGUUUAUUUAUUUAUUUUUCGAAAUUAAUUAUUUAAUUAAUUAUUUUUCCGGAAAUUCAACCGGGAUGGCCGGUGACCGGAAUUUCGUGCCGAUUGUCGUGGUGCAGACCGUUUAUUUAUUUGAGCUCUACGUUGUGUGGAAUUGAAUUUAUUGUGGAAUUUUAGGAAUUGUCCUAAAUUGUUUGUUAUUGAAUAUUUGAUUGGUAAUGGCCAAGCAUGGGUAUAUAGCGCCAGUACGUUGAUGGGCUAUAUAGUAGGGAGAAUGGUGAGACCAAUCAGGUACGAUGUAAUUGGACAUACGUGGUUCGGUGAUUGGAAGUAUCACUGGCGAAAACGGCGCCUUAAAGAACGCACGUAAAUGACUUAUAGACACACGUGGUUCGGUGAUUAUGGGAAUAUCACUGGUGAAAACGGCGCCUUAAAGAACGCACGAUGUUGUCUAUAGCCGAUGUCACCUUGGCGAAAACGGCGCCCUUGAAAGGACACGUGGUUCGGUGAUCAAGGUUAUCACUGGUGAAAACGGCGCCUUAAAGAACGCACGGUGUCGGUGAUCGGUAUGUCAUUGGCGAAAACGACGCCCGAGAAACACAUGUGAUUUGGUGAAUGAGUACACCACUGAGAAAGCGUGGUACGAGUGGGAAUGACCGAGAGAGGGUCUAAUUGACAUGUAAUCGACUUAGUCGAUUGGCCAAUGUUUGAUCGUAUGUCGUGAAUUGUUUGAAUAUCUGUGUUUAACCUUGAAUUGCAGGUUGGAACUGAGGCUAAGGUAAGUCCUCUGACUCGUGUUGUGCUUAGGCAACCGGAUGGCGUAUUAGUUUAUUAAUCGAGUCUUAGUGGGUAGGACUCGCUGAGACGUGGUCUCAUUGGUUAUUGAAUAACCAUUUCAGGACCCUGAGGAAAAGCUGAGGAAGGAGAAGCUGAGGAAGGAGAAAGUAUUUUGAAGUAGAAGAUGAUCCAGAGAGGGAUCUUGAAUAUAACCCGGAUGUGGAUUGAGAUCCCAUCCCUUUUGUGCACCUUGUCUUAGUGUAGAUAGCAGUGAGACUUUUAUGCUGUAAAUAAUAUUGUAAAUAUACCAUGAGUGGUGAUGUUAAUGAAAGUGUGGUUGUGAAUUUCAAUAUGAAAAAUAUGGCCUACUUUCCUAUCCCAUUGUUUUAUUGUCUGGGGAUUUAUAACUGCUUCCGCAUGUGUAAAAUUAAAAGAAAGGGUCGGCGAUACAUAGUCCUGGGAUAUCGCAUUAUAAAAUCGACCAAGUAGAAGGAUGUGCGCGCGUCCGAGGAUCGGGGCGUGACAUUGGCCCUCGACACUUGACAGGGAGGGCGAGCCUCACCAACCCUAAUCUGUGGCCUGUUGCCGGCCAUCAAGGAGGCCGGCAGCCGGAGAGAAAGAAGGGAUUUCUAGCUAAAAUCAGCCGGGUAGACUAUAUCGGUAGAUUAUCAAAAGGUUUAUGAUUAAAAUGGCUAAAUUAUCACUGUUAUAAUAGGUUUAAUAUUUUUUUUGGUAAUUUCCCAAAAAAUUACUUAUCAAAAAAUAGAAGUUUAGGUGGAAGCAAAGUACCCGUUAGCAACUUUCUGAGACUCCCAUCCCUGUAAAUGACUCACGUCUCUGAGUGCUUGCCGCACUUUCUGGAUGUCCUCCUCAGCAAAAUACUUCUUACAUGAACGAAAGGCAUUUCCAAAGUUUCCUUUUAGAUUCCCCGCAUCCGAUGGGUCCACUUCAUAAAAGAUGGGCAAAACUGUGUGUGAUGGGCUCUUCACACGAUCCAUGAUAUGAAUAAGCUCGCGAAGGCACCAUUUGCUUGAAGCAUAAUUUUCGGAUAUGAUGAGAAUCGAAAUCUUAGACCGAGCGAUGGCAUUGAGAAUUUCCGGACCGAAUUCCUCGCCAAUUUGGAUGCUCUUAUCAUCCUUGAACACAAAAACUGGUGCAAUCCCUACCUUGACUAGACUGUGAUAGAGGUGAUCGGUGAAUCCCUUGCGAGUAUCUGACCCUCUAAAGCUCAAGAACACAUCAUAAUGAUCGUUACGUAUUCCUUCACGUAUUCCUUCGAGUGUUGGAGAGAUUUUCGAAGGUGUGGACGCUCUCUUCUUCUUGACAAGAUAGAAUGCAAGCAUACUAAAAAGAAUCGUCGCGGCAAGCACCGCGGGCAUUAUUAAAGGGUGCAUCCCUUCGUUUGUUUCAGUGUAACUCCGCCCUUUGUCGAUGGCAAUCUGAGAGGGAAAGUUGGAGAGAAAGAUGCUCUCCUGCUGCAUAAAAAGGAUUGAUAAUUAGUCUCUAUGAAGUAUGAACAAGUAUGAACAUGAAAUCUUUUACCAAGCAAGAAAAGAUAAACAUGAAAUUAUUAAUUAAUUAUUAUUUGAUUGACUAGGAGCAGUCGCUGAUGCUUUCAAUCCUUGCUUGAUCUUCUUUUGGAUAUCAUCCUCUAGUCAAGUCAAUCUUGCCGGCUUCGGUCCCCUUACGUAUAACGUGUACAUUAAUUUCUUAAUUGGGCUAUAGAAUAAUGGAACUAUGUACAAGCAUAUUGCAUUCGUUCAAAAUUAUACGUAGUGGUUCAGUUGUUACUUGGUUAUUGAAAAUAAGAUUUUGAAAAAUCAUUUUUUUUGUCAAAGAAUUUCGUAAAUCAUUUAAAAGCUGAUAAUUGAGUUGAGACAAAAUUGACAAUGUGGGGAAGGCGUGAAGAAAGGACCUAGCUAGUAAUUAUGAAAGUGAUUUUAAAUUUAAUUUCGCCAUAGAUUUCUCCUCCUGCACAGCACAAAGCCUCCCUUCUCCUUGUUUAUCUGCUCCUCUCGCCGACACAUUCUCUCUUCCCCCUCUCUCCUUUCGUUUUUUUCUUUCUUUUCCUCUUUCUCCUUUCUUUUGCUCCUUUCUUUUCCUUUCUUUUCCUUUCUUCUUUUCCUUUUUGACUCUAAUGUAUUUUCUUCUUCUUUUUCUCAUCAUUUCAAACUCCACUUCACCUAAUAUUACUACCUUUCCACCAAAUCACUUUUCACUUUUGACCGCAUUUUACUGUUCACUUUGACUGUAUGUUCCCACAUGUAAUUGAUCGGAAGUGACCGAGUGAGUGUCAGGGAUAGUGAAUGAAAAGUUUUUAUUCUAUUAAAUUAUAUUAGAAAAUUAAAAUUUUAGAAUGUUACAGCAGAUGUGGAAACAAUUUAUUAAGGAGAUAUUCCUAUCAAAUAGAUAAAGUAAUGAGAUUAGAGAAUAGAAGAAUAUGUCUAUAGAUUUAUAAGAGUUCAACUCAUAUUAAAUCUACAUCCACUUUCUCAAAGUAACAACCAGCAGUAUGGCUUUUUUUAACAGAAAGAAUCAAAUGCAUGCUGAAACAUAUUGUGAACGCAUGAAAGAUCGAGGCAAUUUAGAGAUUUGAAUCUUUCUGAAUUUCCGCCUAGUCCAUUGGCAUCCUCUAAAUCCUUUUAUAAAAAACUAACCGUUGGAGAAUAAUUUUACCUGUAAAACAUCCUUUCAUAGGUUUUCUUUGGAGGGUGCCCUUUUUCUUUGGAGGUCAUAAAUACCAAACCUAUGUCUGGUAAAAUUCCACAAAAAUAAUAUUUUUAUUCAGUUAAUAGUAAAUUUCUUUUGUCUAUUUUCACUAAAAUAUGUAAAUUGAUCAUAACUCUCCUUUGUACUUGGUAAAGUUUUGACACCCAUGUCUCAGUAAUUUUCCUUACUCAUCGUAAGUUUUCUCAAUCAAAUGAUAAUUUGAUCAUGGUUGCAUCUAACUUUCUUUUAAUGUUCGGAAGUGAUCAUAAAAAAUCGAUUUUGCAAAAUAGAUUUGACGGUUCACCUUUUUUACCCUUUUUAACCAACAGUCCACGUCGAAUGUAGGACUCAUCCUAGAGUUUUCACUUAUGAAAUUUCCAUCAUGAUUAGCAUGUUUUAGCUAUAAGAAAGUUGUUUCUUCUUUUUGCAAAGGAGCCUUCACACAUAUUCCUUAUCUACCGAGGUCAACAAUGACUCAAACCAGAAGAACUGAUGGGGGUGCAAUAUAGAGCUUAGACAAAUUCCGAGUGCAAAAACGGAAUUUAAAAAAAAAAAAAUUGAAAAAGUAUGUCUCCAAUCUCUCCCAUUCUCCAGCAUAUAUAAAAAUAAAUGGGAAAACAUUAAUCCUGCCGUCGCCCUAGGAAGAUUUUUCGAGAAGAGCACUUCGAGCGUGCGCUCUGGAGAGAGACUAGCAAUAAUCGAUUCUGACUUGUGCAUUAUGGAUCAAUCGAAUCGCUCGAAUAGGCUGGACAUCCAUGGAGGAUCGGGGCCCGGAGGUAGAGAAAGCUCGUUUACUGACUUUGGCGCCUAAUUUCGGCUUCAACGAGCAGUCCGCCAACAGGUGGUUGGACAGUCUUGUUUCGCUCCACAGUGUCCGAAUCAUUAUUUUGUCGCGCAUUUUUUGUGUCAUUUUCCGGAAAUUACGAAAAUUGCCAAUGUAAUGGAAAAUGAUUUUACGGACAUCCGAAAAUUCUCUAGUCGAUAUGAUCUGUUCAGAUAAAUUUUUGUUGUUGACAAUUCUGAUUCGUAGCCUUUGAAAGGUUUUGUGCAAUUAUUGAAGAGAAUAGACCAGCACCAUUGAUAUUUGGAAAAAAUCAAUUUUUAAAUGUUUUUAAGAAAAAAAGAAUUAUUUCUGCAAAAACAGAGUAUUUUGGAUGUUUCAGGCUUUAAGUAAGUUUGGCUCCGACCAAAAAAAAAAAAAAGAGGUAAUUUUGGACAAUCGGAGUGCAUAUAGGGCGAUGGACCCAAAAUCGGGUCUAGAAGGGUAAUUUCAGUACUUUAAUCGAGCGGGCUUUUCGUCCCGAGGGAAUUUCACAUGUAUUAUUCUGUUGCCCUAGAGGAUGUUAGGCGAUGAGCAAUAACCGAAUGUAUUUUUGUCCUAUCAAUUGUAAUAGACCGGAGAAUGAAGGUCGGACUUACCUCGAGGAGGAGAUAUUCAGAGAUGAAAUAACCGUGAUGGGUUUCAGUGUUCAAGAAGAAGUCGGCUUGAAGCAGUCCAAGUCCCAAACGUCAGUGCAGUCCCGAGGAUCACCUUCACGCCUCGACCUAGACCGGCUUGGUUAGGAAAGAGACGGAGGCAAAUUUGCAGAUCAUCUCAGGUCAGAACGUCGCGAGAAAGGACGAGUAGUGGCUACGAAAUCACCAACUACAGACGAGGAACUUACUGUCUUUCGAUAAAAUCCAGAAACGACCCUCGUGUUCCGCCGAAGACCCCACAAAUCCAAGAACCCUAAUCACCUCAGCGGAGUCCAUUAUCAGAAAUCAUAGCAAGCGGAACACUAAAAAGUUCGAAACUCGACACGAUUCAAGUUGAUUUUACCUGCCGAUUGGUGCCCGCCGAAAAACCAGUCCUUUGAAGCCGGUGGUUCGGAAGGAGCGACUGCAGGUGCUCUUCGCGACGGCCUCGGGUGUACUGCUUGGGUGGAUUCGCGAGAAAGAAGAAUCGCUGCUUCCUCCGCCGAUUCAAGUCGAAGCUCUCGCUCUGGUCGUAGAGGCUUCGAUGUGCUUCAGAUCUGGAAGUAAGAGAGAACUUGUACCUGGGGAGUCGGACGACGCGGUUCUGUGUUGACUUUCUGCCGCGGGAACAUGAUCACGUUCCAUGUUUAGGUGGAGGCACGUGUGUUGGACGCCCGAGCCAAAGUUGGCUAAAUUUCAAAAGAACACCGACGUCCCACCGUGGUAAAACGGUGAAUCAAAUAGUUGAUUGGCAGGUCAAGGGCGAGGGCUCGCUGCCCUCAUACGCGGCAAGCAGGAGCCGAGAGCCCUCUAUGGUUAGGCCAUCGUCGAAAUCAAUAAUUCCCGAUUAAAUUAUCCAAAUAAAUUACAUUGGAAAUUUGUUAAUAAGUUGAAGAUUAAACUGGCUAAAUUAAAAAAUUUAUAACUGAAUUGGCAUAAGUAUAAUAAAUUUAGAACUUCCUAAAUAAUUUUUCCCUAUUAAAAUAAUAUGGAAACCACUCUAAAUGAUGAGUUUCUCUAAUACAAUCCACAUAUGUCUUCUUAGAAAUUUCCUACACAUUAAACUAUUUUAGAAUGAAAGAAGGUCACCUUCCUCCCAUGAAGUUCACAAUGGGUUCUAAAAAACAAACAAUACACUAGGGACCACCUCAUGGUUAGAAUAGUUUACAAUAGAGCAUUUUAAUAUAAUAUUUAAAUAUAAUUUGUGGAAGAAGAAUUUUAACCAAACUAAAUUAGUGGAAGACUGGAGAGACGUUUCUGUCAUUCACAAGUAAUGACAGAUUUAAAUUGCAAUUGUCAAAUAUGGUGUGUCACCUAAGUCAAGAAUGGUGGGUGCCUUCUUUUUCAAAAUGGUCUCAUGCAAUCAUCCAAACCACUACAAUUGUCAAAUAUGGUGUGCCACCUAAGUCAAGAAUGGUGGGUGCCUUCUUUUUUAAAAUGGUCUCAUGCAAUAAUCCAAACCACACAACGAUUAACCUUUAUCGCAAUGAGAUUUAAUUAAUUAGCAAUUGAGGGACAAUGAGCAGUUGCAAAUGCUUUUAGUCCUUGUCUUUAUCUUCUUUGAGACCUCACCCUUAAGUCAAUUCAAACUUGUUGGCUUGGUCCACUUCUGAUUAACGUGUACGUUAAUUUCUAAGUUGGGCUGUAGAAGAAUUAGAAUACGUUUUCAAACAUAUUCCAUUCGUUUAAAAAUAUAAGCACGAAUUCAGUUGUUAUCGAUUAUUGAAGAUCAUAAUUUCAUAAAUCAUAUCAAGUUAAAACAGAUUUGGAAAUGGAUGGAAGAUGUGAACAAAGGAUCUUGUGAGUACCUGAGCCGCUAAAACUCAAGAAUACAUCAUAGGUAUCACUUUCCUACUCCUGUUGGUGUUGAAUAGAUGAACAAAUAUAUAGAUACUCCAUCGGUGCUCUUACUUGCUUGAUUUGUAUCGCUUCGACUCUUUUUCCUCUUCUUGAAAAGAUUACAAGUGAAUUUAGAGAGAAGAAUGGGUGCAACAAGCACCCCAAAAGAAUGCCCUAAAAUGAACUGAUUUCAUUAUUUGAUUUACUAUGGCUCUUUCCUUUAUUUGAAAUAUUCAAGUAGCUAAUUGGCUUGCUACCCUCACACGUUGCAGGUGAGGCCACAUACCCUUGUGGACCACUAGGCGAGGGCUUGCUGCCCUCACACGCAGCAAGCAAGAGCUAAGAGCCUUCCCUGAUAAGUGGGCAACAACUAUGAGUCCUUGCUAGCCAUGCCACAUAGGACGUAUGUCGUCCACAUCAGCAAUUUUCAAUCAAAAUUAGCUGAAUGAAUUAUAUUGAUAAAUCGUUAAUAAAUUGAGGACUAAACUAGCCAAAUUAAAAAGUUUAUGGCUAAAUUGGCACAAAUACAAUAAAUUUAGGACUUUUUUUUUUUUAUCAUUUUUCCCAUUAAAUCACACGAAAACCAUACUAAAUGAUGAGUUUCUCUGAUCCAAUCCACAGACGUCUUCCUAGAAAUUUCCUGCACAUUAAACUAUUUUAGAAUGAAAGAAGGUCACCUUCCUCCCAUGAAGUUCAUGAUGGGUUCUAGAAAAGAAACGAUACACUAGGGACCACGUCAUGGCUAGAACAGUUUACAAUAGAGCAUUUUAAUAUAAUGCUUAAAUAUAAUUUGUGGAAGAAGAAAUUGAACCAAGCUAAAUUAGUGAAGACUGGAGAGACAUUGCUGUUAUUCACAACUAAUUAUAAAUUUAAAUUGCAAUUGUCAAAUAUGGUGUGCCACUUAAGUCAAGAAUGGUGGGAGCCUUCUUUUUCCAAAGGGUCUCAUGCAAUCAUCCAAACCACACAACGAUUAACAUUUAUCGCGAUGGGAUUUAAUUAAUUAGCAAUUGAGGGACAAUGAGCAAUAGCAGACGCUUUUAGUCCUUGUCUUUAUCUUAUUUGAGGCCUCACCCUCUAGUCAAUUCAAACUUGUUGGCUUGGUCCACUUCCAAUUAAUGUGUAUGUUAAUUUCUAAGUUGGGCUAUAGAAGAAUUAGAAUCUGUUUUCAAACAUAUUCCGUUCGUUUAAAAAAUAUAAGCAUAAAGUCGAUUGUUAUCAAUUAUUGAAGACCAAAAUUUCAUAAAUCAUAUCGAGUUAAAACAGAUUUGGAAAUGGAUGGAAGAUGUGAAGAAAGGAUCUUGUGAAUACCUAAGCCACUAAAACUCAAGAAUACAUCAUAGGAAUCACUUUCCCACUCCUAUUGGUGUUGGAUAGAUGAACAAAUAUGUAGAUGCUCCGUCAAUGCUCUUAUUUGCUUGAUUUGUGUCGCUUCUACUCUUUUUCCUCUUCUUGAGAAGAUUAUAGGCGAAUUUAGAGAGAAUAAUGGGUGCAACAAGCACCCAAGAAGAAUGACCUAAAAAUGAACUGAUUCCAUUGUUUGAUUUACUUCGGCUCUUUUCUUUAUUUGAAAUAUUCAAGCUCAACUCAACUACUUCUUGUGAAGAAAAAUCAUGAAAUGGAUGCGUACGUGGUAACUUUUUUUUUUUUUUUGGCCGGUCUUACUCUAUUCCUACUCUAACUCUCACUCUCAAACUUUUGCCCUGCCUCUUUGCAGGCGCGUGGAAGUCGAAACCUACUCCUAAAACUAAAUCAUCUCCACCCCAACCCCCUGAAAAGAUAGGGAUUUGAACCCCCCACCUCCUCCUUCCAUGUUCGAAGGGUGGCCACUGGGCGUACGUGGUAACUUACUAUGUGGAAAAUUAGUAGGUAAUUUGUGAAUACCAAAAAUGAAUAACCAUUAAUUAGAUGGGAUCUGGUCUCAUUUUCCCUUGCGAAUCUUUAGGUGGCUCUGGGUUGCGAAAAACAUAUGGAAGGAUUUGUUCUAGUCAAAGUACCAUGUCAUAGCUCUCUUUCUUUGCUUUUUUAUCUCUGUAUAGCCGUGGUGUAUGCUUAGCAUUUUAUGAUUUUUUACAUGAAGUAACUGCCGUAUGAUCAGCUUAUGUGAUUUUAUUGCUAAAUUUGCUCACUCCUGCAUAACAACCACUCAUGGGGAGGAGUCGUUGCUUGAGAAAUCUGUUACUUUCAAGGGAGUCAUCAUAAGUUAUGUAGGUCAUAUGAUUUGUAAUAUUCCCCAAACUAUAGUAAUCUGCCAAAGUUUUGGGUAAAUUUCUUUAUCUUUGAUUAGUAAAUUAUCUAAAGGAUCGUAACUUUCCUUUUGGCGACGAAAUUGUCCUCGUUAACAGUAGUUUUACUCGUAAAACAUCCUUUCACAAGUUUUCUUUGGAGUUUGGAGGGUGUACUUUUUCUUUGGAGGUCAUAAAUUCUCCGGAACCUUUGUUUGGUGUAAAAACCACAAAAAUAAUAUUUAUUCAGUUAAUAGUAAAUUUCUUUCGUGUAUUUUUACUAAAAUAUGUAAAUUGAUCAUAACUCUCCUUUGCACUCGGUAUAGUUUUGAGACCUAUGUUUUAGUAAUUUUCCUUACUCAUGGUAACUUUUCUCCAUCAAAUGAUAAUUUGAUCACUUCUGUAACUUUCCUUUAAUGUUCAGAAGUGAUGAUAGAACAUCAAUUUUGCAAAACAGAUUUCAGGGAUCACCUUUUUUUUCCCUUUUAUCCAACGGUCCACGUUGAUUCAACGUCGUUGAAUGCAGGACCGAUCCCAUAAAAGAGAACUUUGGCUUGGGAAAUGUCCAUCACAAUCAGGACGUUUUGGCCAUAACAAAGUAGUUCGUUAUUUUUUGCCAAACAGCAAAGUAGUCUUGGAAAUGCGAUUUUUCCAAACUUUUGUAAAUCGUUCCAUUAAAACAUAUAUACAAAGGUAAAAAUGUAACUAAGAAACCAUACUACCUUGUCAAUAUUUUCUUUUGCUGAUGCACAACAAUUGAUAAAGGAAAUUUGAAUAUUUACUCUUUGCAUCCGAAUGUGGGACCUUCCCCCUCAAUCAGGGGUCGUUGGACUUUGGUAUGGCGAUGGCGGGUCGACUUUGUCGUGACUUAAUUACUUACGACUUUGUCGUCCUACCUUAACCUGAUUUAAUAAACUAAACUCAAACGUAUUACAUACGAGGAAUUCCCGCAUCUGGAAAAUACAUGUCCACCUUAACUUGCUCUUUUCCAUAUUCUAAUGUUUAAAUCUUCACCUUGUUCAUCCUUGACUCGUAACCAUUUUUAACGCUCUUUUAUCUCUCCAUCUCUUCUGGCGUUCUUUGGUAUUUUCUGAUUCUCAAUGUGAUUCUGAUGGUGAAGUCAAUGCGGAUGGUCGUAUCAUCCGUCGCCAUCGCACUCGUUGAUCUUCUCUUCUUUUCUUUGGGUUUUUACCACAUGGGUUGUGUGCGAAACGAAGGAACAGCAGCAAUGAAAAUAGAAGAAAGAAAUGGAUCGCUCUUUCAAAUCUGUGUAAAUCAUCAUCAUACGACCUCAGCCCACGAAAGCAUUAGACUCGCUAGAGCUUUGUGCCAAUUUCCAAGCCCCCUCCGCCCCCCCAAAACCCCNNNNNNNNNNNNNNNNNNNNNNNNNNNNNNNNNNNNNNNNNNNNNNNNNNNNNNNNNNNNNNNNNNNNNNNNNNNNNNNNNNNNNNNNNNNNNNNNNNNNNNNNNNNNNNNNNNNNNNNNNNNNNNNNNNNNNNNNNNNNNNNNNNNNNNNNNNNNNNNNNNNNNNNNNNNNNNNNNNNNNNNNNNNNNNNNNNNNNNNNNNNNNNNNNNNNNNNNNNNNNNNNNNNNNNNNNNNNNNNNNNNNNNNNNNNNNNNNNNNNNNNNNNNNNNNNNNNNNNNNNNNNNNNNNNNNNNNNNNNNNNNNNNNNNNNNNNNNNNNNNNNNNNNNNNNNNNNNNNNNNNNNNNNNNNNNNNNNNNNNNNNNNNNNNNNNNNNNNNNNNNNNNNNNNNNNNNNNNNNNNNNNNNNNNNNNNNNNNNNNNNNNNNNNNNNNNNNNNNNNNNNNNNNNNNNNNNNNNNNNNNNNNNNNNNNNNNNNNNNNNNNNNNNNNNNNNNNNNNNNNNNNNNNNNNNNNNNNNNNNNNNNNNNNNNNNNNNNNNNNNNNNNNNNNNNNNNNNNNNNNNNNNNNNNNNNNNNNNNNNNNNNNNNNNNNNNNNNNNNNNNNNNNNNNNNNNNNNNNNNNNNNNNNNNNNNNNNNNNNNNNNNNNNNNNNNNNNNNNNNNNNNNNNNNNNNNNNNNNNNNNNNNNNNNNNNNNNNNNNNNNNNNNNNNNNNNNNNNNNNNNNNNNNNNNNNNNNNNNNNNNNNNNNNNNNNNNNNNNNNNNNNNNNNNNNNNNNNNNNNNNNNNNNNNNNNNNNNNNNNNNNNNNNNNNNNNNNNNNNNNNNNNNNNNNNNNNNNNNNNNNNNNNNNNNNNNNNNNNNNNNNNNNNNNNNNNNNNNNNNNNNNNNNNNNNNNNNNNNNNNNNNNNNNNNNNNNNNNNNNNNNNNNNNNNNNNNNNNNNNNNNNNNNNNNNNNNNNNNNNNNNNNNNNNNNNNNNNNNNNNNNNNNNNNNNNNNNNNNNNNNNNNNNNNNNNNNNNNNNNNNNNNNNNNNNNNNNNNNNNNNNNNNNNNNNNNNNNNNNNNNNNNNNNNNNNNNNNNNNNNNNNNNNNNNNNNNNNNNNNNNNNNNNNNNNNNNNNNNNNNNNNNNNNNNNNNNNNNNNNNNNNNNNNNNNNNNNNNNNNNNNNNNNNNNNNNNNNNNNNNNNNNNNNNNNNNNNNNNNNNNNNNNNNNNNNNNNNNNNNNNNNNNNNNNNNNNNNNNNNNNNNNNNNNNNNNNNNNNNNNNNNNNNNNNNNNNNNNNNNNNNNNNNNNNNNNNNNNNNNNNNNNNNNNNNNNNNNNNNNNNNNNNNNNNNNNNNNNNNNNNNNNNNNNNNNNNNNNNNNNNNNNNNNNNNNNNNNNNNNNNNNNNNNNNNNNNNNNNNNNNNNNNNNNNNNNNNNNNNNNNNNNNNNNNNNNNNNNNNNNNNNNNNNNNNNNNNNNNNNNNNNNNNNNNNNNNNNNNNNNNNNNNNNNNNNNNNNNNNNNNNNNNNNNNNNNNNNNNNNNNNNNNNNNNNNNNNNNNNNNNNNNNNNNNNNNNNNNNNNNNNNNNNNNNNNNNNNNNNNNNNNNNNNNNNNNNNNNNNNNNNNNNNNNNNNNNNNNNNNNNNNNNNNNNNNNNNNNNNNNNNNNNNNNNNNNNNNNNNNNNNNNNNNNNNNNNNNNNNNNNNNNNNNNNNNNNNNNNNNNNNNNNNNNNNNNNNNNNNNNNNNNNNNNNNNNNNNNNNNNNNNNNNNNNNNNNNNNNNNNNNNNNNNNNNNNNNNNNNNNNNNNNNNNNNNNNNNNNNNNNNNNNNNNNNNNNNNNNNNNNNNNNNNNNNNNNNNNNNNNNNNNNNNNNNNNNNNNNNNNNNNNNNNNNNNNNNNNNNNNNNNNNNNNNNNNNNNNNNNNNNNNNNNNNNNNNNNNNNNNNNNNNNNNNNNNNNNNNNNNNNNNNNNNNNNNNNNNNNNNNNNNNNNNNNNNNNNNNNNNNNNNNNNNNNNNNNNNNNNNNNNNNNNNNNNNNNNNNNNNNNNNNNNNNNNNNNNNNNNNNNNNNNNNNNNNNNNNNNNNNNNNNNNNNNNNNNNNNNNNNNNNNNNNNNNNNNNNNNNNNNNNNNNNNNNNNNNNNNNNNNNNNNNNNNNNNNNNNNNNNNNNNNNNNNNNNNNNNNNNNNNNNNNNNNNNNNNNNNNNNNNNNNNNNNNNNNNNNNNNNNNNNNNNNNNNNNNNNNNNNNNNNNNNNNNNNNNNNNNNNNNNNNNNNNNNNNNNNNNNNNNNNNNNNNNNNNNNNNNNNNNNNNNNNNNNNNNNNNNNNNNNNNNNNNNNNNNNNNNNNNNNNNNNNNNNNNNNNNNNNNNNNNNNNNNNNNNNNNNNNNNNNNNNNNNNNNNNNNNNNNNNNNNNNNNNNNNNNNNNNNNNNNNNNNNNNNNNNNNNNNNNNNNNNNNNNNNNNNNNNNNNNNNNNNNNNNNNNNNNNNNNNNNNNNNNNNNNNNNNNNNNNNNNNNNNNNNNNNNNNNNNNNNNNNNNNNNNNNNNNNNNNNNNNNNNNNNNNNNNNNNNNNNNNNNNNNNNNNNNNNNNNNNNNNNNNNNNNNNNNNNNNNNNNNNNNNNNNNNNNNNNNNNNNNNNNNNNNNNNNNNNNNNNNNNNNNNNNNNNNNNNNNNNNNNNNNNNNNNNNNNNNNNNNNNNNNNNNNNNNNNNNNNNNNNNNNNNNNNNNNNNNNNNNNNNNNNNNNNNNNNNNNNNNNNNNNNNNNNNNNNNNNNNNNNNNNNNNNNNNNNNNNNNNNNNNNNNNNNNNNNNNNNNNNNNNNNNNNNNNNNNNNNNNNNNNNNNNNNNNNNNNNNNNNNNNNNNNNNNNNNNNNNNNNNNNNNNNNNNNNNNNNNNNNNNNNNNNUGCAGAUGGUUAGAGGCUCUGCUAGCACGUGGCUGCCAUUCUAGUUCAGUGAAUAUGCAUCGCUAGAAUCAAGGACCUACAAAGAGGUGUCGUGGAAAGAGAAGCAGUUUUCAGGUCUGUGAAUGUGUGACAGCAUGAUUCGUGAAGUUUUCUUGGCUCCUGUCAUUAUGGAUAUCAUCAUUUCUCUUUUUUAUUGGCUGGAAACCAGGAUGGUCCAGGGAUGAUCACGAGAAUGAUCCAGGUAAAAUGACAUUUGAUGUUAUGUAUCUUUCACGUGUUACGUGAAACCAUCUGAAUGAUGCUUCUGUGUUUGAGGACCAGAAGGAGAUCAUGGAGAAAGCAAUGUUAGAAGGGCACUUGUUGGAUUCAUCCCCCCCCCCCCCCCCAACCCAUCCCAUCCCAUCCCAUUCAAUUCAAUCGUGGCCACUCCAUUAGCAGGCACGGUUGCUGCGGCCCGUCCCUAUUCCAUGGUCAGCUUCGGAAAGGAAAGGUUGGAUCCCCAUCAGCACGCCACCCCCGUCCAUCACAAACAACAAAUCUAUAUCCAUUGAAGUUGCGGUUAAGCGAGCGAAUCCCGCCCGCCCCCAAUAUGAUAACUCGACAUGUGUAUUUGCCAGUAUCAACGAUCCAAUCGGCCCAACCAACGCAUUGAGCAAUCGGGCUUUCCAAGCCCAUGCUUGUCUUCAUAUAUCCUGAGUUUCAUUUGCUAUGAUGAUUCGGCUCAUGAUGCCAAAUUUUAAGAAAAUUCGCAUUUUCCCAAAAAAAAAGACAAAAUUAGAACGUUCAGCAUAGACCGGUCAAGAACAUAACCAUCGAAACUUUAUAAGUUUGAGAUGCAAGUCUUCUCCUAUAGAGGGGGGGGGGGGGAGAAAAAAGCCUUGAGUAAGUAUUUUACAUGAUAGUUAAGUAUUAACGGUGACAAGAGGGGGGGGUUUAUGUAAUUUGAGAUAAGGCGUUAGGUUUAUGUAGUUAUAAAUUCAACAUAUGAAGGAAAUAAAGGAUGUCACUAACACAAAAAGAAAAAAAAAAAAGAAAAAGAAAAGGAAGGACAACCCUAAAAGAACAGGAAAAAAAUAUGCCACAAAGAAAGGAAAGAAGAUCUUCUUGGAUUCCAUGUUAUAGAUGUCAAAAAUCGGAGUUUAUAUAACUCGAAUUUAAAAAAAAAAAAUAGUAAAGCUGCUUUGUCGGUUGUAAGAAAAAUUACCCAAUCAAUCAUAAAUUUAUUGUACAUAUACCAAUUCAAUUUUAAUUUUUUUUAAUUCCGUUGAUUUAGUCAUAAAUCCUUGCGAAAAAUUUCAAUAUCAUCAUUUCGAUCAAUUUUCGCCAUGAAUUGUUGACGUUGAGAUCCAAUCACUGUCGACCAUUUACGUGGCAUAUUGCAAUGUCAACAAUUUUCAGAGAAAAUUGAUCAGAAUGAUUAGCAAAGAUUUCAAAUUAAUUUAGUAAAAUUGAUAAGUUUAUAACCGCUUGCCUCUGUACUUGAUUGGACAAUCUCCCUGCUAAUUGUAACCCAUGGCCACUUUGUUAAAUAACGCUUGGCUUGACGUAUCACGUGGAUGAUAUACCUGUAACUCUCGCAUAUAAUACUUGCUCUUCUUCUAAUACUUACCCAGACCCAACCCAAGGGUGUCAAAUGAAACCCGGAAAACUUAUGAGGGGGGCAAAAAUAGAGCUUCCAACAAAAUUCAGGUGCAAAAAUGGAAUUUUUUAAAGAAUUGAAAAAACAAUGUGGCUCCAAUCUCUCCCUUUCUACAACCGGUAAAAAAGCAGAGCUAAGAACAUCAGUCACGCCAUAGCUGGCAUGGUUUUUCUUCGAAGAGAGCGCUUCGAGUGCCAGCUCUCUCUCUCUCUCUCUCUCUCUCUCUCUCUCUCUCUCUCUCUCUCUCUCUCGAUCAAUUCGAUUACUACACUUGCAUCAUCGAUCGAUCGAUUCAAAUCGCGUCGAACAGGUUGAGAUUCCAUGGAGCAUCGGGGGUUGGCGGAGGAGGCAGAGAAAUCUUGGUUUGCUAAGCUUGGCUCUCGAGUUUGGCGUCGACGAGCAGUCCUCCAGCAAGUGCUUGGGAUCGUCUCGUUUCGCUCUACGGUAACUUCAAUCGUUACUUUGUCGUCCAUCUUUUUUUUUUUUUUUUAUAUGCUGAUUAGCGUUUGCAGAGGUUAGGUUGUGUAGGUAUUUCCCAUCCACCACGACGAUGGUGAUGAUGGCUAGGCAAUAGUCUGCUCUAGGUUUGAAUAGAACGGAGCGGGUUUGGUGAAGUAGUCUUAUCUCUGAUGAUAACUAGGCACGCGGCUAAGUUUUUCCUGCUUAUUGACCAAAAUGCGGUAUGUGGUCAUUAGGGAAUGACAUAAUUGCUCGUGCUGCGUGGAUAAUUUGUAAAUCGAUUGAUUGCGCAUUGCUAAUAAGGAGAUUUGUUGUGGUUAGUUGCUAUUCUGAUGAUGGCUAUAGAAUAGUCUACUUUGGAUUUGAAUGGACUGGAGCUGGUUAAAUUUAGUUGACUGAGCCUUAAUCUCGUCCUUGUUUGGCAGGGUAGUCCUAUUGACUGGUGAGCUGUCUGGCUUACUUCUGAACUCACUUCGAAUUACAUAUGGUGUCUUGCAAUAAUACUAAUAUCGUGUCUCACUGAACUAAGUGCAAAUCUCAUAUUGUAGAUUGUAUUUAUAUGAUCUCUUUUUUGCCAUGGAACUUGCAAAUUCAUCUCUUUUUUCUUUUGGUUUUCUUAAGGUGACCAAGGUCGAGUGUUUAUCAUUGUGGAGCACUAUGGCUAUGACUUCCUAGUAGAACUUGCCAAAAAUAUGCAAGAUGCUGAGGAUUGGGAUGAUUUGCAAGCUCCGGAAUAAGAAGCUUGUGGAGUUUUGACUACUGUGUUUGGCCAAGACAUCCAUUAUGGCAGUGAAUGCAAUGUUAUACAUGGUGUCGACAUUAUCGAAGAUUCUCCACGACCUGAGGAAAACCAAACUUUUCUUGAGGUGGAUUCCUCUACUGAUACUUAAGACAAAGACAAUAUACUUGGCAGUUAAAUGGGUAGGAAAUCUACACGCUAUAUUCCUCACCAAAGCAGUACUAGAGCAAUUCAUCCACUCAACUCCAGGCCAGACAAUGUUUAGAAUCUAUGGUAUGCUUCUCCCAUGGACGUAGAUAAUACUGCCAAACCGCUUAAGUCAGUGUGUUGCUAUUCUUUUCUCUUAUAAUUUGUUCUCUCCUUGAUCGUUUCCAAUUUGCCUGUGAUUUUGCACACAGCAAAGGACGUCCACAAUGUACAUGCGCAAAAGCAUUUAGUAAAUUGCUUAUGGGGCCUCUUGUGACAUCCUGAAUUUCAUGUUCUGAUUUCGAUUGGAUAAGAUGGGCCUUUCGUCAACGUGACUAUAGUGUUUUUCUCUGAGUUGGCCACUCACGAGAUAACUGGCCUAUCCGGUGAAGCCAUUCAGGGAUUUUAAACGCAAUAGACUUGAGAAUUCGACCAGGAAUUGACUACUCGACCGUGCUAGUCUACAAGGGUCAUUACGGCAUUGUCAAAAUCGAUCAGAGAUCGGAGAUAGGUCGAUUUGACUGAGAUAUGUGAUCAAGUGUGGGUGAUGCCACCUGAUUGCAAAAUUCUCAUCGAUCGGCACUAAACCAAAUUUCUGUCGUUUUGGGUACCCUGUGCUCGUAUUUGAAACCUUGAGAUUUUCAUGAUCAUCGAGAGUUGCUAAUGAGUCGGAUGGGUUCAUUGUGGUUCGAAGAAAAUCGACCACGGGUCAAUUGCGCCAAAAAGUCCUAGAAACUACCCGGUAGGUAAGGUCACACUAAAAACACGUUUGAUUGAAAAUAACCGUGAAUUUGAAUUCAAUUUCAGAAAUUGGAAGUCCUGUCAUGUCACGAGUCAUUCUGGGAACGUCGACUCACCUUAUGAGGAAAUUCCGGCAAGUUCGGGAUUUUUACGGAAAACUGGAUCGGACGAUGCGGAAAACGAAUGGAGAUUCAGAUUGGCCGAUUUGAAGGGAUUUUUGACAUCUGGUGUUAGUGAAUUAGUGAUUGAAAGUUGUUUGGACUUUUUCUGAAUUCAAAUUGGAUUUCGACCGGAUUUAUUUGUUCAGAAAAUCGGAUUCCGAAAAAAAAAUGAAUUAAAAUUCGGAAUUGAAGAAAAUAGCCGUUUUGUUGCCCUAAAUUUAUUGUUCGAGGGAAAUUUGAUGCAAGAAAGCAAGUGAGGAUCAAGUACCUUAGUCUGGGAAUUUUCAGAGAUCAAAUUGGACUAAACAAAAGCAAGUGAGACCAAAUUUGAAUUAGUUUGGGAGGUUCUAUAUAAUUUUUCUUCCUCUCCUUCGGUCCCGCAGGCACUCUUUCCCUCCCUCUCUCGCACACAUUCUUCCCUAGCCGACCAUCCCCUGCGAAUUGGUCUCCAUUGCUUUUCAGUUUUGAUUUUUAGUUUGAUCUUAUCCCAUUCCCUCUCUCAUCAUUUCUCUCUCAUUCGUCUCUCUUUCUCGCAAAGCCUCUCUCGUCUCUCUCAAAGACCCACGCGAGAAGGCCCCACCACCUACCGACAACCUCUGCUUGGUCUUCAAAUGCCCCAUCUUUUUUUACUGUACACUGCAUUCUUAUCUUUCUCUCUCGUCUGUCUCGCACGAAACCCCCUGCAGUCUUCAAUUUCUUCUUUUCCUUUGACCGGUCUCCUCUUAUCACUUUCUCUAUUUUUCUUCUUCCAUACGUUGCCCACCGGAGCUUCUGCAUCUCUCUCUCCGCUCAGCCCUCAUCCCACGAAGCUGCUUCUCCACGCUGCCACUCGGCCGCAUCUGCUCUUUGUUUGGUUAAUGAAACCAGCCGCUUCACCAUCUGGUAGACUGAAGCCAGCGAAGCCGGAGCCGCACGCGUCUUCCCUAGCUCGGCGCUGCUUCCUCUCCAUCACGUGGUCUUCAGUCCACGCUCGAUCGACCUUUGCUGCUUUUGCUCGGCCCAUCACCCCACGCCCUCUGCCCCUCACGCUGAUGCUCCACUGAUCUUUGCCCCCACCAAUUAUGGCGCUAGCGAAGCUACCCAGGCCAGUCAACCCAGCAGCAAACCGAAGACCGCCCUUGCCACCGAACAGCGAGCUCCCAUCUUCGUCCGCUUCUCCUUCCCGUGAAGCAGAAUCAUCGCCCACCGAAGCCCCACGCUGCCAGCUCACGCCAUUCUCCAGCUCAGUCAACCGAAGCAGCUCUUGCGCCAUCUUCAGUCCACGUCUCCAGCGAAACCAUCUCAGCCGAAGCAAGUUUCGAAGCCCCUCUUCAAUCAGCAGCCCACAGUUUGGCCAGAGGCCCAGCCCGUGAGCAAGAAGUCCACGCAGCAAUCCAGCUCAGCCCACAAACUAAUGGAUUUCAGCCCGCGAGCUCAGCUCCAUUCAAGCCCCACGAGCCCAAAUGAAAUCAGUCCAUCAAAAGCCCAGCGAAUUUUUGAGGCCCAAGCCUGUGAAGUCAGGCCCACCGAAUCAGUGGACUUAGCCCAGCUCGAGCAGCGAGCUUGUAGCCCGAUUUCGGCCCCGGUUUGACCCCUGUUGGCGGACCCGCUUUGGACAGGAUUGACCCUUGUCGCGUGCUCGUCGAUUUGAUCCGAUCAAAUCGUUAAUCAAGUGAGUUUUACUCACUAAUGCUUUCUUAGUUUGCUAAUUAUGCCUAAGGGUUGGUUAGAUUUAAUUAAGUGCAAUUAAGUGGUUAGAUUAGGUUAGAACAAUUAAUUUAGUGACUUAAUGAUGCAUGUUAGGUGGCUAGACCUAGAUAUUAGCAAGUAGAAAUGUUCGGUUAUUUAUUGAAUGCAUAUCGGGAUUUUUCCCGACCCGUUUCGGGCUCCAAUAAGGCAAUAUGGGCAUAAAUUGGAUUUUUAUUAUUUAUUUAUUUAAUUUUCGAAAUUAAUUAUUUAAUUAAUUAUUUUUCCGGAAAUUCAACCGGGAUGGCUAGUGACCAGAAUUUCGUGCUGAUUGUCGUGGUGUAGACCGUUUAUUUAUUUGAGCCCUACGUUGUGUGGAAUUGAAUUAAUUGUGAAAUUUGAGAAUUGUCCCAAAUUGUUUGUUAUUGAGUAUAUGAUUGGUAAUGGCCGAGCAUGGAUAUAUAGCGCCAGUACGUUGAUGGGCUAUAUAGUAGGGAGAAUGAUGAGAGCUAAUUGAGAACAUUAUUGGUUGAGACCAAUCAGGUACGAUAUUAUUGGACAUACGUGGUUCGGUGAUUGGAAGUAUCACUGGUGAAAACGGCGCCUUAAAGAACGCACGUAAAUAACUUAUAGACAAACGUGGUUCGGUGAUUAUGGAAAUAUCACUGGUGAAAACGACGCCUUAAAGAACUCACGAUGUUGUUUAUAGCCGAUGUCACCUUGGCGAAAACGGCGCCCUAGAAAGGACACGUGGUUCGGUGAUCAAGGAUAUCACUGGUGAAAACGGCGCCUUAAAGAACGCACGGUGUCGGUGAUCGGUAUGUCAUUGGCGAAAACGACGCCCGAGAAACACAUGUGAUUUGGUGAAUGAGUAUGCCAUUGGGAAAUUAUGGUAUGAGUGGGAAUGACCUAGAGAUGGUCCGAUUGACAUGUAAUCGACUAAGUCGAUUGACCAGUGCUUGAUCGUAUGUCUUGAAUUGUUUGAAUACCUGUGUUUAACCUUAAACUGCAGGUUGGAACUGAGGCCAAGGUAAGUCCUCUAACUUGUGCUGUGCAUAGGCAACCUAGACGGUGUAUUGGUUUACUAAUCGAGUAUUAGGGGGUAGAGCUUGCUGAGACGUGGUCUCAUUGGUUAUUGAAUAACCAUUUCAGGUCCUUGGAUGCAGUAGACUUGGAUUUUGAAGAUCUCGAAAGUCCAGUGCAGUCUGCUGAAGGCUCCAAUUAAAGUGUAGAGGAUGAUGGAGAGGAGGACAGGGACCCGUAGUUUGUAGAACCCCACUCUUGUUUGUAGACCUUAUUUCUACACUGGCUUAAGUUGAAUUUGACUUAAUAGUUCACCUUGUAUAUAUAUGUGCAUUGGUUUGCAAUGUAUAUAUGAAUGAACGUUUUAAAGGUUUGAAAUUUAAUCCCACUGUGUUAUCCCAAUGUUUUAUUGUCUGGGGAUAAUUUAUAUGCUUCCGCAUGUGCUUAAAGAAAUGAAAGGGUCGGUGAUGCGUCCUGGGACAUCGCUAUUAAUCGACCAAGGUAAGGGAUGUGUGCGUGCCUGAGGAUCGGGGCGUGACACCUCUCAUCCAAUCAAAUGUCCAAUAGAAACUCAUAACUUUUGCCAAUCACUUCCCCAAUCUUCAAGAUCCAAAAUGAGAUAUUAGAACUCUUUAGUCAAUAAAGAAGUUGAUUUCAGUUUUGGAUGACGUACAAAUACCUAUAUUUCUCAAAUACUUUGAGAGCAUAGCAGAUCAUUAAAGUGUGGAACUUAGCAAUCUAGCAUCAUUGAUAGGAAUGUUUUGCGUAAAUGAAGGCUUGUGAUUUUUUUGUGCACAUUUUUCAUUUUCCAUGACAAUCCAUGUCAGAGACUAUUACGGUGCUAAAGAGGCUUAUUUCUGUUGAAGGACUAUAAGAGCAUUAUCACUCAAGGUUCAAUAUCGUCAGUUUUGUCAAUUUCAAAUAAAAGACAUUGCUCCUGGAUUUCAACUUCCAACCAAGGGACUCUUGAGUUAUGAGGAAUUGCAAGCCUUGGAUGACAUAGAAUUGGCAAAUGUUGUCAUAUUUGGAAACAAGGCAUUUCGAUCAAUGCAGCACCAGGCUUGUAAAGCUUGUGUAGCCAUGUCAAAUUGCUUUAUUCUUAUGCCCACUAGAGGGGGUAAACGCUUAUGUUACUAGGUUAGUGAAUGUUAACAUUGUCUUUGCUAUGUAAUGAUUGUAUGUAGAAGAAAGUGGAGAUAAUGUUUAAAGCACAACCCCCGUGCACUUUUGUCAAUGGUUCCACCAAAUAAAUGCAAAAGGGUGGACCCAUAUGUCAAAAUUUAAGCUUUAACAUGAUCUUUCUAAUAUGCUUUUUUUAGCACUGUUGAGAAGGUUGUGAACUUAAGGAUGACAAUAUUUUUCAGAUGAAUAUUAAGCAAUAGGAAGUGAUUCUGGUACAUAUCCGUGGGUUCCAAUGUAUGGCAUUGGAGAAAAUUAGAAAAAAAGAAAAUACAGGACAUUCUCGUUUUUUCUUCGCAAAUCUCUAUCUAUUGUGUAAUUUCUAGGAUUUAAAAAUCGUACUAUGCUUCUAGGACUCCUAAUCACUUGUUGGGGUAUUCAUCUUGUUUAUGCUUGUAACUGUUGUGCAAACUCCAACUUCGGUUUGAGCAUGAGUUUUCUUAGAUUUAAUUAAAUAUGAAAGGGUUUUAAUAAUAUGAGUCAGGUCGAAUAUGAGUUGAGUAGUGAUCGGGUUGGGCAUGGAUCUAUUUGGUUAUUUCAUAUGAAGAAUCACAAACGCUCUCUAGGCAUACACCACCACUAUACAAAGAGAAAAAGGCGAAGAAAGAAAGAAAGCUAUGGCAUACCAUUUUAAUUAGAACAACCAUACUCUUCGCAACCCAGGGCCACCUAAAGAUUGGCAAGAAUCAUUUGAACAGUCAAUGACGACCACAUGAGAAGGCAAAAUGGACUAGAUCCAUCUAAUUUAUCAUGAUCUUUCUUUAGUAUCUGUAAUUUUCCUAAUUAAUAAUAAUUUACUAAUUGAAGAAUUUUUUUUUCUUUUGUUCCUUAAAUUUUGUGUAUCUUAUGAUUUGGAAUAUAUCACCAAAAAAAAUUGUCUAAGUUUAUGAUAAAUUUUUUCUUAGAUUGUUAGUAAAUUACUUAAUAGAUCAUAAUUUUCCUAUGGCAUAUGUAGUUGUUUUUACUGUAGUAAUUUAUUUAUAAAAUAUCCUUGGAUAAAUUUUCUUUGGAGAGUGUAAUAUUUGUUUUUGUAGGUCAUAAAUCCUAUGAGCGCUAUGGUUCACAAUAUUCCAUAAAAAUAGUAGUCUACUUAUUAAUAGUAAACUUUUUGUGUGUACUUCAGUAAAAUACUAAAUUGAUUGUAACUUUAUUUACACUUUGUAAAGUUUUUUUUUUUAUUUUUAUGGUAAGAGUAAGCAAUAUAUUAAGAGGGGUCAAACUGUACAACCAACACGACACCAAAAACUUACACUCAAAAUGAACAUGCUUAUUAAGAGUGGAAGGAAGCCGCGGAAAGCAACAACACAACCAACAGAAAGCCAAAGGCAAACAAGCCUCGCAAAACACCCAAGCAACCACUGAAAAACCUAAGUCAGACUACGAUCAGAGGAAGCGAAGAUAAUGGGGUCCACAUCCCACGAGCGUUGCAUCCGCCUGUUCCUUGUAGAGUCCUCAACAUUCUUAAAGGUAAGGGCCUUAUCCUUGACGACCUUGAGGAGAUGCUCCUUCAUGGCCGAAAUAGAUAACGGCUCCUCCCUGAAAAGAAUAUUGUUCUUGUUCCUCCAGAUGAUGUGACACAGUGCCCCAAAGGAGAACCGGGCAACACACUUAUAAAAAUCCUUGCCGACGAGUAAGGUAGUAGCCCAACUGAGAGACUCCUCCCAAGGCCUGUUGGUCCAGGGGAGAUUGCAUCUAGUAGCCCAGAAGAAGGCAAUACUUGAGGUAAUGCGUCAACCAAAAAAGAGAUGAUUGAUAGAAUCAGGCACCUCGUUGCAAAAAGGGCAGGAAGCAGCAUCAAUCCUACCAUAAGACAUGAGAAGAGACUGAGUAGGCAACCUCCUCUUGGUGAUAAGUCACAAGUUCAAUUGGUAUUGAGGUAGGAUGGCAUUACUCCAAAUGAAACAAUGCCAAUUGACUCUAGCCUUCUUCCGCCUUAUGGCCUCCCAAGCCGAGGCCACCGAGAACAAACUGUCGAGUCCUCCCUCCAACAGAAUCGAUCUUGGGUUCCAAACAAGGAAGGAAGCGGCGAACCCCAAGACUCAAUCUCAGACCUGAUAGCUCGUCCAUCCUUAGAGAAGAGGUCGGCAACCAAAGCCUACCUAGAGAGACCGGAGCUAUAGAUUUAGGGAUUUGUGAAAUAUAAAUUCAAAAGACCCCUGGGAUGCCAAUUAUCGAACCAGAGCGACGUUGAUAAGCCAUCGCCCAAUCUCCAGUGGAAGCGAAGCUGGCAAUCUGUCCUAAGUUGUAGAAUUUUUUUCCAUGCCUAAGAAUAACAGGUUGGCUUCUUAACUACCUAGAAGUUCUUGGUUUUUAAGAAGAUCGAGUGGACCCACUUAGACCAUAACGACUCCUUAUUUGCAAAUAAAUUCCAUAUAUGUUUGAGCAUAGCCGCCUUAUUACACUCACGCAAUCUCCGGAUACCAAGACCUCCCUCUACUUUAGGAAGGCAAACAUCUUCCCAUGAGACUUUGGCAGCCCCCUACCCAACUCAGGUCCCUUCCAAAGGAAUUGUCUGAGAAUACGCUCUAUCUGGUCCAGUACAGUUGCAGGAAGAAUAAAGACACUUGCCUAGAAAGCCUGAAUGGCAUGGAGGACUGACUUGAUUAGCUGAAGUCGGCCAGCAAAAGAAAGAAACCAACGAGUCCAAGACUGUACCUUAGAGGUGAUGCGCCUCACAAGCUCAACACAAUCUGCCUUCCCGAGCCUCGAUGUGAUGAUUGGGACUGUGAUGAUUGGGACCCCAAGAUAUCGGACUGGAAGGUUACCCUCAACAAAGCCAAGCUCCAGGAGGAUUUGAUUUCUUAAGGCUGGCAGGCCUCCCGAGAGGAACACCUCGCUUUUCCUUGGGUUUGGGAGAAGUCUACUCCAAGAAGAAAACAUACGGAGACCAUCCCUGAAAAGCUUCACGGAUGGCAAGUGGCCCUCACAAAAUAGGAAAACAUCAUCCGCGAAGAACAAGUGCGAUAGGCAAGUAGACCUACAUCUCCAAUAGAAUCUGAAAUCCGGCUGUAGCGAGCACCUCCCAAGAAUUCUAGAGAGCACCUCCAUAACCAACGUGAAUAAGUAGAGAGAGAUGGGGUCUCCCUGACGUAGGCCACGCCCACUAGGGAAGAAACCAUGUACUCCCCAUUCAAAGCGAUGGAAAACCAAGGAGUCCUCACACAGGUCAUGAUGAGGUGAACCAAUCGAUGAGGAAAUCGAAAGGCAAGUAGUACACUCUCGAGAAACCGCCAGUCCACGGUAUCAUAUGCCUUUCUGAAGUCAACUUUAAUAGCACACUUGGGAGAAUAGGGUUCGACAUGGAACCCAGAGAAAAGUUCCUGCACCAAGAGAAUAUUAUCCCUAAUUCGUCAUCCCUUCAUGAAGGCACUUUGAGACGGAUUGACAAGGUCUUUUAGCACGGCUGCAACCCUAUUCGCCAACACUUUGGUAAUAAUCUUGUAGACCGUGUUGCAACAAGCAAUAGGCCUGUAGUCAUCAAUAGUAGUUGCAUUGGGAAUCUUCGAAACCAUGACCAAGAUGGUGUUAUUGAUUUCCUUAAGAAGUCUCCCCGAGGUGAAAAAGUCCUUCAUGGCUUCUGUGACCAGCUGACCCACUGUAUCCCAAUUCUCCUUGAAGAACUCAACCGUGAAGCCAUCCGGACUUGGUGCCUUACCUCUGGCAAGGGAAAAAAGAGUAUCUUGAAUCUCAAGAUCAGCCAUAGGGCGAGCAAGAAAAGUAAUCUGAUCAUCAUUCAACUGAGUGCGAAUAAUUUCCCGAAUCUCCGAUACCUGAGGGGUGUCCAGCUCCAUCCUUGGCAUAAGGAGAUCAUGAAAAUGCUCCACAAAAUGCUGUUGGACCAAUUGAGGCUCAGUAAUUUGGUUACCUGAGGAAUCCACAACAGAGAGAAUUAUGUUUCUCAGAUGUCUCUUACUAACAUACUGGUGAAAGAACUUUGUGUUCCGGUCACCUUCCUUGAGCCAUCUUAUACAAGCUUUCUGUCUAAAGAAUUACUCUUCCUGAGACCUAAGCUCCACUAAAGUAUGCCGUUGAACUCUCUCCAGGUCCAUGAGGACCAUGCUGGUAGGGUCAUUGAGGAGGCCCACUUGAGUUUGCUUUAAGGCUUCCCUCGCUUUAGCAGUCCUUACAAAGAUGUUGGCAAAGGAAUCUCUAUUUAACUGCUUGAGCCAACCCUUCAAGAUAUUUAGUUUGUGCACCAGCCUAAACUUGCUUCACAAUUGAGUCGAAAUCUGAGUGCUACAUCUAGAAGUUGAAGAACUUGAACGGCCUUUUCCGAAGGAUCGGGUUCUCCACCUUUACACCAUAGGUAAGUGGUCGAAAAUCCCAGGCACAAGGAAAGAUGCUUCCGAAAAGGAAAAAACCUGACUCCAACAAGGGUUUACGAAGACUCUAUCAAUCUUUCUCAUCUUCCGAGAGGGCCCUGAAGAGGUCGACCAAGUGUAUCGAAACCCCACAUACCAAAGGUCAUCCAGCUCCGCUUGAUCCAGACACUGCUGAAAUUCAUCAAAGCACGGUAACCAAAGGUCCGAGCCACCCAAUCUGUUCGAGGGAUCCUUUAUAGCAUUAAAGUCUCCCAAAACAAGCCAAGGCACGUCCUGUAGAGAAUAGCUUCUCGCCACCAAAUCCUCCCAAAGAGGUCAACGAGUAGAAAAAGAAUGCUCAACAUAAAUAAUAGAGAUAUAGCAGGCCACUCCGGUCUCCAACCAGCAAAGCUUCCCAAGAAUCAUCUGAUCCGAGACCGAUAAAACUUCAAAGGAAACCACAGUAGGAUCCCAACCAACCCAAAUCCUACCCCGAUUAAAGUACUCAGAAUUAGCCUGCCAGCACCAAUUCGAAAUUAAGUUCCCGGAAAUGGCAUUGAAGAGGUUAUGAGGAAUUUUAGUCCCAACUACCCCGAUCAAAGCCAACCGGUUCGUCAAGGCAAAGUUCCUCACUUCCGCUUGCUUGAGAGGGGCACCAAGCCCCCUAAUAUUCCAGCAACCUAUAUACAUAUAUAUACAAAAGAAGAGGGCAAAAGCAUUACCUCCUUUUAGAGGAACUACGCCUAGUAGUAGGCGGAGCUGUCCGGAUCGUCGAAGGAGGAGGAUCCGGGGCAAGAGCAAGUAGGUUGUCCUGUAUAGUCGAAGGAGGAUGCUCCGGCGUCUCAGUAGGCCUCUCCUCCUCUACAGAUGCCUUUGGUGAAGUGUAAAGGGAGAGGAGGUCAUCCUCCGACAAAGAGAUGUCUAUGCCCCCCUACAACCUCCAGGUGGGGCACCGCAGUGUCUACCGGCACUGAAGUGGUGAUAGCUUUAGCCAAAGUAGUUGGAACAGCAUCACCCUGCUCCGAGAUAAUCAAAGGCCCCCUAGGGGGCCUACGUAAAUAAGUACCAGGCAGCCUCUUCUCCACAGCCACAGUCUUGAGAUUUAAAGACCUCUCUCCUUCGCUCAGACUGCCCGGAUUGGGUGAAAUCCGCUCCAAAGGUUGAGCCUUGUUCUUCUUGCUCUUCACUUGCUUCCAGCCUUGCUCUGGGUCUUCAGGAAUCUCAGAGGGUUGGUCAAGGGGGCGAGCAGUGUCCAAAGGAGCAGGAAGAGGCCGAAGAGGGGGAGGGGCAACAUCACAUUUAUGUCCAAGACCCCACACUUAGAGCAUUCAAGGGGCCUCCAUUCAUAGUCCACAAUAAUGAACCUAGUGACCCCAUCAACAUUCGCUUCAACCGUUGAAACUCUCGGCUGAUUAGCUUGGAUCUCCACGUAUACUCUGGCAAAGGAAAUCAUCAUCAUGCCCUCGGUUCAUUGAUCCACGUGAAGGGGUUUGCCAACGGAGCUGGCUAUAACACUAAUUGUCGGUGCGGACCACAAGUCGAGGGGAAGGUUCUUGAGUCUUAUCCACACCAGAACAGAGGUUUGCUUAGCCUUCUUCAACUCCAUAAGGGGUUUCCAUUGUUGUAAAAUAAGGGAAAUCCGAGUAACAGUGAUCGGUCCCUCCUCUAGGAUCUUCCUCUUGAACUCCGGAUCUGGGAUAUGAAAAUAGUAGAACCCAUGGUCAUCCGCCAGCAUAUCAACUAGCUUUGUCCCUCAAGUAUUCUUCAAAGUCUGUUCUAUCAUCUGAAAAAGGGAGCUUUCUCCCAACAAAAUAUCCUACCAAGAACUCCUUCCAUUUGGGAUCUGCAGCCUGCAACGCUUCUCCCGACAGAUUUACAACUGCUUUAUCCCCCACAACAGCAGCAGGAGGAAUAUAGGAAAGCUCGUAGCCCUUUGUGGCCAACCGUGCCACAUUGGCCCACAAACCGGCUUGGAGGGGCCUUGAUGAGCUUGCUAGCUUGCUCGGGGCCCUCUUAGUAGGAGCCUGAACUUGACUUCAACCCCGAGAACUGCCUUCCCGAAGAGGCCGAGAGAUCGGCCCACGUCUCGAGCCAUCCCUGCCACAGAAGACCCUCCUACGGGUUGGGAUUGCUGGCACGACUUGCUAGCUUGCCGGUCCACAAACUUGUGAGAAGGGGAGCUCGGCCCCUUACCCCCACUACCACCUAGCCGAGGUUCUGCUGAAGUAGAGGCCAUCGAGCCACUAAGAAAUCAACAAAACUCAACAGCCAAAAAGGAGCUCCAUACUAGGCCAAGCUUCAAAGAGGAGGGAUACUCUGGACCACCCCCGCCGCCUCAAACCAAAGUCAAGCAAGCCACAAUCCCAAGCAACUCCCGCAAGUCUCGAACCAGGGCCGAGUAGGACUCCAGCAAGCGACAACCGACCAAAGCUUAGACGAGUCCGAGCGUGAGCAGCUCCCACAAAGACUACGAACUAGAGCCGUUCCAAUCCAGAGCCGAGACGGGUCCGAGCAUGAGCCGAGAGGGACCCCCCAGUCGUCCCGAGCCAGAGCUGAGACGGGUCCGAGCGUGAGCAGCUCCAGCAAAGACUGUCGAACCAGAGCCGAGGAGGAGCUCCAGCUCGUGACAGUCAAAACAGAGUCGAGGAGGGUAGCAGGAAACUCAUCUCGAGGGAGAAAAUGAGCUGAUCCACUCACCGGGAAGAUGGAGGAAGGAGAGGGGAAGAAAACCCCCAAAAAUCGGAGCAAGAGGGAGGCCGAAUCGUCCAGGCCGAGCAGGGAACCAGUCGGCGUGAACAGUGCACGAUCGCCUGCCUUGAGAAAGGAGAUGAACAGUAACGCGAGAAACAGAUAACCCCCCACUAAGUCUACACUUUGUAAAGUUUUGCAACCUAUUUGUUAGUAAUUUUCUUUAUUUUCUCAUAAUGUUUCUCAUGUAGAUAUAUUUGAUCACAUUUGCAUCCAUAACUUUUCUUUAAUGUCUGAAAGUUACAAUAGAAAAUUGAAUUUGCAAAACAGGUUUGACGGAUUGCGUUUUUACGCCCUUUAUCCAACUAUCCACAUUAAAUGUAGGAUUGAUCCCAUAAAAGAGAGUUUUAAAUUAUGAAAUGUCCAUUACAAUCAUGAUGUUUUGAGCACGAUAGAGUAGUUUUGUUUUUUUUUUUGCCAAACAAUAAAGUAUUGUUGGAAACUCUAUUUUUCCAAAAUUUUUAAAAUCAUCCUAUUGAAAUAUGUAUAUUAAUAUAUAUAAAGGUAAAAAUGUAAAUUAAAGAAAAAAGCUAUUACUUUGCUGAUUGUUUGUUUAGUAGAUAAAUAGAAUCAGAAAAGAAAUUUGAGAUCCGUCUUGGAAAUUUGAAACUUCUAAUACCACAUGCAAGUGUCACGGGCCUAAAGAGAGUCGACCCGAGAAGUUCCCCAGAGUCGACCCCGACUCGCCCAUGGACCUCCUGCUUUCACUCGGAUUCCCACCAAGGCUUCUCUCCGAAGUUUCCAUGGGCGGGCGACACCGUCAUUUUGCCUGAUUCCAGAAGUUUCCUUUCAUUGAUGUCGGUAGACGGUAGUUAAGUAUUUAUGGCGGUUGUUGAGGUGGUGCGAUCUGGCCCGUCGAAUGAAAAGUAGAUCAAUGGAUGUAAUCUGAGGCCCUCAACUAUAAAAGGGGUGUCCUCCUUCAGUUGUAAUCAAUCCAUUCCAUUUCAGAAAUAUCAAAGCUUUCCUUUCCUUUCAGAGCUCCUCUUUCUAACUUUCUCUCUCAACGAUCUGAGUAAGCGAGCGGGUAAGCAUUCGAUCGAGCAAGGCUUGGCUUGGGUAAUCCAGAGUUGCCCGAGUCACCACACGGUCACGAUCCCAAUCGAUCGGCCCGUGACACAAGUCUCAUGUCUGCAUAGGGAGCCUUCACACCAAAUGAACCCAAGGGGGUUGAAUGAAACCAAAAAAACGUAGAAGAGGUGGAGAAAAAUAGAACUUAAACAAACUUCAGGGGAGGAAACAGAAUUGUCAAAAAAAAAAAAAGAACUGAAAGAUAUGGCUCCGAUCUUCCCUGUUCUCCGGUGUAUAAAAAUGGAAAAUGAAAAACAUCAAUCCCGCCAUCGCUGGGAAGGUUCUCGAACAAGAGCACUUCGAGCUCGCUCGAAUUCGAUUCAAGACUACGGAUCGAUUCGAUUCGAUUCCAACUCAGCCACCGUCAAUCGAUCGAAUCGCUCGAACAGGUUGAACAUUCCUUGGAGGGAGCAGGGCUUAGAGGUAGAGAAAGCUCCGCUGCUGAGCUCAGCUCUCGAGUUCGGCUUCGACGAGCAGUCCACCAGCAAGUGCUCGGACCAUCUCGUUUCGCUCCACGGCAACUCGAAUCGUUAUUGCGUCUCGCGUUUUUUGUUGCUAAUGAGCGUUUUCGGAGAUUGCGUAGGUAGCUCUCAUCCCCACGAUGAUGAUGAUGAUGAUGAUGGCUGUGGAAUCGUCUUGCUUUAGGUUUGAAUGCAUCGGAGCGGGUUUAGCGAAGUAGCAGUCCUACUGACGAGCGAAAUGUCCGGCACUGGUCCAGCUUGAUGUGCUUAGGUUACUUCAGAUGGACGGCGGUUUUUUCUUGACUAUCGGCCCAAAUUGCGUGAUAUCUAGUCAUCAAGGAAUGACUUUGAUUGCUUGUGUUGCGCGGAUAAUUUGUGCAUUUGAUUGAAUGUGCAUUUUCUUAAUUAAGGAGAUUCAUUGCGUUUAGUCAUUCUGACGAUGGCUAUGGAAUAAUAGUCUACUUUGGAUUUGAAUGGACUGGAGUUUGCUUUGUUGAGCGUUAAUCUCAUCCCCUGUUUCUUUGUGGGUUUGGCGGAGUAGUCCUAUUGACAAGCGAACCAUCUGGCUUUUUUCUAAAUUCACUGCAAAUUGCUUAUGGGUGUCUUGCCAUAAUACCAAUAUUGUGUCGCACUGAACUAAGUGUAGAAUACUUAUUGUAGAUAGUAUUUAUUUGAUCUCUUGUUCGCCAUGGCUCUUGCAAAAUCAUCUCUUUUCUUCUUUUGGUUCUGUUAAGGUGACGAAGGUCAAGAGUUUAUCACUGUGGCAAUAUCUUCCUAGCAAAACUUGUCGAAACCAUGCAAGACUCUGAGGAUUGGGAUGAUUUGCAAGCUGCGGAAUCAGAAGCUUGUGGAGUUUUGACUGAUAUGUUUGGCUAAGAUAUCUGUAAUGACGGUGACUGCAAUGUUAUACAAGACGUCAAUAUUAUAGAAGAUUCUCCACAACCUGUGAAAAAUCAAACUUUCCUUGAGGUGGAUUCCUCUACUAACAGUGAAUACGAAGAUGAUGUUUUGGGUAGUAAAGUUGGUAGGAAAUCCACGUGCUAUGUUCCUAACCAGAGCAAAACUCUCAAAUUGUGGCCAGAUGAUCUUUAGAAUCCAUGGUAUGCUUCUUCCAUGGACAUAGACAAUGCUGCCAAACCACUUAAAUCAGUGUUUCACUGUUCUUUUCUCUUAUAAUUUUUUCUCUGCUUGAUCGUUUCCAAUUUGCUUGUGAUUCUGGACGCAGCACAGGACCUACGCAAUGUACAUGUCCGAAAGCAUUUAGUAAAUUGCUUAUGGGGCCUUUCAUCCAAUCAAAUGUCCAAUAGACAGUCAUAACUUUUGCCAAUUACUUCCACACUCUUCAAGAUCCAAAAUGACAUAUUAGAACACUUUGGUGAAUAAAGAAGUUGAUUUCAGUUUGGAUGAUUUACAAAUUCCUAUAUUUCUCAAAUACUUUUGAGUGUAUAGCAGAUCAUCAACGUGUGGAUUAGCAAUCCAGCAUCAUUAAAAGUAAUGUUUUGCAUAAACGAAAGCUUGUGAUUUAUCCUAAGCAUUGUGACUGUCAAAUUAAUGAUCUCCGCUUCUGCUUUGCCUGCCUUUUCAAAAAAGAUAGACCAUUGUGCAAGCUGUUGUAUGUAACUCCUGAAAGUAUUGUGGGAAACCCAUCAUUUCUUGAGAUAUUGACAUAGAAAGGCAUUGUUUCUGAUGCAUCAUAACUUUUUCUAAAAGGUUCUUUGCGAAUAUUUUAUAUUUGACCAUCAUGCAUUGCAGGCACUACUAGCUGGUUUUGUUACUAAUGAGGCACAUUGCGUGAGGUAUGUGUAAUCUUUGGCAUGCCUUGUACAUGAAGAAAGAUCAUGCUAGAAUUACUUCAAAAGGAAUAAUUAUUUGUGAUGUCAUUGUAAAACUGUUGUCCUUGUUCCAGAUAAAUAUAAGCAAGUUAACUUUUAUGUAUGCUAACCUAAACUCUUUUUCCAAACUUUUUUGCAUUUUUCUAUGUUACUAGCCUAAUUGAAUUAUCAAUGUUACACUAGACCUACUAAAGCCCAGAACCCUGUGAAAUUCUAAUAUAACAGAAUUCAGUGUUCCAUGUUUGAUGAAAAGAUUUAGGUUCCAUUGUUUGAGUACACUUAGCAGCACAUUGUUCAUUAUAUUGAGUAAAGAGCACACAACUUAAAUAAGCUCCAAUGGAAAUUACUUCCUAGACUAAUUGGAAUCGGCAUAAGCUUGGAUAAGGAUCCAUUAUCCUCUCUAUAUUUGGCACGAUACUUAGUCUCUUAAGCUGGUUCUUGUGUCCCUGUUUAUUCUAUUAACGCUUAUACUUAACGUUAACAACUUGAGAAAGGCAAAGGUUCAACCAUGUGAUCAUUGAUUGUGUUUCUUACAAGGUUUUAAAUGGAUUUGCUCUGCCAGUUUGAUCUCAUGAAAGGAACGUACUGUUGGUUUGAGCUUUUCUUGUACAUUUGACUGAUUAACGUUGAAAGCUCAUUGGUUGUCACUUUUGUGGUUGUCAUUAUUGUAGUCUAUGGGGACAGUUAGUCCAGAUUACAGGUGUCACGCCCCGAUCCUCGGGCACGCACACAUCCUUCUCACUUGGUCGAUUUUAUACUGCGAUAUCCCAAGACAAUGUAUCGCCGACCCUUUCAUAUUUAAGCACAUGCGGAAGCAAUUACAAAUCCCCAGACAAUAAAACAAUGGGAUAGAAAAGCAGGCUAUAUUUUUCAUAUUGAAAUUUAUAACCAAACCUUUAUACAUAGCAUUAGACAGAGCACUUCACAAACUAUUCGCAACUUUAGUCUCACUCUAUCUACACAUAUACAAAAGGGUUCACAAAGAGAUGAGAUUUCAAUCCUUGUCUAAGUCAUACUCGAGAUCAUCCUGAUCCUCCUCUGAUUCCUCUUCACUCAGAUCAUUCUCUUCCUCAAUUUCACCUGCGAGUUCUCCUUCACAAAUUCCUCCUCCUCAGCUCCUCGUCGGGAUCCUGAAAUGUUUUCCCCAAACUGGGAUGAGACUACGUCUCAGCGAGUUCUACCCCACUAAGCCCGAUUAGUAAACUAUUAUACUAAAGGCUGCCUAAACACGCAUAGCUCAGAAGACGUACCUUAGCAUCAGAUCCCACCUGCAAGUCAGUACAAUUUACAAUAGACACUCAAGCAAUCAUAUCACCGAUCGAAGCAUCGAUCAAAUCGACCUAGUCGAUUACAAGCCAACAAGACCACUCACGGUCAUUUCCAUUCAGUCAAUCAAUUCACAACAUCAAAUCAAAACAAUUAUCAAUCGACCUCGUCGAUUACAUGUUAGAACACAGACAUUCUGGGUCAAUUCGAUUAUUCCAUCUCAAUCAUUAAUUACGAACUACGAUCCUCAUAUCACAUCUUAAGCAAAGGUGGAAGACACAGUCCCACUCGACAACAUUCAAUAUUUAUUGGCUUUACGGUCCCACUCGACCACUUUCGAUAAUCGAUACACAGAGAUACGGCCACGUAGGCACAAUCUACGCCACACAGGCAUGAUCAACUAUCGCCACACAGGCAUGAUCACUUAUUGCCACACAGGCAUGAUCAACUAUCGCCACACACAGGCAUGAUCACUUAUUGCCACACAGGCAUGAUCAACUAUCGCCACACACAGGCAUGAUCACUUAUCGCCACACAGGCAUGAUCAACUAUCGCCACACAGGCAUGAUCACUUAUUGCCACACAGGCAUGAUCAACUAUCAACAAUUUACGAGCAUUCUCUAAGGCAACUUCUUCGCCAAGAUGACAUAAUCAACCACUGAAUACACGUGCAUUCUCCAGGUGAUAUUCCGAUUCACCGAGCCCACGAAUUUCCUUUCAGGUGAUAACCAAUACCCAACGAUUUCUCAAUCAAAUAAUUAAAUCAACUCAACAAGCAUUAUAACCGCUGAAUAACAUACUUGGCCAUUUACCAAUCAACAAUUCAAUCUCAAUCAAUUUCAAUCAAUUUAGGGUAAAUCCCUAAAAUAUCACAAUUUAUUCAAUUCCAUACAACGUGGAGCUCAAAUGAAUAAACGGACUGCGCCACGACGAUCAGCACGAGAUUUCGGUCGUCGGCCAUCAAAAUCUUAAUUUCCGAAAAAUAAAUAAAUAAUUUAUUAAUUUCGAAAAUUACAUAAUUAAUAUUAAAAAUUCAAUUUAGCUCAAAAUCAAGCCCGAUUAAAUAAACGGACUUCACCACGGUCAUCAGCACAAUAUUCCGGUUCCAGGCCAUCUCAGUUGAAUUUUCGGAAAAUAAAUAAUUAUUUAAUUUAAUUCCGAAAAUUAAUAUUUAAAUACUAAAAAAAUCCACUUAGGCCCGAAAAAGCCUAAUUGGAGCCCACUAAGGGUCGGGAAAAAUCCCGAGACACUUCCAAUAAUUAGUAGACCACGUCUACUUGCUAAUUGCACGAUCAAUUUAUCUAAAUCGCAUCACAAUUGACUAAUAAUUGCUAAUUUAUUCUAAUCUAACAACCUAAACAUAAUUAAUUAAAACUUAACCAACCUUAAGCAUAAUUAGCCAACUAAUCCUGGAUUAGUGAGAUUACUCACCAAAUCGCGCACAAAUCGGAUCAAUCCGACGGCGGCGACGCGAGGAACGAAACUUCCCAAAGCACGGCUCGGGUUCGGGGCCCGGAAACGGCCCAAAAGCGGGCCCGAAGUCGCUGAAACCCACUCCGCAACUUGCUGGGUUGCUGCAAAACAGAGGGGAAAAAGAGAGGGUUGGGGGCGGUAAGAGGUCGGGAGAGCGGGCGGUGCUCCGGGGAGGGCCGGUGGAGGUCCGGCGGCUUCAAUCGGCAGCCGGAGGUGGCCGGACGGGGUGGAACGAAGGUUGAGCAGAGGCUGAACCGUGCGGGGGAGCACGCCUGGGCGCGAAGGACGGCCGGCGGAACACGCGGUGUCGCGCGGGUGGUGCGGACGGCGGCCCGGCGGCGAGCGACGGCUUCAGCAAGCGGCUGCUCCUGCUCUUCUUCGGCUUCUGGUUCGCUCGCACGAAGAAGAAAGAAGAAGAGAGAGUGACGAGAGAGAGAGAGAGAGCGAGAGAGGAUGAGGAUUGACCGGUCAAAAUGAAAAGAGAGAGAGAAGUCGGUGGGGGAAAGCUGUCCGCACGAAGGGGGAGGGGAGAGGAGAGAGAAGAGAGAGAAAAGAAAGAGAGAAAAGGGAGAGAGAGAAAAAGAAAAAGAAUAAUACUAUUCUAAAUUUUCUUUUCUCUUUCCAUUUCCUUUUCUAAUUUCUUCCGGUCUUCGAUUUUUCCUUCGAUAAUUUCUUUCUUGAAAUUUCGGACUCGUCAAUAAAUUGAUAGACGAUGAGACGGUCCUAAAAAUGAAUUGUGACACGCUCGAAUAUUCAAUUCCCGAAACCAAUUUAAAUUCCAUGGUUAAAAUCGACCGGACGUGAUUUUAGUCCAAUCCAACCAAUUAGGUAGCUUUUAGGGAUUUUACCAUGGAUAUAUCCCUUAACAACUUCACCCAAUAGGUUAGUUAACUCGUGAGUGAUCAGCUCAGAGAAAAAGAACCAUAGGCACGUCGACGAAAUGCACAUUUCAUUUUAUCGAAACGAGGUCGAAUUUCAGGAUGUCACAACUCUUCCCCUCUUAUAAAAAUUUCGUCCUCGAAAUUUAAACCAUUAUACACUUUGCUCAAAAAGGCGGGGGUACAAUUGUCUCAUCGACUCUUCAGUCUCCCAAGUCGCUCCUUUAGUACUGUGGUGUUGUCAGACCACUUUGACCAACGGAAUGGUCUUUGUACGCAGAACUUGCUCUUUGCGAUCGACAAUCUGAACUGGGCUUUGCACGUAUGACACACGGUCAUCCACGUCCAAUUCAUAGCUAAGACCAAGNNNNNNNNNNNNNNNNNNNNNNNNNNNNNNNNNNNNNNNNNNNNNNNNNNNNNNNNNNNNNNNNNNNNNNNNNNNNNNNNNNNNNNNNNNNNNNNNNNNNNNNNNNNNNNNNNNNNNNNNNNNNNNNNNUCAUGCUGGAUUAGUAGCCCGUCAAAGAGUAGCUGUUCAAAAGAAAUGGCAUACUAGAGAAGUCCAGAUUGUAUGUGCUACCAUUGUCUUUGGGAUGGAAAUAGACAAACCUGAUUUCGGAAGUCAAAAUGGACUUUGGCUUUGUCUAUUUCUUACAUUUUAGAAGUCGAUAAAGGUGUCGCGGUGGAAUGACCCCGAGACGCAGAGGAAGAGGAGGCUGGCCAGAUCCAAGCUUUAUUCGGUCCAGGGCAAGUUCAAGGCUUGUAUCAAACGAGGGUUCUGAUAGUUGAAGCACAAAUGCUCGAACAUCGUGCGUCAAUUUUAAUAUGUAGAAAUUACGGAAUCUCAUGCUCAUCGUAAUCAAGGGAGAAAAGGGUGGGAUCAGUUGAGAGGAAACAGAGAGGUUUCGUUUGUUUAUCGGGUUUUCAUCUUGAUAUGCAUCUAAUGGUAAUUAAGUAUUCAGAAGAGUGCCACAAUGUUUGAUCUUUCCUAUAUUAUGUUUGUUUAAAUCGUUCAUCGAUCUCCAGCAUUCCAAAAAUAGGAAAAUGAGACAACUCAUAUUUGAUAUUCAUAAAUAUGUAUAUUUGCUGAAAGUUUUCUAUUUUCUCCAAAUUUCCUUACCUUUUAAUUUAUCUGCAACAUGAUUCUGCAUACAUUGCAUUCCCAUGCAAAGUGAAAAUUGUCUGACCUACUAAUUUCUUCUCUUUUCCAUAAGCUGUUUGCUCAACAACAAGAUGCUGAUUGCAAAAUAAGAAGACUGCUUUCAUUGGUAGGAUUUGACGUUUAGCUCUACUUCGUGGUCGAUUUCUUUGUUUAAAACUUCUCUUUUUUUUUGGCUAAAUGUUGCUUAAGCCUCCGUUUUUGGGUUCUUUAACUCCCUAAUUUCCUCAAUUUGUCUAUUUCAAUUCCUCUACGUUAUAUGAUUCAUCAUAUGACAAACUCCCGAAGCUAUAUAUCCAAACAUGCAGUUCGCAGGUGUUCAAUAAAUUGAAAGGCCUUUAACAUUUCCGUUCUGAUUUGAGUCACAACUUUCAUAAUUCUCGAGCUAUUCCAUCAAGCCUGGAGUGUAAAAAAAUUCAGGAGAGCCAAAGAACCUUCUCUUGUCCUUUCGAAACUUUUGUUGUUAUUGUUUUUUAAUAAGACCUCAAUGUAAUAUGGGAUGGAGCUAUCGUAAACAAGCUUAAACCAAAUCAUUAGCAUGUAACCAAAAUAAAAGAGGAAAAUGGGAGAAACCCAUGAUCAGCACCAAAUGGUUCGAUCGGUUUAAUACAUUCAUCUAAUCAUUUGAUUGACUCACGUUCCAACUUCAAAUCACUUCGAUCGAUAAGGUCAUGACUAAUGUUGUAUAAGUAGUCAAACACAAGGCCAUUGCCCUUUGAAUUAAAUGCCUAGGCACUGGUUGAGCAAUUAAAUAGUAAAUUAUACAGUCAAUCGUUGACUUUAUUUGCGACUCUUCUGGUGUUAUAUUUAAUUAAUAUUUUGCAAAUUAGAUUAUUUCAUGUCCGGUAUGUUUAACUAGUGUUUUGACUCUUUAACGUGGCCUGCAUUUUAUGUGAGUUAGUACUUAAAGAUUCAAACUUAGCUUAACAAGUUACUCGGCCUUGUCUUCAGGUCCGUAAAGUAUUGACUUAAAUUUCAGCUAAACAACGAGCGAAUCAGACACUAUGAUGCGAGUAGCUUUAACUACUAAAGUUCCACUAUUGUAAUAUAGUACGAUAAAGAGGAACAUCUGAGAGUGGCUCCAAAUAAAUUGCUUCGAUUGAAACUCGAAUGCAUGACCAAUGACCACAAUUUGGUGUAGUAUAGUUCAAGUACUAACCAAUUAGAUGACCCCUUACAGUGUUUUUGUCCAAAGCAAAUCAGUAUAAAUAUUGGGAGGGACUACUUUCACCAUUCCAAAGAUUAUUCUUGACAUUUUUAUCUAUCUUCAACUGUGGCCAACGCCAAAGAAAAUUUGGUUCCAGGUGUGGAAAAUGUAUGGCCAUGUCUACUCUGCUUUAUGGAUUCAUGCUUAAAGGAAUCAAGUUUGAGAUUAUACACUUAAAAGUGAUUGCAAAAUGCCAAUACAUGAACUUCCCGAGUCCGAGAAAUGAUCGUACACUGACGAACACUUUUAUUUCAUGCUCAAAAUUCUUCCAAAUGAGAAACUACUGUCUUUUGGGAAUCUUUUCGCUGAAAAUCUGGCCUGCAAUUGAUAGAUUAUUUGCUGAUUCCAUGACAUUCGCUUUUUCCAUGAAGAAGUAUCUCACAUUGACAAAUUCGUAGCUUGAAGUGGACAUCUAAAUGGUAAUCUUUCUGAUAAACCUCACUUUAUGCUAAAUUUACAUACAGAACCACCUGUGCAUAUGCGGUCUUCUUGCAAGCAUUUUGAAAUUUGGCGUUUGCUAAAAAAUAGCACAAUUUCAAAGCUUGCAAAGAACUACUACACGUUAUAAGAGAUCCCUUUAUAUCAUGAAUCCUAUGAAGAAUAUCAACAACAUGGAGUACAUUAUAAGCACCAAUAGCGAAGAACUUUUGAACGCCUUUCCAUAACGUCUCAUGACAUAUCUCAUUCCUGCCCACAUCUCCUUCCUGUGAUGUUUCGGGAUGCUAUCUGAAUUUUAUGAAACGCAAGUUGAAUCUACACAAGAAGGCUAUGAUUUACUAAUUAUCAAUGAAUGAAGAUAACCAAGAUCAGACCCACCCUGCGGUGGAAGCGUUGGUUUGCGCCCUGCCCCCUCAUUCGGGUGGGAAGGGGUUUGAAACUUCGUGCCCCCAUUGCGCGACUAAAGUGGAGUGCUGUGGGAGGUGGGUCCCUGCGCUAGUGCUCCCCCUGGUUUAUGCUGCCGGCUGCCGGUUGUACGGUGAUUCUAGGGUCAUCAAAAAAAGAAAAAAAGAAAAGAAAAGAUAACCAAGAUCGGAGCAUCACAGUAUACACCAUGAAAGAUAAGGUACAAAUGCACAAAGCAUCAUUUGGCCCAAUAGCAGUUGGACAGCAAUGAACAGAAACCUCAUCAGCUGGCCAAUGAAAAAGAAAACAACAGGCUUAGGAGAUGAAAGCAAUUAGCAACACUUUCCUUGUUUGUGGUUAGGAACAUAAUUGGUGUUAAUAAAUUAUGCUGAAAAGAUGAAGUGCCUAAACUGCAGAACAGAAAGAUGAACUCAUUACUUGGUUAUUUCGCAAUAUCCCAUUAACAAAAUUAGCAGUACAAGAUAAUUUGCUAGGAGAUGAAUUUCAACUUUACAAAGUCGACGUGGUAUGAGAACUGAACUUAUCAAAUUGAAAAAAAAAUCAGAAUCCCAUCUGACAACCUUCAAAGGAUAAUAUCGCAUUGAUAAGAUGGAGGAGAUUGUCCUCAUGCAUACUUGCUUACUAAUUUUCAGGUGAAAUUCCACAGCUCAUAUAGUAUAAGCACAUAGGUUAUUUUUUCAUUGUUAUGGUACAACUAGUAGUGCAUACCUCCCUCUGCAGAGCCUCAUUGAGUUCAGGUGUGAUAACAUUAGAAUGCAAUGGCAUCAAACACCUUUGCAUUAGGGAGAUAUACAAAAGAAUCAGCAGCUACACAUUUGAUUGACAGAGAGGCUGAACCUCGUGAGCAUACAAAAAGCAGACUCAACUGAAAAUACAAAAUUUAAAUCAUUCAGGCAUGUGCUGUUGAGAUCAGAUAAAGUGUUUUGGAUCCUCACAAGCAUCAAAACUUCCUAAGCAUACUUCGGUUGCCCAUGAGCCUCUUCAAGGUUGGCAUGAAAGAUGGUCCUAAGCUGUUGCUGAUGCUUCCUUUGCAAAAUAUAUCUUCUUCAUUUUGAUCGGUCUCUGGCAUGGAAUUUGAAGUUCCUCAGCCAAGUUAGCUAGACUCAGAUUAAUCAUGUGAUAAAAUGAUUCCAUGACAACAAUAGGAUCAGAUGGGAUGCAGACUUAUUAGCAAGUUCUUGAGCUCCUCGCCCUGCUUGUUUCAAAGAAAGGGCAAAAAAUUUGUCCCAAUUAUGCAAAAGAUCAUCGAUACAGCUCAUCAAAUUGAGGUCCCAAAGUAAGCCUUGAUCAUCACAUAGACCAACCAAACCUAUCGUAGAAGCAGUGCCAAUUUACCUCGCUUGAUAAUCUUUCAAAACAAUAAUUUGACUGCAGGUUAAGAAUAGGCAGUCUAGAAUCAUAUAUGAGAGACUAGUUGCAAAUACUCCCCAUUUUUAUUUUUAUUUUUAUUUUUAUUUUUAUCACCGACUAGAAAUACUUGAACUUUGAUUUUUAUUUUAGCCCAAUUCCUUAUACUUACUGGAAUUGAUGCUUAUCUAGAAGGUUCAAGAGGAACAUAAAGGGAACAAUAAGAAACUUGAAAGGGUUCAUCAUGGAAAAUCAAAAUGUGUUCAUCCCCAACGGGGUUAUUUGCCAUUAUUCAAAUUUGACACAUAAAAGAGCUCACAAAGGAACUCAAAAAUGGCCAAGGAUUUUUCAAAGAAAAUAUGAAUUUUGGACAUAGGGAAAAUGGAUACUUGCCAUAGUUUACUAUAUUGAGUAGCAGAAGAUCAUCGGCCUCUAGAUGAAAAAUUCAAAUUCCAAGUUUAUAGAGAGGGGAACUGUUAAUCACUAGGUGAUUCUAGUUUACCUAUGUUGACAUUUUCAUUCUUGCCUCAAAAGUUGCCAAUCUGUUUGCAGUCUACAAAAGCUGCCAAUGGAAGGAUAAAUGAAAAGCAUUGCUAUAACGUAAUCAACAUCAAGUAUAUGUUGGAAAAUCCAGAGUCUCCAAAAUCAAUCAAAUAGAUACCCGGUGUGGAGAAAAUCACUAUUAAAAAAUACAGCUUCAAGAAAAGUGUUACUCCAUUCGCUCACGUUGGCCAUUCAAGGAUGGAGAAUCUUACUAGAAACCAAUGCCUUCUAUUGACAUUAGGGUCUAUAUUUUGAUCUUGGCUGAAGCAUCAUGUCUGCUUCUAUGACCAACUACCCUUGCUCCUUCAAUUAUGUAAUACUAGCAAUUUAGGGAAGUGCAAAACCCUGUCAUGGAAAACCUUCUUGUCAGAAGAAGAUAGUGAUGAAAAAUAGGUCAUGAAUAUUAGAAGAAAAAUGAUAGUUUACUACUUAUUUACCUCUGUCAAGGAAACAUGUUCCGUCCCACUGUUGUAAUACAAGUAUAAGAUUCAUCACAUCAUUAUCACUGCAAUAAAAUAUUUCAACAGAGAGAACGAGAUAGAUCUCUUUUUUAAUUUCCAGUGACGUGUGUUCUAGAUAGUUUCAGCAGCGUUUCCAAUGAGUUGCAACCGUGAAUAUCCAAAAGAUCUAAAUCCAUCUUUUCAAGUCCCUGAAGCUGAGUAAGUUUCUUCCGGUCUUUAAUUACUAUAGAUUGUAACUUGUCACGUCUCGUCAAACUUGGCAAAGUCUUCAUUGUCAUGCAUUGUGUAAUAUCCAAUUUUUCUAAGAACUACACACCAUCAAGACCUCAAUUUUCGACUAGAUUGUCGCACUCGAUGGCCCAUAAUUCCUCCAAACACUGUGAUUUUGGACAGAGAAGCCUUUUAAUGGAAUUGCAGUCAUAUAUAAAUAUACCCUCCAAGAACUCCAAAUUAUCAUGGCCCUGAAUUUCAACUAGGUUAUUGCAAUGCUUGGUGCAUAAUCAUUUCAGAUGAAUUGAUUGUGAAAGGUCCAAUCUUUCAAUCGAAUUGCACUUUUUUUAUUGAAAACUCUUCCAAGUACUUGAAUCUAUUGAGCUUAAGCAAUAUCAGCUUAUCACACUCCUUAGUACAGAGUUUCAAGGGUCUUGAGGAAAUCUCAGGGAUGUCUUCAAGUAGAUGGCAUGCCUUAAAAUGGAGUUUUUCUAGGUGGAUUAGGCUAGAAAGCUGUGGCAACGUGGGACUCUGACAAGAGAUCAACAAAUAUGUCAAGCCUGAAGGAAGCUUUGGCAGCAACCAGAGCUUGUCAUAGCCUAAUAGGCUAAGGCAUUGGAGAGAAGAAACAUUUCGAAUGCUUUCUGGUAGGUUAGAUAUCGGCAUGCAAGUGAUAUAGAGAACCUUGAGCAAAGACAAGUCACCGAUUUCACUUAGAAUUGCUUUUUCAGACAAGGCAUGAUAGGAAACUUAUAGUGCGAAGAUUUUUCAACCUUCCAAUAGCACUAGGAAGCUUUUCAAUCCCAGAACCACUAAUAUCCAUGUGUUGCAAAUUCUGUAAAUCUCAAAUUGAGCUAGGGAUUUCUCUGAGUGACUCAUAACAGCCGACGCUCAGUUUCCCAGAUUCCUCAGAGAGCCGAUAGACAUAGGAAUCUCAGUAGUAUCAGCAAAAUCUAACGUAAGUUCUUUUAAUUUGACAGAUUGAGUCUAACUCACAUACCAAUCUGCUCUUGGUCCAGUCCGUUGCCACAUUCUUCACCCAAGAUCUCAAUUCUCUUGUGGAUCCUAAGAUUGCCACACUCUCCCCAAUUGCAACUUGGUGAACCAACCGAACACUAAGAUGCACGUUCUCCCGUCCCAGCUUUGACUUGAUCUUAUUCGCCUUCUCCUCCUCCUCUGCAAUAAACACACUAUGUUAUAGCUACUAACAAUAGCUUCCUUCCUUUCCAAACAACUCAAACAGCCAUUUUCAUGUGAACCACCGAUUCUUUCUUUGUCAUUUAACACCACAUUCAAAGAGUUCAAAGAGAACCUUAAAUCAAGACGGUGUCAGAUAAUCAAUGCUGCUAGCUUUUAUGCAAGAAGAACUUGAAAGAAGAACAUAAAAAACUCUUUUUUCUACACUGAUUCUCGUUCAAGAAAUAGAGCCCACAUAAACUCCAUCCACACUAGAGACUCAAACAAACCUUUGAUAGAGAAUUGCAUAAAACAACCCAAUACUUCACUCCAGAACCCAGUGCUUGAUCAGACUGACAUAAGUGUACUAGAACAAAUCCAGAGAGAGAGAGAGAGAGAGAGAGAGAGAGAGAGAGAGAGAGACCUGGUUUUAGUGGUGGAAACGCUACCAACAACUGUGGAGGUGCCACUCCGAGUGGCAUGAGCUCCAUGUGUCCACCUAAGAGAAUCUCGAAGGGGAAAAGUAAUGCUGCUCUUUAAGAAAGAACUGGUCUCUCUCCUUGGUUUUAGGUAUGAAAAUGCACAUGGCUAUGUCUCUUCUGCUUUUAGAUUCAUGCUUAAAUAAAUCAAGUUUGAGAUUAUACGGCCAAAGUGAUUGCAAAAUGCCUACAUAUGAAUAUUCCAACAUAACCACACCAGAGAGAUGAUUUUACACUAACAAAUGCCAUUCUUUUGUGUUCAAAAUUCUUCCAAAUGGGAAACUACCGUCUCCUUGGAAACUUGUUCAUUGAAACUCUUGGCUGCAAUUGACAGAUUAUUUGCUGAUUCCUCGGCAUUUGCUUUUUCCACAAAAAAUGUCUCUCCCAGUCACAAAAUUGUAGCUUAAAGUGGACUGGUAAUCUUGUUAACAAAUCUCAUCUUAAGCUUGAUUCCACAUAUAGAACCAUCUACACAUGCGGUCUCCCUCCAAGUGAUUUGUGAUGCAACCUUUGCUACCUCCUAGCAAUUUGUGAUGCAGCCUUCGCUAAAGAGUAGCACAAUUUCAAAGCUUGCAAAGGACUAAUACACCACAUGAGAAGAGGUCGUCUCAUAUCAAGAAUCCUUUGAAGAGUAAUAACAACACGGAGCCAAUGACAAACGCCAAUAGCAAAGAACUCCGGAAUGCCUUUCCAUACUAACAUAGCUCAUUCUUGCCCGUAUCUCCAACCCGUGGUGUUUGGGGACUUUCUCCAAGUUUCAUCAAAUGCAGCUUUAAUUUGCACAAGGAAGAUAGCACUAACUAAUUAUCAAUAAAUCCAAGAUCGUAGCAUCAGAAUUUACCCCAUGAGAGAUAAGGUACAAAUGUGUAAACAUCAAUACCAAUCAAAGUUGGACCACAAUGAACAGAGACUUUAUUAGAUGGCCAAUGAAAAAGAAACCAACAGGCAUAAAAGAAGUAAGCAAUUAGCAACACUUUCCCUAUUUGUGUUUAGGAACAUAAUUGAAAUUAAUAAAAUUAUGCUGAAAAGAUUAGUGCCUAAACUACAGAACAAGAAGAUUUAUUUGCUACUGGGUUAUAUUGCAAGAUCCAAUUAGCAAAAUCAGCAAUAUGGGAUUAGUUUGCGAGGAGGUUAAUUUCAACUUUACAAAUCCAAUGCUGCAUACAUGAGAACUGAUCUUAUCAAAUCAGAAACCUAUUUGAGAACAUUCAAAGGAUGUCAUCACACAAAUAAACUGAUAGAAAUGAAGGAGCCUAGUAGUGCAUACCUCCCUCUAUAGAGCCUCAUCAAUUCGGGAGUGAUACCAUUAGAAUGCAACCACAUCGGACAACUCUGCAUUAGGGUAAAAUAAAAAAUAAAAAAAAUCAGCAGCUUAGUAUUCGAUUAAAGGAGAGCUAGAACCUGAUGAGCAUACAAAAAGCAUAUUUAAUUGAAAAAAAAAUACAUUUACAAUCAUUCAGGGAUGUGAUGUCGAGAUCAGAUCAAGUGUUUGGCAUGCAAGAUGGUCCUCAGCUGUUGCGGUAGCUUCCUUUGCAAAAUGCCUUUUCUUUAUUUUGAUCAGUCUCAGGUAUGGAAUUUGAAGUUCCUCAGCCUAGUUAGCCACACCCAAAUUAGUCAUGUGAUAAAGCAAUUCCAUGGCAACAAUACGAUCAAACGGGAUGCAAAUUAAUUAGCAAAUUCUUGAGCUCCUCAUCCCAUCUUGUUUCACAGACGGGCAAAAAAUUGUCCAAUAAUGCAAAAGGUCAUUGAAACAAUUAAUUGAAUUGAAGUCCCAAAGUAAGCCUAAUCAUUACAUAGACCAACCAAACCUGUCAUAGAAAUAGCACCAGUUUACCUUGCUUGAUAAUCUUUCAAAAGAACAGUUUGACUAAUAAUAAUGUUAAGGUAGUCUACAUUCAUAUAUGAUAGACUAGCCAAAACUACUUUUUACCAUUUUUUUUGUCACCAAACAGAAACACUUGAACCUUGAAUUUUAUUUUAGCUCAGUUCAUCAAAUUCCGAGAAGUGAUGCUCCUCUUAGAAGGUUAAUGAGGGACAUCAAGGGAACAAUAAGAAACUUGACAGGGUUUCGUGCAUUAUGGAAAAUCAAAAGGCGUCAGUAUAUCUACCAUUAGUCAAAUUUGACAUACAAAAGAACUUACAAAGUAACUCAAAAUGGCCAGAGAUUUUUUCAAAGAAAAUAUUAACAUUGGAUGUUUGGAAAUUCUGGGCAUAGUAUACAUUAAUGAGUAGCAGAAGUUCAUCAGCCUCUAUGCCUACUGACAUUAGGGUUUGCAUUUUGAUCUUCGCUAAAGCAUCAUGUCAGCUUCUACGACCAACUGCCCCACUCCUUCAACUAUGUAAGACUAGCAAUUUAGGGAAGUACAGAAUCCUGUCAUGAAAAACCUUCUUGUCAAAAAAAAGGCAGUGACCAAAAGUAGGUCAUGAAUCUCAGAUGAAAAAUGAUUGUUCGCUGCUUAUUUACCUCUAUUCAAGAAACAUCACUCCACGAAUCAAAAGAUAGCUCUUGUUCAUAAUUUCUAAAGACGUUAGUCCCAGAUAAGUCCGGUAUCGCUUCCAAUGAGUCACAACCAGAAAUAUCCAAAUCAAUUAAAUCAACUUUUCAAGUCCCUGAAGCUGAGUAAGUUUCUUGCAGUCUCGAACUCGUAGAAAUCGUAACUUCUCACAUCCCGUCAAAUCUGGCAAAGUCUCCAUUGAUUUGCAUCCUAUAAAAUCCAACUCUUCUAAAAACGGUGCACCGUCAAGACCUUGAAUUUUGAUUAGAUUGUUGCACCCAACAACCAUUAAUUUCUUCAAACGCCGUGAUCUUGGAUAGAGAAGACUUUCAAUGGAAUUGCAGUCAUAUAAAAAUAUGACCUCGCAGGGCUGUUGAAAGCCCUGAUCAAUCACCGGGAAAAUGAGAUCCCCAGGAAGCUGGAUUUCCACUAGGCUAUCGCAAUGCUCAGCACGUAAUCAUUUAAGAUGACACAAUCCUGAAAGGUCCAAUUUUCUAAGGGAACUGCACUUUUUUAUCAAAACCUCUUCCAAGUGCGUGGAUUCACUAAGCGAAAGUGAUGUUAGCUUAUCCCACUCCUCAAAACAGAGUUUUGAGGUUGUUGAGGAAAGCUUACGGAUGUCUCUAAACCGGAGAUGGAAUUCUUUUAGGUGGAUAAGGCUAGAAAGCUGUCGUAGUCUGAGACUCUCACGAGUGACUGAUAGAUAUGUUAAGCCCGAAGGAAGCUCUAGUAGUGACCCGAGCUUGUAACAAGCCUCUAGGGCAAGGUGCUGGAGAGAAGUAGGAAGCUCUGGCAACGAUUGGAGAUCGUUACAGCGACUGAGGUCAAGUUGCUGGAGAGAAGAAGGAAGCUUUGGCAGCGACCGGAGCUUGUAGCAGCUCAUUAGGUCAAGGGAUUGGAGAGAAGAAGGAAGCUCUGGCAAUGACUGGAGCUUGCGACAGUCGCUUAGGUUAAGGUGCUUGAGAAAAUAAGGAAGCUCUGGCAGGUCAAGGUGCUGGAGAGAAGAAGGAAGCUCUGGCAGCAACCGGAGCUCUCUGCAACUCAUUAAUUGAAGGGACUGGAGAGAAGAAGGAAGCUCCGGUAGCGAUUGGAGUGUGUAACAACUGUUUAGGUGAAGGUGCUGGAGAGAAUAAGGAAGCUCCGGCAGCGACUGGAGUUGGCCACAGUACCCUAGAUAAAGGUGCUGCAUAGAAGAAGGAAGCUCUAGCAGCGACCGGAGGUUAGUGCAACCGUAUAGGUCAAGGCAUCAGAGAGAAGAAAGAUUACGGACGCUUGGCAGGUCAGAUAUCGGUGUGUCAUCAAGAUUGAGAACCUCGAGGGAAGGUAAGUUAUCGAUUUCACUUGGAAUCGCCCCUUUCAAACUUUUGCACGAUGAGAGAUCUAGCGUCCGCAGAUUUUUCAACCUUCCAAUAUCAUUGGGAAGCUUUUUGAUCCCACAACCAGCCAAUUGCAGAAGUUGCAAAUUCUGUAAAUCCCCAACUGAGCUAGGGAUUUCUCUCAGUGAAUCACAACCCUUGACAUUCAAUUUCUCCAUCUUCCUCAGAGAACCAAUAGACAUAGGAAUCUCCAUAAUACCAGAAUAUUCUAAUAGAAGUUCUUCUAAAUCUUUUAAUUCACCCACCUCCUCCGGUAGCUCCUUGAGACAUGUACAGAAACUCAAAUUCAAGGAAAUGAGGCUCGUGAGUUUGCCAAUAGAAGGGUGGAGAUCCUUUAGCCCGUCACAUUCAGACAAGAUAAGAACCUUCAACUGUGUGAAAGCUGAGAGAUCAGGAGUACAUCUUAAAUUAUCGCAUCCCCGAAGGACGAGAACUUUAAGCUGCUUUGACGCCUAAUACAAAAAGAGAAUAAGCCGUCAAAGAAGUAGUUAAUCGGCUAAACAAAAACAAAAUCCUAAAAUCGUAGAGAAAUGUCUUCUUGUUCCAAUCUUACUAUGAAUGAACUCCAUCCUUCCCAAUCCUCUGUGAUCUCACUCCAUGAUAACUUCAAUACUGAUAAUUUCGGUAGAUGCAAAUUGGUUGUCCAAAGAGACAAAUCAGCACGCCACUUAAGCCAUCUCACUUCAGAAAUGAGUUGCAUGGAGUGUCCGCUUGAAGCUACCCCAAAAAAGUCGUGGAACCAGCAGCGUUGCUGCAAGUUUUUUAACUUUUUAGUUUUUGCUUUUUUUAAAUCUUGGAUUGGCACGAUCUGAUACCCUUUUAUCCUUACUCCAUAUAGAACACAUGAACUCACAUUUAAUUCUUUUUUCUGACGACCUUUCGAAUGUUAAACAAAUGAUGCGAGGAUAAAGAAAAAAAUUGUUAUUGCUCUUAAACAACUAAGGCAAAUGCAACUCAAUGUUUUAUCUUGUCCUUUUUCCUUUCAAAUUUUGUAGCGAGUGCACUUUGACUUUUAUUUAAUACGAAAUGCAUGAAACCAUUUUACAACGUACAAAUGUUUACUUGUAAAUUUUCAUGACAUUUGUAUAAUUUUUCAAAAGAAUUUGUUAAGGAGUGCCGGUGGGCCACCUGUAAGUAGCUAUGGAAACACCCAGUUUUCAUUUUAUUAGUUAAAUGUAAUAAUGCCAAAAAGAAAAAAAUAGGGGCAAUUUCAAUAUAUUUCGAUAUAUAGAAAAUAUUACAUGGAGAGCCUAUUUAUAAACUUUAUUAUAGGACUAUCUGCGGAAAUCAAAGAAAAUCAAACAAGAUAUGCAAAAUCAAAAUAGUUAUAGAAAAUCAGAGAAAAUAUUCUAAAUAUUUCUAGAAGAUAUCUACAUAUCUUUAACAUCAUUAACUAUUGUUGUGAAGUGUUUAAUCAUUUCUUUGAAAACUAAACUUUUUUUUGUUAAGUAUGUUUAAAAAGUGACGUGGUGACAUUGGACAAUAGUGUAUACAUCAUAUCAUGAGGCGGCCCAAAUGGACAAUAUAUAAAAAUAAAAUGACAUGAACAAUGAUAAUUUAACUAAAAUAUUGCUUCAUGCUGAGCAUCAUUAUACUCAAAGGUAUGGAUAUAAUAAUAAGUAUGGCAUUUCCUCUAAUUAGUCAAGUUUUCAUGGAUUUUUUUUAUGACAAAUAAUUGUAUGUGUUAUAAGUAACUUACAACGGAUAUAAAUGUUUGUUAAAAGAAAAUCCACUCUUUAUCAUACAUCUAACCUAAUCCAUGAAAUGAGAAAGGUCGACGUGAUAAAACCUUAAAAAACAGUAAUUCCUAAAAAUACUUUUAAGGGGAUUUUUGCUAUCUUAUCUAUUCAAAGGAAAUAAUAAUUAAAAGAGAUAGAUAUAACUAGUAGAGUAGAGAGACGGGUAUCUUCAAAUUCAAAUUGGAAAAAAAAAAAGUUAAACAAUGGAUUCCUAAAUCAUAGGACUACGACCAAUACAUUUGGCCGUACCAGUAAGCAAGAACAUAUGAUGAGCGUGAAAUUUUUUCCAAUCUUAUUGUUUUGAAUUAAUUAUCAGUUGUUAUGAUUGGCACAUGCAAUCUUUUUUUUUUUUUUUAAUCAAGAAAUAUUCAUUUAUCUGAUCUAUGAUGUUUAUACUUCAUCUUCUUUCAUUAUUGUAGUCCUUUAGAUUAUCAAUAUUUUCAACUAGAUAUGACAAUUACAUGCUUCUAGUAAAUGAGAUUUAGAGAGUAAAUUAUAGUUAAAGGAUCUUUAAUUGAUUGUCAAUCAAAUCUUUACAAAUGUAAUUUAUAUCAAUAAAAUCGAAUCAAAUGCAAUAACUUUUUAGUCCUUUAGAUACUUAUAAUCCAUUUAGCUGACACAUUAAAUCUAAGAGGGACAUAAAUGGAUGUUUACACCUAGAAAGUAAGAGCAUAUGCCAAUCCUAGAUUAAAUACUAGAAUAGAUUAGAUUAAAUGUAUUAAAAUAAGAGGAAGAGAAAAAGAAAGGAGUACCACAUUUUACCAUUCUAUUGCAUCUUAGUACUUUUGGGACUCCCUUAUAGUCGUGGUCCCAGGGUCCGCUACGUUUCUCAAGCGGUUGUCCUUGGCAAAAAAUGCUCCUUCCAAGAUCUUUCAAUUGAUCAUGCAUCUCAAACUUACCAUGAUCGCUAAUUUUAAUUAAGCACCUCAACUUUAACUCGUCAAUACCUUGACUUGGAUAAAGCCCACAGUCCUCCCACAUGUACAUGGCGAAUCUGCUCUCUUUGCCAAUGAAGAAACAAACAAUAUCAAGAAAAAUCUGCUUAUGUCCAUCUUCUAAUGCAUCAUAACUUAUUCUCAAUAUUUUUUGCACAUCUCUAUGUGGUUCGUCUUUUAAUUGCUUUUGCACAUCUUCCCAUACCUUUCGAUUCGUUUUUUUAUACAAGUAUGAACCUACAACUUGAAGUGCCAAGGGAAGCCCACCCAUGUUGGAUAUGAUAUCACGAGAUAUACCCUCAAACUCUCUCGGAGAAUUGUCCAUACGAAAUGCAUGUCUCUUAAACAAAAGCAAAGCUUGCUCCUUAUCCAAUUCAUUCAAUUCAUACUUGUAGUCUACCUCAAAUUUAGAUUGAUCAAGAAUAGCUUCGUUUCUAGUUGUAACAAUGAUCACACUUCCUCCCAUAAACCAAUGACGCUCCCUAGCCAAUGCAUCUAGUUGACUCUUGUCAUCUAUAUCAUCCAAAAGAAUAAGAACCUUUUCCCGUUUGAAUCUAGAUUUGAUUAUACCAAUUCCAUCAUCAAUUCUAGACACUUGACUUUUGUACUUUAGUAUAUCCUGUAUUAGUUGACUUUGUAGAUACGUAACACCAUGGCGCUUGGUAGUUUCUCGAACAUCUAGAAGGAAGCUGACAUACGAAAAUUUAUUUGAGAGUUGAUUGUAGAUGCACUUGGCAAGAGUUGUCUUGCCUAUCCCGCCCAUGCCGUAAAUUCCAAUCAUUCGAGCAUUGAUGGAAGAAUUGUCGAUCCAAUUCAUAAUUUCCUUCAUACGAUGAUCAAGUCCAACUAGCUGCUCAGGCACAUCAAGUUGAAAAUCUUCCUGUAACUUGCUUAUAACAGUUUCAACCACACGUUCUAUUAACUUUCCCUCAUGCCUGUCAAACAACAAAAACAAUGAGAUGUUAUGAACCUAGAUAUAAUCUAUGCGAAGUAUUCAAUCCUUAUCAACUGAGCUAACCCUUGUUGGCUAUAGGAGGUCGAUUUUAUCCGGUGUUGAUCAAGCUUUGAAGACCGAGCAUUGGAGUCAUUUGGAGGCCUAUUGUUUAGCGAUUGAUACUAUUGGCUGGAGGUAUUGUCUUUUCUUUGUUUCUUUGUUUUUCUUUUUCUUUUUUUUGUAUUUUUGUAUUUUUGUUGUUUUGUUUUUUUUUUUUUUCGCUCUAUACCAGAGGAAAAUUUAAAUUCUUGGGCACUAUAGGAUGCUUUGGUUUCAGUUGUCAUCGGUUUAGUUUUCAGGGACAUCUUGGGGCGUACUGGUGUUUGUUGUCUCCGAGGCAUUGCGACUGUUUAUUUUGGGGAUCUUUUUUGAGCUUGCAGUAAAAGUAAUUCAUUUGUUUCAUUUGCAUUUCCUCGAUUCUACCAAAAGAAGAAAACUUACUUAUCAAAAAAGAAAAGUUCAGUAAAAUACCCGUUCGCAAUUUUUUGAGAUUCCCAUCCAUUUAAUUGACUGACUUCAUUUAGUGCUUGUUGCCCUUUAUGGAUCUCCUUCUCAUCAAAACGCUUCUGACUCGAAUGGAAGGCGUUUCCAAAAUUUCCUUUUAGAUGCCGCACAUCCGAUGGGGCAACUUUGUAAAAUAUAGGCAACACCAUGUGCGAUGCACUCUUCCAACGGUCCAUGAUUUGAACAAGCUCGCGGAGGCACCACUUGCUCAAAGCAUAAUUUUCGGAGAUGACGGGAAUCGAAAUCUUAGACUGUGCGAUGGCAUCGAGAAUCUUUGAACCAAAUUCCUCACCAAUUUGGAUGUUGUUCUCGUCCCUAAACAUGUAAAACGGUACAGUCCCUGCCGUGAUCAGACGGUGAUAGAGGUGAUCGGUGAAUGUAUUGCGGGUAUCCGAGCCUCUAAAGCUCAAGAACACAUCGUAUUGACCGCUACCUACACCUGUGGCUUCUGGAUAGAUGAAUGAAGAAGUGGAUGCUCCUUCAGUGCUCUCUUCCUCUGCCUUCUUUCUCUUUCCCUGAGUCUGCCCUCUGUCCAUGGCAAUCUGAGGUAUGCUUUUUUUGCUGCUUAAAAGGAUUGUUGAACAACAAAAGACGCUUUUAGGAUGCGUUUCUGCAAAAGCUUGUUGGCUUCAAAUAACGUGUUCGUUAAUUCCCUAGGUAAUAAAGACAAAACCUUCAGUUAAGUAAGCUAACGUUGUUUCACUGCAAAAGAUUAGGUGGCCCUUAAGAGGCCCCCAAAAAGCCCACAUCAUUUACUUGUUUAGAAACACAUUUGAAAUUACACAAAUUGCAUUGUAAUUAAUCGACUUACUUAAAGCACAUUUGAACAAUUACAGAACUUCAUGCAUGUACAUGAUACUUAAAGGCGGAUUCUUUCAGUUCAAGGUAAGAUAUUGAUAUUAUAUGUAUGAAACUUUAUGGAUGCAUCUUCCUCUGAAUAUCAGCUCACACGAUGCCUAAUUCUUGUCAUGAUCUUCGACCUUACUCUUAUUAUUUUUAUCCAAAUAUAUAAACAACCCUAACUAUCCCCACCACCUCAUUUUCACAAUCCUUUCUGUCUAAUCCCAUGUCCAUUGGCCAAACUAAUGAAGUGUCAUGUAAUUGUUACCCAAUAAACCACAUCCUCUAGAUGUGUGCACUUUCCUGAUUGGAGGGAAUUUUCAUCAAUCACGUUUUUAAUUUGGCGGGUUUCAAGUUUUAGGCAUUGUUAGAUGGCACCAAAUGGAGGAGCAGAUGCUCCCUCAGUGCUCUUUUUUUAUGCACUCUUUUUUCUUCUUAUUGAGAUUAUUGAACGUGGUUAUUUAUCUUUUAUCUAUUUUAUGUUGGCACCCCAUGCUACAAUUUCAUGUAAAAUGAAUUUAUUUUGAAUUAGUAUGCUAUCACCAAGCCUUUCAUUUCAAAUUUUCAAAUCUAUAAAGUUGAUUGAUAUCUUGUCUAUAAAAUAGAGCUAUAAUUUGUUGGAUGGCACCAAAUAGAGGAGUGGAUGCUUCCUUAGUGCUCUCUUUUUAUGCACUCUUUUUUCUUCUUAUUGAGAUUAUUGGAUACAAGCACAAAGACACAAGAAGCACCGGAAAGGAACAACUUGAAAUGGAAGUAGAAUAGGAUAAUUGGGAAAAUUUGUGAUAAUUCAGGUUAAAUUGAUUAAUCACAUUUUGAAGAAUGAAUUCAUUGUUUGUAAAGAAAGAGGUGCGAGAAAUGAGUGAUAUAAAGCUAGGUGACUCUCCUAAUAUGCGUGUAUGGCCCAAUUUAUUCGAUUGUUUUCAUGAGUGUGUCAUAAGAUCAAUUUAUAUUUUUUUCUUACUAUUGGAUAUCAUGUAAAAGAUCCUAGGAAGUAUCAUACUAUGGACUUUGGUAUGUUUUAUAUUGCUAUGAUUGAAAUUGUCAUGAGUUGUGAGCAAGUAAAAAGUAGUGAUAUAGUUAAAAUGCUCAAACUCUCACCGUACUUUUUAAUUCCUCAUUUACUUUUCUUUUUUUCAAGUAAAGACUCAGUCAAUUUUUGAAGCUUUGAAGUGAGAAAAUGAUUUUUCUUUUCUUUUUUCUUGCUAAAGAAGGGAGAAAAUGAAUCAGAGGUGAAAGGGAAUAUACUUUCUAGGAUUAAUGGUCCAACAAUUCGAGUAAAACAGGAUAAUACUCAUUUGGAAUGUUCUAGAGGGAGUAAAAUUAUUGAAUUAAGUCUUCUUAAGAGAAGACUUACUCUUAGGAUGAUUGGCUUCAGGAUAAAUGGGUUCUAAACAAAGAAUUAGGAACUUAUUAUGUAAUGAUUGGUUCUCCUCUUUUAUAACCGAUAACCAAAAUAGUUGACCCAGAACCAGCCUACUUUUAAUUUUUUGAUUUAUUUUUCCAUAAAUUGAUCUAGGAUCUUCAAACAUAGAGAAACCUCACAAUGCAUAAAAAAAUAGAAUGGUCUAUGAAUUCAAAUGAAAUGUGGCAAAUUUACAUGCAACAGAGUCUAGUGUACUUGCAGAUCUACUCGCUCUAGUUCAACAAAAGAUCAGUACUAAAUUAUGAUGCAACUAAGAAUCAGAUAGGAAGGGCAUCAUAGGAUUAGCCACAUCUAAAGUCGAAAACAAAAGGCUUUCUUUUUUUCACUGAAGUCAAAUCUAAGCUGGGGACAUACCUCGUCAAUAGGCAAUAGCGACUCCAAAAGAGAGAAUAGAAGACCCUCCUCUACUAUUCAGCGAACACCCCCACAUCCCCAAUAGACAAAACGGGCCCAGAGCACACUUGGUUUAGCCAAUUAUUCCUAUAAUAAAGUGACAAUCAAAAUAAAUGGGAUGCUAAUAAGAAUGAAAAAGUGACUACCACAAGCGAGCUGAGAUGCGAAGAGAGGCACGAGACUCGAAAGAGAAGAGAUCAUAAACAAGCCUUGGCGAGAACUUUCAAGAGGGAUAAAGAAUAGAGAAAGCGAGUGAGGACUAAUCAGUAGACGAUAGUCUCGAAUUGUUCGUCAAGAGAGAGGCCAAAUGCGAAUGAUAAAGUGAGAAAUGAGGGACAGAGAGAGAGGACCAAUUAGUAGUAGGCGAUAGUCUCAAAUGAUAAUUGAUGGACCAAUAUCCUUAUAUGGCUGAUUGACUAGUAGCAAUAAAAUUGUUUUCAGGUGGCAAGCCAAGUCAAGCCACACAAUUUGGACUAGAGUACAGAAUGACCGCUUCGGUUCAUAUCUACUUAGAAACCAUUUUUUUAAAUUGAUAAAUGUGGCUCUAACCGAAGUGUGAAUCUUCCAUUAUAUUAUUUUCAAAGAUGUUCUUACUCCUGUAAAUGCUAAAUUCUCCUCCCACCCUAAACAUGCAUAAAUCAUAUUGUCAAAUCCAUUGUAAGUCGGUAAUUUCCUACGCUAUAUAUGUAAAAGUCAUGUCUUGGGAGUUCUCGUUACAAAAGGCAUCGGAACAGCAGAUCAAUCAGCAGAUAUUUUCACUAAGCCGCUCUGCCAAAGACAACACAAGUUUCUAUUAAGCAAGCUAGGUGUCCUUGACAUAUAUAGGCCACCAGCUUGAGGGGGAGUGUUGGAAGAUCUUAGAAUCGAUUCUGUACAUAAUUGAUUCUAGUAAAUAUUAGUAAAUAGGAAACUCCGAUACAUGUAUAUUACUUUUCCUAUUUUAUUUUUUCCUUCUGGCACUAUUUAUGUACAAUGUAAUGGCACGAUUGAAUACAAGUCAGACAAUACAAUUUCCCCAAAGUUCCUGUUACCUUUCUGUCAUUUUCCACCCUAGCUUCCGCGACCUUUCUUGAAUUGCCAUUGCUUCCUUCUGAUCUGUAACUGAGGAUCCCUUCCUGCAGAACAGAUUAGCAAAGCAAUUAGGAAUUCAUCCUUGGUGCCAUGACAAAAGAUAAAGAGGUUAUGAAUCCCUUAGUAGAAUCUUCAUCAGUCCAGGAUCAGACAAUGACUUCCCAUUCAGAUGGAUCGACUGGAGAAGAGCAGGUAACCAAUGUUGCCUCUGCUGAUAUUUGGAAAAAUAUAGUUUUUUUCUAACUAUUUUCAGGAAAAAAAAAAGAAAUAUUUUCACAAAAACUAAGUGUUUUGGAUCUUUCAUGCUUUAAGUAAUUUUGGACAAUUGUUGUAUGUAUAAGGCCAAUGGACCAAAAUUGAGUCUAGAAGGGUUUUUUCACAAUUUUUAUCGAGCAGGCUUUUUUGUCCCAAGAGUUCACUCAACCAUUAAUGUUUUGAAAACAACGUCAAGAUAAGGGCCAGCAUGUGAUUCCACCAAAUUCAACCAAUCUAAUCAUUCAUAACGGUUUUUUUUUUUUUAGGGUUCAAAAUAACCAAUUAAUUUAAAUGAGAAGAUUUUAAUAAGAAAAAUUGGCAAUAUAUGUGAUGAUGAUUUUGAAAAAAUCGAGGGAAUUUCACAAGAAAUAUUUUAUAUGCCUUAAAGGAAGUUAGGCAUCAGGCCAUGAGUAAUAAUCGAAUAUAUUUUUGUCCUAUCAAUUGUAAUAGAUGGGACAAUGAAGGCCUAGCUUACCUUGAGGAGUGAUGCAGAGAUGAAAUUACUGUGAUGGGUUUUAGUAGUUGAGAAGAAGUCACUUUGAAGUAGAUCAAGUUGUGUUUGAGUCUCAAAAGACAGUACAAUCUGAGGAUCACCUUCACACCUCAGCCUAAAGCUAUCAAACCAAAUAUAUUUGAGAACAAAAAUGAGAGUCUCAAUGAUUUAUGGUGAUUGGCGUUUCUCCUCUUUAAGCACAAGCACUUGGGACUUGAUAUUUUAAUUUUGUUUAAAAUUGUCAUAUUCUUAAUGAGGUUGGAAAUGUGAGGUAGAGAUAAACAAAUGCUCGUGGUUUGAAUGAGUAUGCUAUCAUCGAGCCUCUCAAUUCAAAUUUUCAAAUCUAAAAAAUUAUUUGAUAUCUUGUCUAUAAAAUAGAGCUAUUGGAUGGCACCAAACGCAGGAGCGGAUGCCCCCUUAGUGCUCUCUUUUUAUGCACUCUUUUUUUCUUCUUAUUGAGAUUAUUGAAUACAAGCAUAAAGACACAAGAAGAACCGCAAAGGAACGACCUGAAAUGGAAGUAGAAUAGAAUAAUUGGCUAAAUUUGUGAUAAUUCAGGUUAAAUUGAUUAAUCACAUUUUGAAGAACGAAUUUAUUGUUUGUAAAGAAAAAGGUGUAAGAAAUGAGUGAUAUACAGCUAGGUGACUCUCCUAAUAUGCGUGUAUGGCCUAAUUUGUUCGAUUGUUUUCAUGUGUGUGUCAUAAGAUCGAUUUAUAUUUUUUUCUUACUAUUGGAUAUCAUGUAAAAGAUCUUAAGAAGUAUCAUACUAUGGACUUUGGUAUGUUUUAUAUUGCGAUGAUUGAAAUUAUCAUGAGUUGUGAGCAGGUAAAAAGUAGUGAUAUAGUUAAAAUGCUCAAACUCUCAAUGUACUUUUUAAUUCCUCAUGUACUUUUAUUUUUUUAAAGUAAAGAAUCGGUCAAUUUUUGAAGCUUUGAAGUGAGAAAAUGAUUUUUUUUUUUUCUUUUUUCUUGCUAAAGAAGGGAGAAAACAAAUUAAAGGUGAAAGGGAAUACACUUCCUAUGAUUAAUGGUCCAACAAUUCGAGUAAAACAGGAUAUUACUCAUUUGGAAUGUUCUAAAGGGAGGUAAAAUUGUCUAAUGAAGUCUCCUUAAGAGAAGAUUUACUCUCAGUAUGAUCAAUUUCAGGAUGAGUAGGUUAUAAACUAAGAAUCAGGAACUAUCAUGUAAUGAUUGGUUAUCCUUUUUUAUAACCGAGAACCAAAUAGUUGACCCAACAACCAGCCUACUAUUAUUUUCGGAUUUAUUUUUCUAUACUUUGAUCUAGGACCUUCAAACACAAAGAAAGCUCACAAUGCAUACCAAAAAAAAAGGAAUGGUCUAUGGAUUCAAUCAAAAUGUGGCAAAUUUGUGCGCAAUAGAGUCUAGCGCCCUUGCAAACCUACUCGGUCUAGUUCAACAAAAGAUCACUACUGAAUUACAGUGCACCUAAGCAUCAGACAACAAGGCCAUCGUUGGAUUAGCCACAUCUAAAGUCGAAAACAAAAGGCUUUCCUUUUUUCUCUGAAGUCAAAUCUGAGCUGGGGACAUACCUUGUCAACAGGCAACAGCGACUCCAAAAGAGAAUAGAAGACCCUCCUCUGCUAUUCAGCAGCCACCCCCACAUCCCCAAUAGACAAAAAGGCCCAGACCACACUUAGUUUAGCCGAUUAUUCCAAUAGUAAAGCAACAGAAUCAACAGAAAUGACACGCUAAUAAGAGAUGAAAAAGUGAUUACCACCUACGAGCUAAGAUGCGAAGAGAGGCACGAGAUCAGAGAGAGAGAGAUCCUAAAAAAGCCUCGGCGAGAACUUUCAAGAGGGAUAAAGAACAGAGGAAGCAAGUGAGGACUAAUCAGUAGAUGAUAGUCUAGAAUUGUUCCGCAAGAGAGAGGCCAAAUGUGAAAGAUAAAGUGCGAAACGAGCGCGCGCGCGAGAAAGAUAGAGAGAGAGAGACUGAGAGAGAGGACCAAUUAGUAGUAGGCAAUAGUCUCGAAUUAUUAUUGAUGGACCGGUACCCUUAUAUGGCUGAUUGACUGGUAGCAAUUAAAUUGUUUUUAGGUGGCAAGCCAAGUCAAGCCACACAAUUUGGACCAGAGUACGAAAUGAUUACUUCUGUUCAUAUCUACUUAAAAACCAUUUUGUUAAACUGAUAAAUGUGGCUCUAACUGACUUGUGAAUCUUCCAUUAUAUUAUUAUCAAAGACAUUCUUACUCCUGUAAAUGCUACAUUCUCCUCCCACCCUAAACAUGCAUAAAUCAUAUCGUCAAAUCCAUCGGAUGUCAGUAAUUUUCUCACUAUAUAUACGUAGAAGUCAUAUCUUUGUUGUAAGCAGUAAAAUCACAUGAAAACCACACUUCAUGACAAGUUUCUCUAAUUCAAUCUGCUAAAAUAAAGUCCAGCUAAAAAUUGUCCACAUAUUAAAUAUGUGUAAGUUCAUUGAAACCAGCAGCUUCGCUCACUUUCAAAUUUCCAUUGUAACCAGCACAAAAAAAUAGUACUGUUGUGAAUUUUUCAUAAUUUCCGGGAAAAAAAUUGAAUUUCCUGUCAUUUUCCAGAAAUUACAAAAAAUUGCCAAUAUAAUGGAAAAUGGUUUUAUAGACAUCCAAAAAUUCUCUAGUUGAUCUGAUCUGUUCAGAUAAAUUUUUUGUUGUUGACAAUUCUGAUUUGUAGCCUUUGAAAGGUUUUGUGCAAUUAUUGAAGAGAAUAGACCAGCACAAUCAAUAUUUGGAAAAAAAAUCUAUCUUUUAAAUGUUUUCAAGAAAAAAAGAAUUAUUUCUGCCAAAACUGAGUAUUUUGGAUGUUUCAGGUUUUAAGUAAUUUUGGCUCCGACCAAAAAAAAAAAAAGUAAUCUUGGACAAUUGGGGUGCACAUAGGGCCGAUGGACCCAAAAUCGGGUGUAGAAGGGUAUUUUCAUAAUUUUAAUCGAACAAGCCAUUUGUCCCAAGGGAAUUUCACAUGUGUUAUUCUGUAUGCCUUUGAGGAUGUUAGGCGCUAAAGCGAUGAGUAAUAAUCAAGUGUAUUUUGGUCCUAUCAAUUGUAAUAGACCGGAGGACAAAGGUCGGACUUACCUCGAGAAGGAGGUAUUCAGAUAUGAAAUAAUGUGAUAGGUGUCAGUGUUUGAGAAGAAGUCGCCUUUGAAGCAGAUCGAGUUAUGUCCGAGUCCCGGAAGGCAACGCAAUCCCGACGAUCACCUUCACGCCUCAACCCGGACCAGCCUGGUUUGGAAAGACGCUGAAGUAAAUUUGCAGAUCAUCUCAGGUCGAACAUCACGAGAAAGGACGAGUAGUGGUUACAAAAUCACCAACAACAGACGGGGAACUUACUAUCUUCCGAUGAAAUCGCAGCUCUUCUCUGGUAUAUCCAGAGAUGCAGACACGAUCCUCGUGUUCCAAGCGAAGACCCCCCAACCCAGGAUCCCUAAUCGCCUCAGCGGAGUCCAUGAUCAGAAAUUACAGCAAGCAGAACACUGAAAAGUUCGAAACUUGACACGAUUCGAGUUGCUUUUACCUGCUGAAUGGUGCCCGCCGAAGAACCCGUCCCUCAAGAUAGAUACCGAUAGGUCGGUCCUUUGAAGCCGGCAGUUCGGAAGGAGCGACUGCAGGUGUUCUUCGCGACGGCCUCGGGUGUACUGCUCGAUGGAUUCGCGAGAUAGAAGAUCCCUGCUUCCUCCGCCGAUUCUAACCGCAGCUCUCGUUCUGGCCGUAGAGGCUUCGAUGUGCUUCAGAUCUAAAAGUGGAGAGAACUUGAAAUUGGGAGUCGGACAACGCAGUUUUGUGUUGACUUUCUGCUGCGGGAAGAUGAUGAUGUUCCACGGUUAGGUGGACGCCCGAGCCUAGUUGGCUAUUUUUCAAAAGUAUAUCCGCGGCCCAUAACCCUAAAUGGAGAUGGGAACGUGAGGGAGAGAUAAACAAAUGGACGUUAAAACCUGCGUUGUAUUCAUUCCAGACUAGCUCCACAUGCUAACGAUUUCAUCUGUAUCCAAUACAUUUUCAAAUGAUACGAUAUCACCACCGAGCUAUUCUCUUAAACUUUAGAUAUUUUAAAUAAUUGAUCAAUAUAGAGAGUUAUAAGGUAUUAGAUGACAUCGAAGGAGGAGCUGAUGCUCCCUUGAUGCUUUCUUAUGCGGCGCUUUUGUUCUUCUUCUUCUUGAGAUGAUUGAAUACAAGCAUAGAGAGAACAAUUGGCGCAACAAGCACCCACAAAGGAACAAUGUGAAAUGAAAUAGGGCAUCUCUUUGUUUCCCUUUCUCUAACUUUGCCCUUUCUCCAUAGAAGUGUUGGAAAUUUUUUUAAAAAUAUGAAAAAUAAGAAUUAUUGGAAAAAUAUUUAAAAUGAUGAGAAAAAUAAGAUCAAUUGUUUGAGGCUUGCAAAUACUAAAAGAUAAUUCUGCCUUUUGGAGUACAAAAUUCGAAUAGGCCCUAACAAUUAUCCUCCUAAGAUACAACAAACUUCUUCUUUAUUCCACAUUGAAUAAUAAUAGGAACAUGAACAAAGUUAUGUGCAUAACCCGGCCAAAAAAGGAAAGAUAUGUGAAUUCUAUUAAUUCGGUGAAUUGUGGUUUGAAAUUUAAUCUUAUAUUCAAACAAAAAAGAGAGCCAUUAAGAAACCAUUAUAAAUCAAUUAAGAAUUAAUAAAAUCGUAACCAUUAUAGAUUAAUAUCACACAAAAACCAUUACAAAUUGAUGACAGUUAAAAACCGUUACAAAAACAGUUACUUUUCACAGCUUCUAUCAAAGCCAUUACUUUCGAAUAUUUGAAAAACUGCCGAAUGGUAGAGUAAUGUUAACACUAUUUUUUCCAAAUAUUUAAAAUUAUUUCAUUGCAAUAUUUAAAUUAAUAUAUAUAGGUAAAAAUGUAAAUUAAGAAAUAGUGUUACUUUGUCAAUAUUUUCUUUUGCUGAUGCACAACAACAUAUAAAAGAAACUUGGGGAAAUGUGUAAAAAAGGCCGACCUAUUGUAUUGGUAUAAUUUAGUCAAAAACUUUUUAAUGGUGCAAAUUUAAUCCCAAACUUUAUGAUCCAGUAUCAAUUCAGUCAUUCAAGAUACUUUAAGUCGAAUAUUGCUAAAUGUCACCAAGCCUACGUGGCAUAAUUGAUGCUAACAUGGAUAAUUUUUAAUAAUUUGAUUUUUUUUCUUUUUUUUUUUUUUUCCCUCCUCUUUCUAGUGGCUGACAUGGCCACGGCUGGUGAGGGUUGGUCUCAUUUGAGUGAGGGUGAACCUUGUCGACCUCACUAGGGUGAGGGUGAGUGCUGGUGAGGCUGCCCCUGCAAGAUCAGGUGAGCCCAGGUGUUGCCUGGGCGAGGGUGGCCUCGCUAGAUUUGGCGAGGGCAACCUCACCGAUGCUUGCCAACCAUCGGAAAGAGAAGGGAAAAAACAAGAGAGAGAAAAAAAAUUAAAAAUAAAUUAGUACCAUUAUGAUUUAUGACUAAAUUGAUAUAAAUAUAAUAAGUUUAUAACUUUCUAACACUUUUACCAAGAAACUUGAGAUUCGUCUCGUAGAUCUACCUAAUCAAAUUUCCAUUGCAAUCUCUACACCUUCCAAUUUACUUCACAUUGAAUCAUACUCAUUCCUUUUUACAUAUGAGUGAAAUUAAAAAAAAAAAAUGCAAAAAUUUUCCGCAUCAAUGCCCGUUAUGCCAUGUAGGAUAGCUAGAGUACGUCAUCAAUUAUCGGUUAAAAUUGGGAGGAAUGACCAUAUUGGCAAAUCAUCAAAAGGUUUAUGAAUCAAUUGGUAAAAUUAAAAAGAUUUAAGAUUGAAUUGGCACAAGUACAACAUGUUUAAGACAUUUUCGGUAAUUUUUCCCAUUGAAAUGAGAAAACAUGGUAUUUGUCUUUUGCAAUAUUGCUUGUUAAUUGGAUUUGGUUGUUUAAUGUGGAAACAAAGAAAUAAUCUUCAUCCUCAAUCACUAAAAAGCAAUUAAAAAAAGAAAAGAAGAAGAAGAUUUGAAUAGAAGGCAUGCGCUUUAAAGAUUUGUUCAUGAAGUUUUGGUUCAUUAUUAGAAGAUAUGUCAAAAAAAAAAUAGAAUGAAAUUUAAAGAUAAUUGAGGGAAGAGUUAUUGAAGCCAAAUAGAUUAUUCUUUUAAUGAAUUCUAAAGGACCAUAAAUGGGACUUACGUUUUUUUUUUUUUUUAGGUCGGUCCUACUUUAUUCAUCUUCUAACUCUCACUCUCACUCUCAAACUUUUGUCUUGCCUCCUUGCAGAGCGUGGGAGUCGAAAUCCAUACUUGAAACUAAAUCAUCCCCACCCCAACCCCUUAAGAAGGUGGAGAUUUGAACACCCCACCUUCACCUUCCAUGUUGGAAGAAUAGCCACCAGGACAAACCCUAUUUGUUGAACUUACGUUUUUCGCUUGCCCAUCAUAAUCAAAUUUUGUCGCACUUUUAUUUUAUAUCAAUCUAGGUCGAGGAAAAUUAAUAAGUCUAAUUUGGCCAAAAAAGAUAAAUUAAUGAGUCUACCCACUUGUUGUCACGCCCCGAACCUCGAGCGCAUGCCCAUCCCUAUCUGGUCGAUAAUAAAUUGCGACUUCCCAGGACGAGUCGCUGACCCUUUCCAUUUUAUUGCACAUGCGGAAGCGAAAAGAAAUCCCCUGACAGUAAUCAUCUCGAGAUAGAAAGGCAGGACAAUAGAUUCACAAACAAACAUGCUUUUAUAUAUACACUGAGUCAUGUACACAAGUCUAUGGCCAAAAGACUACAAAAGACUGGCCUUCCAAAAAGAAGCGGUCCUAACUGACCUACGCUUCCGAUCACCUCCUCUCAGCUCCAGGUCCUCCACUCGAUGACCCUGAAAAUGUUGUCCCACAACGGGGUGAGAUAUCAUCUCAGCAAGUCUAAGCUCUAAACCCCAAUUAGGAGGGAAAUAUGCCAAGAAGUGUCCUAAUCACACAAUCACACAAUCAAUGAGACUUACCUCGUCUCAGAUCUACCCUGCAAGUCAGUACAAUUUAUCUCAUAAACAACAUGAGAGUAUGAGCAACAAAUAAGCUCCAAUAAUUGAAACGCCACAUUCAAUUAAUCAUGCGUUCCUAGUUUUGAUCUCGGCAUAUAGCACGGCCUACUCUCAGUUCGGCGGUCUUCUGGCAUUGCCAGGCUUCGUCUCACCCCAUUGAGCACGGCAACUUCUCUUUAUCAGACGGCUUUCCCAAAGGAGCAUAGGGUCCAAAAUCAACUGCGACCGGCUUCCCGUUGUCCAGGGGGUAUCCCACAUAGGGAUAACGUCUAGCUCAACAGCCCGGGACGAUUUCUCUUGACCAUCACACGAUCACUCAAAUAUGGCCCAGGGCACCGUGCAUUGCACUCAAAUGCUUUAAUUAAAAUGGUGAGCCUGGCCUUUUUCUUCAUAUUAGAAAUUCACAUGAAAUUACUCGUGUGUGGGUACACGGUCAACUUGAUCCAGAAAAAUUGAUAUUCAUCCUUUUUGAAAUCCCACUAUUUUCUAUAGUACUAAAAACCAUUUUCAGUGUCAAAACCCGACACCUGGGAUUUUCUAAAUAAAUAUUGGAAAUUCACAAUUUUUGGAAUUAAAUACCGAAAAUCAAAUUAGCACUCAAUUUGCAUAAUUUAACACUCGAUUGCAAAAAUUAACCACACCAUUGCAAUCAGCACGAAAUUCCGGUCACCGGCUAUCCCGGCCUAAUUUCCGGAAAAAUAAUUAAUAAUUAAAUAAUUACUGAAAUUAAUUAAAUAAAUCAAUUUAAAUUCUAAAAAUACUAACCUAGGGCAAAAUCAUUAAAUUAAUAACCAAUACGAACUCGGAGAAAUUCCCGAACCCUACUAGAUAAUUAGUACAAUUUAUUUAGGCCUUAGCUAAACCAUGCUAAACCACCUAACAUGCUCAAUUAAAUAAUUCAAUUUCUAAUUUAAUCUAACUAACCACCUAAUUCCUAAUAAAAUAAAUCUAACACCCCUUAAACGUUAUUAGCCUACUAAGCAGAGUUUAGAGUAUAAACUCACCGGUUAAUUGCGGAAAUCGGUUCACCGCGACAACGACGCGACGGCGGCCGAAACCUUAAUUUUUGUCAGUGUCGACGAACUUGGGCCGGGCCUAAACUUAGCCCAACACAACUCAGCAAGGCUGGGUUAAGGUCUUGGGCUUCUGCAGGCUACUGGUCACGGGCUUGGGCCUUCUUCUCGAGCCCAAAAUGGCUGAACUUCAAAUGGGCUAAAACCAACUGAACUUGGGCCUGAGCUUGGGCUUCAAAAUUUGCUGGAGAAGGGCUGAAAAUCACUGGGCUGAAGACACUUGCUGGACUUGACUGCACUUGGGCCAAAGAUUGCUGGAAUGGACCGACGUUGCUGCUGCUGAAAGCUGGGCCUCGCUGACUCACGGGCUGAAGAAGAACGAGCGAGCUAGCGGAGAUGGAACUCGCAGAUACUGGGCCAUCGUGGGAGCUGCUGCAAGGACUUUCGGUGCUGAGGGUUUGACCAACAAAACGAGCGGUAGAGAGAAGAUGCGGCAGCAGCUUCGCUUGGUGGACCUUUGGACGGAGAGAGAUGGUUCGGUGGAAUCCCGGGGUUUCUUUGGUCAACAGUAGGGCUUUCGUGGAGGGGUGUGUUGACCGGCGGGGAACAAACCGAAGUGGAGAUUGUUGGAUAUAUUAUUAAUAUAGUCCAAAACAAUAUGUUCACAUACAAGCCCAAUAGGUAAAAGCAUGGUUAUUUGGGUCCAUAUGGGCCGAAGCCCAAUAACGUGCAUAUAAAAACUCUAGGGUUUCCCUACGCUGGAGGUAACACUGUUGAGCGUUCCAAACUUGACGUCUCUUGGUGUAAUACUUCAAGCAACUACUUCUUCUCUCUCAAACCUAUUACCUCUAACAAUCUUGAAGUAUUAGGUUCGUGUGUCGGAUUUGAGCGAGUAAAGUGUGUUCUUGAAGAUUUCGUCAAGACGAACUCGCGGCUGUAAUUUACUUUCGAUUUCGACGGUGAUAUUGGCCGGGAUCUGAGUUUGAAGAUUUGGGUGACCGAAAUCUUUGAUUCAAAAACCCAAAAAUUAUAGCCAAUUUAAGAGGGUGAAACCACUUGGGCUUUGAUCUACUCGUCGCUACGAACGUUUUUAGUGGUCACUCGCGUCAAUCGGAGGUCGGACGGAGAAGUUAUGGCACCCGGAAGUUUCCAUCUGAAUUUCUAGCGAAUUUUGGGGACGAAAUUUGUAGCGAAUUUCGGGGGGCGAAAUUUUUCAGCGAGUUUCAGUAACAAGGGCAGUCCAUCUUAAGGUUUUUGGGUGCUCCAGAUCCGUUUUUGGGGUUUGUUUUGGCAAAUUCCAUCUCUACAGAGCGGUUUGAUCAAGGUUAGGGGAGUUAUUCAACUUUGUUGCUCUGAGGACUUCAAGGUGCACUCUUUCUAACACUUUGCUUUGAUUAAAAUGGCAAAGCGUAGUUCCUAUGAUAUUAUAAAGUUGCAAUCUUUUGAUGUUACUGAAUUUCAUGGCUGGAAAUUACAUGUUCAAUUUGGCAUGAAAGAACGUGACAUAUUCUAUACUGUAUUGAGCGAUUUUACAUCUACCACUGAAGAUGUGAAUGAAUAUCAAUGGAACAAAGAUGAGGAUUUUUGUAAAGAUUACUUGCUGAACUCUCUGAAUCCUAAAAGGAUAGUCCAGUCUAGUUGAAUUGUAUCAUCAAGUUUGGAAUGACACAAUUUUUCCAGAUAGAACAUUUGAAUUAGGUUAAAGUCAUCUUCAUCAAAUUUGGAAUGAGACAACUCACCCUCUUCAAUUAGUCAGCAACUGUGAACAUCAAUGAAACAUAUAAACUGUGCUUAUCAUUGUAGCCAAUAAAGAAAGAUUUGAUAAUUCAAAACACAGGUAAGUAAAUGGUAGUUAAGACUUGCCUAUAUAGUCUUUAACCCCAGUUCCCCCACUGUUUUGAAUAAUCGAUCUUUAGGCAUACCUUUGGUGAGAGUAUCGGCUAUGUUAUCCUUCGAUCUCACAUCGAUCAAGGUGAUAACCCCUUGUUCUCUUAGAUAAUUCAACAACGCAUGUCUCAGUCUCACAUGUCUUCUCUUUGAAUUAAAGAGAGUAUUCUUGACGACUUGGACAGCUGCUCGAUUAUCACAAAAUAGGCUUAAAGAAUUAAUCUUUAGCCGAGUCAAAGGAAUAUCCAUAAUCAGAUUCUUUAUCCACUCUGCCUCUUCACCGGCUGAGGCUAAAGCAAAAAGUUCCGAUUCCAUAGACGACAAUGCAAUACAAGUCUGUCGUUUGGAUUUCCAAGUAAUAGCAGCUCCACCCAAAGUGAAUACAUACCCACUAGUGGACUUACUAUUUCCAAUAUCUGAGCACCAUGAGGCAUCAGAAUAUCCAUCCACAACUGGAGGAUAACCAGAAUAAUAAAGCGCAUAAUCUUUAGUACCUUUAAGGUAUCUCAUUAGCCUAUUAAGGGCAUCCCAAUGCUCUUUACUAGGAUUACUAGUAAAACGACUCAGCAUACCAACUGUAAAGGCUAUGUCGGGUCUAGUGCAACUCAUAGCAUACAUGAGACUACCAAUCAGUUUCGAGUACUUUAACUGAUCCACGCUGGUCCCUUCAUUAAGACUCAGUCUAUUAUUAUAAUCACAUGGUGUCUCACUCGGUUUACACUUAUCGUAUCCCCAAGUAGAAAGUAGCUGCUCAAUAUAAUGAGUCUGGCUAAGGGAGAUGACUUGCCGUUCAAAGCUUACUUUCAUACCAAGAAUGGUAUUAGCAAUACCAAGAUCUUUCAUGUCAAAUUCUUUAGCUAAAGUAGCUUUCACGUCGCUCACUACAGAAUGAUCGGAACCAAGAAUUAACAUGUCAUCAACAUACAAGCAAAUGAUGACUAUCUUAUUUGAUAUAGAACGAUGGUAAAGGCAUUUAUCUGAAUAACUAGACUGAAAGCCAUAACUCUUUACCACUUCAUCAAAUUUAAGAUGCCACAUCUUAGGUGCUUGUUUAAGACCAUAUAGAGAUUUAUUUAAUUUACAAACUUUGUCCUCAAGACCUUUCAUAACAUAUCCUUCCGGUUGUUCCAUGUAAAUUUCCUCAUUUAAAUCCCCAUUUAAGAAAGCUGUUUUUACAUCCAUUUGAUGCACUACAAAGUGUUCAAUAGAUGCCAAAGCAAGAAGAAUUCUUAUAGUUGAUAGAUGACACACAGGUGAAUAGACAUCAAAAUAGUCUAUUCCACUCUGUUGUUUAUAGCCUUUAGCUACUAAGCGUGCUUUGUAUCUGGCUAUUGAUCCAUCACUAUUCAGUUUCUUCUUCAACACCCAUUUACAGCCUAUAGCUUUAGCCCCUUUUGGCAAAUUUACUAGCUGCCAAGUGUAAUUCUGCAGCAGAGAGCUCAUUUCAUCAUCUAUGGCUUCUGCCCACAGUAGAGAUUCCCUAGAUCUCAUUGCUUCUUGAUAGGAGAAUGGAUCAUCCUCAAGAUGGUAAGCAACAAAGUCUUCACCAAAACUUUUGGGAAUUCUCUCUCUUGUAGAUACUCUAACUGGAAUUGGUUCAAUAGCCAACUGUGUGGAAUUAGUGUCAGAAGGGCCUGCUUCAGAUUCUACAGGAAAUUCUGAAAUCAUAUCUGUAGAUCCAGAAACAUUCAAGCCUUGAUCUCUGAUAAACUUGUUUUCAAAGAACACUGCAUCUCUAGAUUCUAUCACUGUGUUAGUAGAUAGAUCUAAAAACCUAUUUGCAGCGCUAUCUUCUGCACUACCUAGAUAUACACAAGUAAUAGUUCUAGAUCCCACCUUAGGUUUUUUAGGAUCUGGUAUACUUACAUAAGCAAUACAGCCCCAAGUCUUAAGAGUAUCAUAUCUACAAGGGCGCUUAUGCCAUAUCUCAUAAGGUGUCAUGGACAACUUAGAGUGCGGCAACCUGUUCAAGAUGUGAUUAGCAGUUAGAACUGCUUCUCCCCAGUAGGAGGAAGGCAUGCCAGCUGUAAGUAACAUAGAGUUUAACAUUUCAGUUAACGUUCUAUUCUUACGCUCUGCAACACCAUUUGAUUGGGGUGAAUAAGGAGCAGUGGUUUCAAGUAUUAUACCUUCUGAAGCACAAAAUUCCUUGAACCUUGACAUAGUAUAUUCUCCUCCUCUAUCACUCCUAAACCUCUUAAUUUUCAAGUUGAGUUGAUUUUCUACUCUAGACUUGAAAAUCUUAAAUUUUUCAAAAGCCUCAUCUUUCGAUUUCAACAAAUAGACAUGACAAUAUCUAGAAAAAUCAUCUAUGAAUGUUAUUAGAUACUUCCGACCACCUUUAGUAAUGUAAUUUCUAAAAUCACAAAUGUCAGAAUGUAUUAGCUCAAGAAGUUGUGUGCUUUUAGAAAUCAAUUUAAAGGGUUUUCUAGUAAUUUUAGCCUGUGCACACACUUCACACUUAUCAAAUCGAAUAGAAGUAUCUAAUGGAAUGUUAUGAGUUUUAGCUAAAUGUUGCAUUUUCCUGUAAUUCACAUGUCCAAGUCUAUUGUGUAGCAACUUUGGAUCGAUCAAAGUAGAAUUCACAUGGUUUAUGCUAUCAGCAUUUAAACUCAACCUAUACAUACCAUUAACCAUGAAUGCACAACCAAAAUAAUAUGAGUUAACAGAUAAAGUUACUCUACCAUUCAUAGUUGAAAAAGACAUACCAGCUUUAUCAAGUAAACUCAUAGAUAUUAAAUUCUUCUUAAGUAAAGGUACUACUCUAACAUGUUUCAGAGUUAGUAAUUUACCUGAAGAAAGCACCAAAUUUGCAGUUCCAGCAUGAGUCACCUUUGCCUCACCACCAUUGCAAUUUUCCACAGUGUCUUUCACUGGGUAGCAGAGUGUAAGUUGCCAAGGAAGCCAAAUAACGACACACCACAUAAUGAGGCCAAUAUGCUUAUUAGAGGAUCUGAGCCUCGAGCCUUUAUUGGAAUGAUGAAGAAUGGAAAGGCCAGCAUCUCUUCUGAGUGGUGGUUGGACAGUGGCGCUACUUGUCAUGCUACAAAUGACAAGAAUUUACUCACUGAGGUCACAGAAGUGCAAGACACUGUGGAAAAUUGCAAUGGUGGUGAGGCAAAGGUGACUCAUGCUGGAACUGCAAAUUUGGUGCUUUCUUCAGGUAAAUUCAUCUUGUUUUUGCAUGUAAGUGCUGUUGUGAAUCAUAAUUCAGGUCCAAUUCAAAUGGGUUACUAAGUCGAAGAGGAAUAAGUUUGCAAAGUACUUCCACCGAAUAUGGGUUCUAGAUUUCUAUAUUUCCUCACAGUUAUUGGCUAUGCCAUUAUCUCAUAGAGGGUGAUGAUCUAUGACUUAUUUUAUCCCAUAAUUGGUUUGAAAUUAAUUUCCUUCAAUAAACAAUGUAUCAUGGUAGCAUGCAAAAUAUUUGAUAUACUGAAUUAAGGAGGAAGAUAUUAUACUGGAUUUAUUAAGCUGAAUUUUUUAGAAAUUUUUUCUAUUUAGUCUUGAAGUAGUUGAUAUAUGUUUCUAGCAGAAAGUAAUUAUAAGACAAGUAGUGACAACUAGUCAUUCCUGAUCAGCUGAAGGUGAAAGAAAUAAUAGUUCCCUUCUCCCUUCCUUUCCUCAUGCGCUCUUCUGAUGUUUUUACCCUUCGUUUCAGCUGCCAGCAACUCUUAAAAUAGGUGUCACGGUUGUUAUAUCUCCCUUGCUAUCUCUCAUUCCAGAUCAAAUAAUUACUCUAACGCUCAAGUAUGGAAUACCAUCUACUUUCUUGAACUCUCAACAAACUGCUGCCCAAGCGGCAGCUAUUCUCCAAGAACUAAGGCAAGGUUUAGCUCUAUUGGACUUCUAGAUUUUUUAUGCUUAGUGUUGUGACUGUCAAAUUAUUAAUCUCCACUUCUGCUUUGCCUACCUUUUCAGAAAAGAUAAACCAUCAUGUAAGUUAUUGUAUGUAACUCCUGAAAGGAAUGUGGAAACCCAUCAUUUCUAGAGAUAUUGAAAUGCUUGCAUAAAAAGGUAUUGUUUCUAAUGUACCUCGAAAGCAAGUUAACUUUCCGAACUUUUCUUCAUUUUUUGUGUUUCUAGCCUAAUUAAAUUGUCAGUGUUACACUAGACCUUUUGAAGUCCAGAACCCUGUGAAGUUCUAAUAGAACAUAAUGCAUCGUUCCUUGUUUGAGAGAUCUAGGUUCCGUCGUUUGGGAACACUUAGUGGCACAUCGUUGAUUGUAUUGAGGAAAGAGCACACGCUUAAUUAAGCUCCAAUGGAAAUUACUUCCCAGAGUAAUUAGAACCGUCUUGUGUUUUAGGGCAUUGUUUCUCGAGAAAUCUGUUACUUUUGAGGUUGCCAUCAUAAGUUCUGUAGGUCAUAUGAUUUGUAAUAUUCCUCAAAAUAUAAUAAUCUGCCAAAGUUUUGGGUAAAUUUCUUUUUCUAUGAUUAGUAAAUUACUGGAUAAAUCAUAACUUUCCUUUGGUGACGUAAUUGUCCUUGUUGGUAGUAAUUUUACCUCUAAAACAUCCUUUCAUAGGUUUGCUUUUGAGUUUGGGGGGUGUACUUUUUCUUUAAAGGUCAUAAAUUAUCUGAAACCUAUGUUUGGUAAAAUUCCACAAAAAUAAUAUUUUUCAGUUAAUAGUAAAUUUGUUUUGUGUAUUUUUACUAACGUAUGUAAAUUAAUUGUAACUCUCCUCUUGUUUGCACUCGACAGUUUUGAGACCUAUGUUUUAGUUAUUUUCCUUACUCAUCGUAACUUUUCUUAAUCAAAUGAUAAUUUGAUCAAGUUUGUGUUCACAAUUUUCCUUUAAUGUUCGGAAGUGAUGAAAGAAAAUCGAUUUUGCAAAAUAGAUUUGACGGAUCAUGUUUUUUCCCUUUUUAUCCAACAAUCCAUGCUGAAUGCAGGAUCAAUCUCGUAAAAGAGAACUUUCACUUAUGAAAUUUCCAUUUCACUUAUGAAAUUUCCAUCACAAUCAAGACGUUUUGGCCAUAAUAAAGUAGUUCUUUAGUUUUUGCCAAACGAUAAAGUAGUGUUGGAAAUGUUAUUUUUCCAAAAUUUUGUAAAUCGUUCCAUUGAAAUAUAUUAAAGGUAAAAAUGUAACUAACCAACUAUAUUACUUUGUCAAUAUCUUCUUUUGCUGAUGCACGGCAACAGAUAAAUGAAAUUUGAAUGUUCUCUUUGCAUCCGAACGUGGGACCCUCCUCAAUCAGGGGGUCUUUGGACUUUGGUAUGGCGAUGGCGGAUCGACUUUGUCGUGACUUAAUUGACUCUGUCGUCCUACCGUUCGUUGGAUCGGUCGCGAACGAGAAGUGCGUUCUUUCCAUUGGAAAAGGCUAGAGAGCCAACUACCCAAAUAAGCUUCAUUCAAUAAACUAGACUCGAACGAAUAAGACUUUGGAUCCUGUAAUUUUCAUGUUUGGAGUGAAAUCGAAAUGCCAAAUUGGGUUCCACAACGAAUGAGGCUUUUCUUGAAAAGCGUGCAGGGAAUGACUCGGCAAUAGCUUAUAGGGAGAUGCCAAUUCCAGAUCUUGAAACCACUAUACCCUCCCAAGCCCAAUUCAAUCACUUUGCCACCACUACUGUUGGCCGCAAGUUGUCACCCCCAUUGGUCCCUAGUCGCCCAUCGCUUAUUUUAGUUGCCACUACCGUUGAGAAGUAUUCCUUUUCAAAAGAUUCAAAUCUCUUACAAUUCAGGCAAAUUUUUUUUUUUUGAACGAAAUUCAGGCAAUUGAAAAGGAGAAAGAGAUUCCUCAAUAUGAGAAUCCAUUUGAGGAAUUACUUGCCAUGGAACUGACAAAGCCUUAGCGUAAGCUUUUAGUUUGAAUAUGAAAACGCCAUCCGAUAAAUAUAUGUUACAAUCCCAAGAUAUAUGAGCGACCUCUCAUUUCAGCAUAUACAAUUUAAUUUUUUUAUUAAUGUGAAACACAUUGCAAUUUUAGAAUAAUAAAAUAAUUCACACUAAACUUUUUUAAGGGGAAAAAAGAAAGAGAGACUAAAGUGUAACCACACCGUUGGUCACUGAAAGAAAUCUAAUAACAUUCAACGCAUAUUCUUGUGAUUGAAAUAAGGAAAAUGGCGUCCAUCCUUCUCCUCCCUCUUGAUCAUAUGAUUUUCAUAGAGAGGCUAUCUAAAUACACGUCAGAAAAUUGUGGCAACUUGAUAAUUAUUUUAGCUUAAUUCCGAGGGAAAAUUAUUGAUUCAUUUCUCAAUUUUCACUCAAGAUUGCUCAUGUGGUGAUCUAAUAAGUAUCGACCAUUUGACGUGGCAUGGUUGGCGACCUGAUGUAGACCACUUUAAUUGAAACGUUUCGUGAAACCCACUUUAAUUUCAGCAGGCACAAUUCUCCAAUUUGUCGAAAGCCUCACUCUCCGUUGGCGACCAAGUUUAGUGUUGUCUCCUUUCACAUCCGUCGGCAAGCCCCUCAUAGGAAUUCCCACGUCUGGAAAAUACAUAUAUCCACCUUAACUUGCUCUUUUUCAUAUUCUAAGGUCUGAAUCUUCACCUUGUUCAUCCUCGAAUCGCGAUAUUUUUAACGCUCUUCUGUCUCCCUGUCUCUCCCAGCAUUCUUUGGUAUGUUCUGAUUCUCGAUGUGAUUCUGAUGGUGAAGUCAAUGGGGAUGCUUGUACCAUCUGUCGCCAUCGCGCUUGAUGGUCUGCUUUUCUUAUCUUUGGGUUUUUACCAUAUGGAUCACGUGCAAGACAAAGGAACUCAGCAGCGACAGGAGAAGAAAGAAACGGGUCGCUCUUCCAAAUCUGUUGCGUAAAUCAUCAUCAUCGCCCAGCCUCAGCCCACAAAAAGCAGUAGGCUCACUGGAGCUUUGUGCCCAUUGCCAAGCCCCCCCAUCCCAUCCCAUUCAAUUCAAUCACGCCCCCUAUCCCAAGAUCAACUUUGGAAAGGAGACGUUAGAUCCCUAUCACCACACCACCCCUGGCCAUCACAAACAACAAAUUUGUGUCCAUUGGAGCUGCGACUAAGUGAGCGAUCCCCUAGCCGCCCCCAGUAUGAUAACUUAACAUGUAUUUUCGCCAAUAUCAGCGACGCAACCGGGCCAACCCCAUUGGGCAAUUAGGCUUUCCAGGCCCAUGCUUGUCUCAAUAUGUCCUAAUUUUCAUAUAUUAUGAUGAUCCGUCUUAUCAUGACGAGUCUUAAGAAGACCCGCAUUCCGCAAAAAAGCAAAAUGAGAAUUUUCAUCAUAGACCCGCCAAGAACAUAACCAUCCAAACUUUAUAAGUUUGACAUGCAAAGUCUUCUCUUUGCAGAGGAAAAAAGAAAAGAAAAGAGAAAGACAUGAGAAAGUAUUUUAUGCGAGAGUUAACUAUUACCGUCGACGUGAGGGGGGUGUUCGUAUAAUUUAAGAUUAGGCGUUAGGUCCAUGGACUUAAAAAUUCAACAUAUGAAGGAAAUAAAGAGUGCACAUAAAAAGAGAGAAGAAAAAAAAAAGGACAACCCUAAAAUAACAAGAAAAAAAAUACGUGACAAAGAAAGGAAAGGAGAUCUUCUUGGAUUCCAUGUUUCAUGUGUCACAAAUUGGAGUUUAUAUAAUUUGAAUUUAAAAAAAAUAGUAAUGCUGCUUAGCAAAAAGUAAAGAAAUUACCUAAUCAAUAAAUUUAUUGUACAUAUGCCAAUUCAAUUCCAAAUUCUUUCAAUUUUAUCAAUUUAGUUUUAAAAAUUUACGCGAAAUUUCAGUAGUCAUUUUGGUCAACUUUCGCUAGAAAUCAUUGAUGUAGCAGUCUAAGUAUCGUCAGCCGUCUUAUGUGGUACACUACAAUGUUAGCAAUUUUAAGCAAAAUUAGCCAAAAUGAUUAUAUUAUGAUUUUGAGCAAAGAUUUUAAAUUAAUUUGAUAAAAUCAAAAAGUUUAUAACUUAAUUGAGGGAAAUUUUCAAAAAAUGACCUGAAGUGCCAUGAUUUUCUCAAAUAAGGACUCAAAGUGAACUUUGUUUCAAAUAAGGACUUGAAGUGGCAUUGAUUGUUUCAAAUAAGGACCUGAAGUGGUUUUGGUUGUUUUAAAUAAGGACUUGACUACAUCGGUUGCCGAUUGAUUAAAUUUUCCAACUGGUUAAUGGUAUUUUAAUUAUUUACCAUUUCCCUUAUUUUCUUCCUUUUUUCUCUUUUAUUUCCCUUUUUUUUUUUUUUUGUUCUUCUUUUUCCGCUUCACCGGUGGUUGGCCAGUCACUGGCAAUGCCCAUAGAGGGCUGGGCGAGGGUUGCCCUCAUCGACAAGGGCCACCCACGCCAGCCACAGGUGAGGUGACGCUCUCCUAGGGCCAUCUGCGAGGUUGGCCUUCGUCUACCCCAGACGAGGGCUCGACCACCCUUGCCAGCCAUAGGCGAGGCCCAAGCGAGGGCUCGACCACCCUCGCCAGCAGGCAACGACCCUCGCUGGCCCUUACCAACGGCCGGUCUGGCAAGGGUCGCCUCGCCCAAGUGAGUCUAUCCCUCACCUAUGGUCGGUGUGGGCGGCCCUCAUCGGCAAGGGUGACCCUCGCCCAACCCUCUGUGGGCAUCGUCAGUGGCUGGCUGACCACCAGUGAAGAGGAAGAAGAAGAACUAGCAAAAAAAAAAAGAAAAAGAAAUGGCAAAUGACAAAAAUAUCUUUGAUCGUCGGAAAGUCAGGUUCAUAUUUGAAAUAGACAUAGUCACUUCAGGUUCUCAUUUGAAAUAACAUUCACUUCAGGCCCUUAUUUGAGAAAGUAAUGUCACUUUAUAUUCUUAUUUGAAACAAGGUCCACUUCAAGUCCUUAUUUGAGAAAAUAAGGGCACUUUAGGUCCCUUUUUGGAAUUUUCCCCUAAAUUGAUACAUUUAUAAAUAAUUUUAGAUUUGAUUUGACAAUCUCCCCGAUAAUUAUAACCGGCAACCACUUUAUUAAAUAAAAUUUGGCUUGUUGACAUCCACGGUCUACUUGCAACUCUCACGUAAAAUACUUACUCUUCUUCUUAUGCUUACAUAGACCCAACGAGCUUCGAUCCAAGGUUGAUCCUGGACUAACCCUGGACCAGCCUAACCCUACUGGUCCUGGUUCGGUUCCUAAAAAGAUUGGGUCGGUCCUUGGUCCUAAAAUUUCUGGACCAGCACUAUGCGGGUUGGUUUUCGGUCCUGAGAGUUUCGAGUUGGUCAAAUCCAAACCAACCCUGAUUAUAUAUAAUAUUAUUUAUAAUUUUUUAUAUAGAGAAAACCUUAAAAUUAAACGGCUUUAACAACAUUAAACGGCUCUUUAGUAAGAAGUUCAAGUAAUUUUACAUUGUUCUUUAAUAACUUAGGUUUUUAAUGUCUUUUACGACGUCAAUUGUCAUAAUUUACGAAGGAUGAAAAUGUUUUUAUGAGGAGUCCUCACGGCAUCCAAAAAGGCACCUUAUGGCAUCUUUUUUUAGUAUUCUUUCUCUUCUAUCUUAUUUGUUUUCUUAGUCUUCAAUUUGCUAAAAUCGAAAAAAAACAACUUCUCCGCUCACCACUUGACACUCGCCUUGCUCGCUUUGGGUCACUUGUGCCGCUCGAUGCUCGCUUGGCUUGUUGCUCCUUGCUCGAUAUUCGAUGCUCAUUCUAUUCAACGCUCACCUCGCUUGAUCCUCACCGCUUGUCUUUCUUAGCUGACCUUGCUCAUCAUCGAAUCCAUUGGGUUGGUACGGUCCCUUUCAAAGAGUACAAAAAAUGAAAUAAAAAAUUAUUGGUUAGUCCUGAGUUGACAUUGAAACUGGACCAAACUUAUUGGAUCAGUCUAAUCCUCAAUCGUUUUUUUAAGGAGUACAAAAAAUGAAAUAAAAUAUUAUCAGUUGAUCCGGGUUGACCCUGAAACUGAAUUGAACCCAUUGGGUCGGUCCGGUCCUCAAUCUCAAGCUCAAUAGGGUCGAUCCUCAGCUCCAAAAAUUGAGAACCGGCAUUGUGCAGAUUGGUCCUAAGGUUAAGGGUGGACUAGCCCAACUUGGAUCAUGCUCACCCCUACCCAAGGGUGUCAAAUGAAACUAGAAAAACUUAUGGAGGGGGGGUGGGGAGCAAAAAUAGAGCUUCCAACAAAACUCAGGUGCAAAACGGAAUUUUUUAAAGAAAUAAAAAAAAUAAUGUGGCUACGGUAAAAAAGCAGAGCAAAAGAACAUCAGUCCCGCCAUCACUAGCAUGGUUUUUCUUCGAAGAGAGCGCUUCAAGCGAGCGCUCUCUCUCUCUCUCGAGACUAUGGAUCGAUUCGAUUACUACCCUCAUCGAUCGAUCGAUUCGAAUCCCGUUGAACAGGUUGAGAUUCCAUGGAGCAUCACGGGUUGGAGGAGGCAGAGAAGUCUCGGGUUGCUGAGCUUGGCUCUCGAUUUCGGCUUCGACAAGCAGUCCUCCAGCAAGUGCCUGGGACUGUCUCGUUUCGCUCUGUAGUAACUUUAAUCGUUACUUUGUCACUCAUCUUUUCUUUUUUCUUUAUGCUGAUAAGCAUUUGCAGAGGUUAAAUUGUGUAGGUAUUUCAUCGUCCACCACGACGAUGGUGAUGAUGGCUAGGGAAUAGUCUGCUCUAAGCUUGAAUAGAUCGGAGCGGGUUUGGUGAAGUAGUCUUAUCUCUGAUGAUAACUGGGCACGCGGCAAAGUUUUUCUUGCUUAUUGGCCAAAAUGCGCUGUAUCUGGUCAUUAGAUAAUGACAGCAAAUAAUCAAUGUCUUGGUAUUAUGCACAGUUGCAAAUGAAUUUAUAUAGAAAUGAAGCUCUUCUGUUAAUGCAUUUUUCAUUUUGACUUUUAAUUCCAAAUUGCUGAUGAGUGUAUUGAUUGAACGUACCAAUGGCAAUACUGGCAUUGCCUUUGGCAUUCAUGGCGGCAACAAAGGGUUACGGGCUAAUCAUUACAAUGCCAGCAUCUAUGAGUUUGGAAAGAAGGAUCAUCCUCCGUGCUUUUGGAGCUGAGGUGGUCCUGACCAAUCCUGCCAAGGGCGUGAAGGGGGCUAUUCAGAAGGCAGUGGAGAUAAUGGCAAGGAAACCUAACUCUUACAUUCUUCAGCAGUUCGAGAAUCCUGCUAACCCAAAGGUACAUGUGUGGUCAACUGUCAUGUCUUGCUGGUUGUGUAUGCAGGUGAUAACACGAACUUCAGCUUGGUUGUCAUUGUUCUGUUUAAAUACAUUAUAAAACAACCGGACCAGAGAUAUGGAAAGGCUUGGGCGCCAAAGUAGACGCCUUUGUUUCUGGGAUAGGAACUGGUGGUACUAAAACUGGUGCUGAAAAGUUUCUGAAAGAGCUAAACCCUCAUAUAAAGGCAGAUUGUUUUUAUGAUACUGUUUAUCACGUGUUGAACGACAAAAUAUUGUCAAUUUUGGGUGAUUAUCAACUAUGGAUGCCUUGAAUAAAAAACCUUGUGCCUGAACAUUCUUUUUGUGUUGAACCUGUUGAAAGCCCCUUAUUAUCUGGAGGCAAGCUUGGUUAGUUCCCUUGAACACGUUCAUACCUUUCGCGAUUAUUAAAUCUCCAUGCACAAUCUAGUUUAUCAUCCAAUUUUGUUUCAUUAAGAUUGGUUGAUGACCUGUGAGAGAUUGAUAUGAUGUGGUCUCAUUUUUAGUCCUUAUAGUUCAAGGCUCAUGGUUUCGCAUCAUUGCAUGGGAAGAGAAACAAACGGUCUCCGUAGAAAGCUAAAACAUGAGAUGCUAAAUUGUUGAUAUAAAUAGGCUGAUAAAAAAAGAAAUAGAAAAGAAAAGAAAUAGAAAAUUAAAAGAAAAUUAAAAAUAAUUCAAAUUAAAAAAAAUAAAAUAAAAAAUAAAAAAUCAUUCUAACAAAAAAAGAAAAGAAGAAAAAGAAAGGGGAGAAGGAAGUGAGGAUUUAUAGAUGUGUGAGAUAAGAGAGAUUAAGUUAGGAAAAUAUUUUUCACUUUUCAAAAGUAGAAAAUAUUUUCCUUUAAUUUAGAAGACUUUUUUUUCCUUUCAUGGAAAACAUUUUCCCGGAAAUUAUUUUCCGCAAAACGAAUGGAGCCUUAAAUAUUGAUAAUUUUCCUUACUCAUUAUAACUUUUUUCAAUCAAAUGAAAGUUUGAUCACCUUGUGUUCGCAACUCUCCUUUAACGUUUGCAAAUCCAAAUUCUAUGACAAAAAGUAGAUUCCGCAAAACAAAUUUGACGAAUUGGUUUUUUUCCCUUUCUUAUCCAGUGGUCCACGUUGAAUGCGGGACCAGUCCCAUAAAAGGAGAGCUUCGACUUAUGGAAUUUCCAUUGUGAUCAUGAUGUUUAUGGCACAACAAAAUAAUGUUUUCUUUUUUGCCAAACAGUAACGUGGUGUUAGUACCAACCAAAAAAAAAAAAAACAAUGUUGAAAACCUAUCUUUCCAAAUUAUUUGAAGUUUGCUCUAUAUAUAUAUAAAGCUAAAAAUUUAAAUUAAGAUAAGUAUUACUUUAUCAAUUUUUCCUUUUGCUGAUAAACAGCAACAGAUAAAAAGAAAUUUGAGAUACUUUUCAUAUUCUUAUGUAUACAAAGAAGCCUUUACCCAUAUUCCGAUCUGCCAAGUUCAAGAAUGAUUCAAGCCCGGAAAAGAAAAAUGUAAAAUAAAAAGGCCCCCAUCCCCCAAAAACCAACCAGACCCAACCGUGGAGGCAAAAAUAGAACUUCAACAAACUUCGGGUGCGAAAACGGAAUUUUCAAAAGAAUGGAAAAAAUAUGGCUCNNNNNNNNNNNNNNNNNNNNNNNNNNNNNNNNNNNNNNNNNNNNNNNNNNNNNNNNNNNNNNNNNNNNNNNNNNNNNNNNNNNNNNNNNNNNNNNNNNNNAUAAAAUAGGAAAGGAAAAACAUCAUCAAUCCCGCCAUAGUUGGCAGGGUUUUUCGAACAGAGCACUUCGAGCGCGCGCUCUCUCUCUCUCUCUCAAGAGACUACGGAUCGAUUCAAUUCCACUUCGUGCAUCAUCGAUCGAUCGCUCGAAUCGCGUCGAGCAGGUUGAGAUUCCAUGGAGGUAUCGGGGCUUGGAGGUAGAGAAAGCUCGGUUGCAGAACUUGGCUCUCGAGUUCGGCUUCAACGAGCAGUCCGCCAGCAAGUGCUUGGAUCGUAACGUUUCCCUCUACGGUAACUCGGAUCGUUACUUCGUCGCCCAUUUUUCAUGCUGAUUACCGUUGGCAGAGGUUAUGUAGGUAUUUCUCGUCCCCGCGAAGACGAUGGCUGUGGAAUAGUUUGUUCUAGGUUUGAAAAGGAGCACUUUUUGUCCUGGUCAGCGUUGCGGAGGUUGUAUAGGUCCUUCUGGAAGUCUGCUUUAGGUUUGAAUAGAUUGGAGCUGGUUUAGCGAAGUAGUCUUUUUGACGAACAAAAUGUCUGGUGCUGUUCCAGUUUGAUGUGUUUAGGUUGCUUUGGGUGGUGGUUUUUCUUGGUUAUUAGCCGAAUCGCGUGAUAUCUGGUGAUUAGGGAAUGACGUAAUUGCUUGUGUUGUGAAGAUAAUUUUUCAUUGAUCGAUUGUGCAUUUGCAAGGAAGGAGAUCUAUUGCUGUCAGUCGUCACUCUGAUGAUGGCUCUGGAAUAGUCUCCCUUUUGGAUUUGAAUGGACCGGAGCUGGUUAAAUCUAGUUCAUUGAGCGUUAAUCCCAUCCCCGUUUCUCCGAGGGUUUUGCGGAGUAGUCUUAUUGACUAGCGAAAUGUCUAACUUAUCUCUGAACUAACCACAAAUUACAUAUGGUGUCUUGCCUACAAUUAAGUAUGGCAUCUCACGGUAUUAGCUGCAGAUUACAUGUAGAUUGUAAUUAUUUGAUCUUUUUUUGGUCAUGGAACUUGCAAAAUCAUCUCUCUUCUUUUGGUUGUCUGAAGGUGAUGAAGGUCAAGAAUUUAUCACUGUGGAGCACUAUGGCGAUGAUUUUCUAGCAGAACUCGCCGAAACUAUGCAAGACACUGAGGAUUGGGAUGAUUUGCAAGCUGCAGAAUCAGAAGCUUGUGGAGUUUUGACUGAUAUGUUUGGCCAAGAUACCCCUAAUGAUAGCAAAUGCAAUGUUGUGCACGAUAUUAAUAUUAUAGAAGAUUCUCCACAACCUGAGAAAAAUCGGACUGUUUUUUUAGGUGGAUUCCUCUACUGACAGUGAAGACGAAGAAAUAUAUUUGGCAGUAAAAUGGACAGGAAACCCUCAUGCUAUAUUCCUGAUCAAAGCAGUACUCCAAGCAAUUCAUCCACUCAACUUCUGGCCAGACCAUCUUCAGAAUACAUGGUAUGCUUCUGAAAACUGUGAAUUUGUCUCGCUCCUUCUGCCCCCACCNNNNNNNNNNNNNNNNNNNNNNNNNNNNNNNNNNNNNNNNNNNNNNNNNNNNNNNNNNNNNNNNNNNNNNNNNNNNNNNNNNNNNNNNNNNNNNNNNNNNNNNNNNNNNNNNNNNNUGUCUCAGUAUUGUAUAGGGUUGGCCUUUCGGUGAAGCAACUGUGGACACCUGAAGAGGCCACAGUAGUUACUGGGAAAAUCCCAGGAGUCUGGCCACAAUGGUCUAGUUGUUUAGGAGGUUGACAAAAAGUUGGCAGAUCUGGGCACUACUUUUUGUUCUUUUAACAAUGAUUCUGCAACCCAUAUAUCCAUUUAUUUUUGUUGCUGAGGUAUAUCGGGGUCAACAAGGACAAUGAGAAGAAUUGAGAACAGACUGUCUUGGUUUUUGAUUGGGAGAGAUUAGAGUAUCCUUCUUAUAAAACUGUUGGGAAACGCUUUCCACUCGUCUCAUUCGUUUUUGAUUGACUCUCACAACUGGCGUUUUGGUUAGUGAGACAUUGAUUUAUUACUAUUGUAAUUCCCUCUUGGUCCUUGUGGAACAACUCCUCCUGUUGACGUAGAUGAAACUGCUCAUCCCCUUAAAUUAGGGUGUCACUGUUCUUUGCUCUUAAAAAUAUGUCUUUCCUGUCAUUUCCAGUUUGCUUGUAAUUCUGCUCCCAGCAAAGGACCUCAUGCAAUGUAACUGUACAAAAGUAUUUAAUAAAUUGCUUAUGAGGUCUCUCAUCUGAUCAAAUGUUUGGUAGACACUCCUAACUUGCCAGUUACUUCCACGGUCUUUAAGAUCUAAAAUGACUUUAUUAGAACUGUUUGGUCAAUAAAAACAGUUGACUUUUGUUUUGGAUGACAUAACAAUACCCAUAUUCCAUACGUCCCAUUGAUGGCCUUAACUGCAACUGCCACUUAGCCAGUUCAUGAGGUACGAAACUUGCACAUUAUCCUCCAGAUCAUGUUAAAAAAUCAUUUGGGUAUGAUCGAAAUGUACAUCUAUUGCAGGAUAUCCUAAAAGCUCUUGGGAUCCGCCAUGCUCUUGUUCUGGAGCCAAGCGUUGACAGACCAAACCUAAAAUAUGAGGUCAUAGCUAAGACCAAUGAACCACUGAAGCAGCUUGGAGAGCUGCUAAAGAAUCGNNNNNNNNNNNNNNNNNNNNNNNNNNNNNNNNNNNNNNNNNNNNNNNNNNNNNNNNNNNNNNNNNNNNNNNNNNNNNNNNNNNNNNNNNNNNNNNNNNNNAUGUUGCAAAAUACUUGAAUGAUAAGUGCGGUAUAAAAGACAGGGUACUAUCAUGCUGGAUUAGCAGCCAUCAAAGAGUAGCUGUUCAAAAGAAAUGGCAUACUGGAGAGGUCCAGGUUGUAUGAGUAACCAUUGCUUUGGGAUGGGAAUAGAGAAACCUGAUGUUAUAAGUUGAAAUGGACUCUAAGCCUUUGCCUGCUUUUAGUUUUAGAAUCAAGGUGACAUGCUGGCAAAUGCUCAACUAUUUCACUUUUUUUCUAAUGUUUAGCUUCGCUGAUCGGUUUGAUAGUUUGCUUGGAAGUAAACUUUGCUGUUUCCAUGGUUGAGUGGCCUGCUAAAUUGUCAUUCUUGGCUAUUGAUUGCGGGAACUAGCAAAUUAUGUGUCUUUUUCAAGUCAAAUUCUUUCUUCCAUGCAUGGAACUUUGGUGUGCUGAAAUUAAGUUAAACUAGGAUAAAGUUCUUUUCUUUACUGUAAAAGUGGCAAAUGAAUCUGAUCUAACUUGACUUUCUGUUAUAAUGUCUGUCAUAUUUCAACUUAUUUUAGUUGGUUCAGUAAUUAUUUUUUUUAUGGCCUGUGGUCAGUGUUUUGUCGUCCACAACACAAUGUCCAAGUCAAUCGAAAGCUACUACCAAGAAUCAAGGAGGGCAGGAAGAGAUAAUCUACCAGCAGUGGGCAUUGCUCUAUAUGGCAAAAAGGAUUUCAGCCGGGUUGUGUCCAUGUUAAGGAGUGGUCAAGGAUGUAAAACAGAAAUCCUUAGAAGUGCAAUGGCUUAAGCUAGGAAAAUGCAGCAAUAUUGUGAACUCAAGGUAAUCCAGUUUCUCAAUUUAUCUCUGAUGAUCUCAACUAAGCGAUGCUUCUAUUUUGUCUUUACACUUUCCAUUUUGUUCUAUUGAUUGUUGUUAGUGUUGGUCUGGCAUUAACUCGUCUGCGUGCUGGAUUAUUAGAUGGGUCUGUUGACAACAUAUUCAAACAAUAAUGGAACCUUUGGGAUAAACUCAUAAUCCGCACACCUAAAUGGAGCAAAGUCUAUUGAUAAACAUGCGUUUCCUCUCUAAUUUGUGAAAUUCUCAGGAUGAGUGAUGGCGGCAAACCUUACUUGGACACUAUGGCAAGUCUUUGAAUCAGAAAGACUGUAAAUACGGUUCUAAUCCCUAUGACAAUUGUCUCAAAGCCUCUAUCGAGCUAAACCUUUCAGGUGUCAACUCUCCUGAGGGCGAAAGGUGUUGACUUACGCAUGACCUUGAGCCGCACAGUUCUAGUUCCAUCAUCCGCAAUUAUUGGAAGACUAAAUGGUAAUGGAGGGGCAGAGGUCCUUAACUAUGGACACAGAAUUCUUCAGUUCCGAUGGUUCAAUAGGACGAUUCGACCAGUUGACCUUUAGACUAGAACCCAAACCGGUUCUUUGACCGUCCGGGUCUGGAAGCGCUGCUUGACACGAUUUCAAGACCCGAUUAUUACAUGUAAACAAUAAUUGCCGGCUCUCACAGCGAUAUUGCUGUGAUAACAUGGAGGUUUGAGCGGCACUAACUUGGCAGAGAUAUGGUGGCUACUCGAUGCUGACAUUAUCUUCCUAAGGAUGAUGCAAGGUCAGGCCGUGGCACUAACUUGGCGGUGAAUAGCGCUAGCUUGUCUGAUGAGUGGUUCGUUGACAAAUGAGUGUCGAAGUUUGGCGGGGUAUGAUGGCACAGAUUGGAGGAGUUUUUGUCGUCCCGUUUCGUGAGGCUUUCAUCCAUGGUGGAGUUGGGUCGCAGUGGACCUCAAUUCAGCAACGUGAUUCUUGGAUUCAAAGUCUUUUUCAGUAGAUUUCUGCAGAGGCUGUCUCAACGGGGAUGGCGAGCUUCGAAACGCUUGCGAGCGACGAAUGAACUGAAGGCCUUUUGUACAUAACCAGAAUGUCUAAUACAGGUACUGGCGAUCAGUUAUGUACACCCCAAAGUAGUAUAGAGAUGCACAAUAUCAUGAAUGUAGACAUAAAAUGACCAUCUACAAGAUGCACACAUUAUUCUGAAUAUGUAAGAGAUUUGGUAAUUGUGUGUUGUUCACCGCAAUCAUAUCUGACAAUUUGUAACAUUGUUUUGUAAAUUAAUGAUUUUUAUCCAAUAUUGCAAUUAAACAGAUUAUGGGUGUUGUUUGAAGGGAGGUUUUUGGCUCAUACUUUUGUUAGACAAAUAGGAGCCUGGUACAAUUUUUACACUUAAAGUUAGGUUUUCCUCUAUAUAUAUAGCUUUUCAGAGUUUGAAAUUAGGUUUUUAUUUAAUGUUAACAUCUCAAUUUUUUGAAACUCGGAGAAUGAUUUUCAAAGCUGGCGUUUUAAUUUGGUUCGUAGCAAGAAAAAUUUCUUGUUAAUUAUUUAUGGGUUAUUGAAUGCGUGAAAAUGAGUAAACAUGGUAUUUGUCUUCUGCAGUAUUGCUUGGUAAUUGGAUUUGGUUGUUAAUGUGUAAACAAAGAAAUAAUAUUCAUCUUCAGUCGCAAAAAAGAUAAAUAAAUAAAUAAAAGAAGAAGAAGAUUUUGAAUAGAAGGCGCGGUUUAAGAAAUUGUUCAAGAAAUUAUGUUCUAUUAUUAGAAGAUAUGCGAAGAACACUAUUUACUAUCAAUUAUUAAAAUGUUUGCAUCUUGGAUAAUGUUUUUUAUUGAUUCAUAACCAAUGACUUUCAAAAAUAGUCGCAGGACAAGUUAUUGAAGCCAAUUAGAUUAUUCUAUCAAAAGAACUAUAAAUGAAUAUUAUCUUUUUGAUAGCUGAUCAUAAUUAAAUUUUAUCACUUCCAUUUUAUAUCAAUCUUGGCAGAGGAUAUUCUUACCUUUUACCAAAAAAAAAAAAAAAAAUCUUGGCAGAGGAGAACUAAUAAGUGUAAUUUGGCCAAAAUAAGAAAAAUUGUAUACUUCGUCAGUCACUAAUUAUUUGUCUUGGUCUUUUAUAAUGGUUUGAGUCUUGGUCUUUGUUUUUUAUUUUUUUUCGCUAGAAAUAGUCUUGGUCUUCGUAGCAUCUUCCACUAGCUAACAUGGAUGGGACCUUAGAUUGUGACAGUCUCCCCAAGGGUAAGAAUCAAUAUUUGCCUUUUAAAAGAUGGUCAUGGAUAAUGAUGUAGAAAUAUGAUAUUCUUAAAUUAAUCAUUGUAGGUAAAAGCACAGCAAUUAUAAUAUUAUUUCAAUUUAAAAAAUAGAAUUAAAUAGGAAAACUACUCUUAUUUAUGAAUGUACUUACGCAAUACUAUCGUUAGAUUAUAAUUAUUAUUGGUUGUAAUCUUGCUGAGAUGAUUCAAUGUUUGCUGAGAUUUCAUGUAUACAUUUAUGAAUGCAGCCAACACUUAGAAAGAUUAUUGAAAUCUCUUGAAAUUGUGACAAGAGGGCAAACAAAGAAAUAAUUAAAUGUUGGAAAUGUGGUACGGUCACUUUUCAACUUGCUCACAGGAAGAAAACGGUAAGUAGAUGCUAAUCUGCAAAUUCAUUAAUUGAUUCUUGUCCAUCUCCUUCUAAGUUCUAAACUUCAUCAAUCCAUUGAAUGUGCGAGUAUAUUUCAGACAAGUUAUAAUAAGGUGCAUAUAAUUAUAUAGUAUUUUCCAUUUGAUAAACAGUGCGAUGCACUAAAUAAACCAUAUAGUCCAACCACAUAUUUCCUCGACCUUUGAGAAUUAAGGAAAAAAUUAAACCAUUUCAUGGCAUCUUAUUUAAUAAGAUUUGAUCAAGCAGUGAAUGGAUUCCAAUUAGAUUGUUAUUUUGGACAUGCAUUGAAAAUGUAUAAAUGGAUGAAUUAUUUCUAGUAUAUCUCAUAUCGGCCUAUUGGAUUACGAUAUAUGGAAAUUGGAUCAGUGCUGAUGGUCAAACUACGUCUUGAGAUAUGUUAUAUAUUUAUAGGCCGGUUUCAUUUCAAGCUUAAUCACAAUUGACAUGAUUUCUAAGCUAACUACAAUCAAUGUAAUUUUCGAGCCUUAUCACCUCCCAAAACGUGACUUGAACUGAGCAUCGAGUUAUGCUUGGGCCAGCACCACCCACACAUGGUCGGCAUGGGCCUAGACAUUUUAAAAUUUAAUUUAAGAAAAAUUAAAUUAAAAACAAUGGUAAUUUUUUUCAAAUAAUAAAAAUAAUGAGAAAUCAGUUGAUGGAAAUUAAUAAGAAAAAACACUCAUUCAGUAAACCAAAUUGAACACAAGUAUAUCUUCUAAUAAUUUGAAAAAAAAAAUUACAUCUAGUGGUGCUCUAAUAAUGAUUACACUCACACAAUCGUGUCAUUCACCAUGAUUCAUAUAAUCCAUUACUGUCGGUGCUCUCAUGUCCAUGUUAGGCACCGUUCCUCCAAAGUUAAUCACUGUUUCGUACGGACGCCUUGUAUGUGCCUCAAAACUAGGCAAUCGAUGUUUCAUGUAUUCCACCGGAAUUGAGUGUUUUACCUAAUCUUUUUUGUAUUUGUGUUCUGCAUCUACCAAUUCCUUUAUAUAGAUAGCCAUUUCCGAAAUUCCUACCUCUUUUUCCUAUUAUUUGCAAUUAAUUGUAUCAUAAGGAUGCGUAUAUUAGUCUUUGGCUUAACAUUAUCUCCCCUGCAAAAUGGAUUCCACUCGAGAAAGGCACUCUAAAGACCAAUGUGGAUGGCUCGCAUGCGAAGGGACAGAGAACAGGAAGCGUUGCCCUGCGUUUGUAGAGACGAGUCUAGGAACGUUGUCGCUGGAUUUACGAAGGAAGUGCAGGCGAACUCGACGGAGCAAGUGAAAGCUCUAGCGUGCACAGAAGCCAUAUGCUUCUUCUCUUCUACUUAUGAACUCAAGUACUAUCUAGAGUUAGAUAAUUAGAUAACGAAAAGCGCGCUUUCAGAUCAAGAACAGCCAACGUGGAGCAUCCAUGCUCUCAUCUCUGAAGGCAAAAACUUGCUGGCCAAUACAAGGGCAUCCGAUUAGCCCACUGUAGGAGAGAAGCGAGCCAAGUAGUUGAUUGAAUCUCUAAGGCCCAUCGGCAAAAAUCCCUUCCCACCAACUGGGUUUCUUAUCCCCAAAAAUAUUGUAGCAUCUAAUUUGUUUAGAGGUUCGCUUAGUUUGUAAUUGCGGAACUACUUGAAAUAAUGAAAGCAGUUUAUUUUGACAAAAAAAAAAACAUUUAGAUUUCUCCACCAUCUCCCGAAAUGUAGAAGAUUGUACAAAAUUUUUGUAGAAACACUUAAUUGCAUAAUUUUUCGAUAAUCAGGGUUCUNNNNNNNNNNNNNNNNNNNNNNNNNNNNNNNNNNNNNNNNNNNNNNNNNNNNNNNNNNNNNNNNNNNNNNNNNNNNNNNNNNNNNNNNNNNNNNNNNNNNNNNNNNNNNNNNNNNNNNNNNNNNNNNNNNNNNNNNNNNNNNNNNNNNNNNNNNNNNNNNNNNNNNNNNNNNNNNNNNNNNNNNNNNNNNNNNNNNNNNNNNNNNNNNNNNNNNNNNNNNNNNNNNNNNNNNNNNNNNNNNNNNNNNNNNNNNNNNNUCUUUCGCGUGGCUCCUCACACUUGCCCAUCCACCACUGCGAGCGAUUGAUUCCAUGAAUCGGUCAGAGUCUUAGGCCUUAUGUGAUAAACAAAUGCAAAAAUGGCGGAUUUCUAGAAGGGCGACGGUGCUUUAUUUUGCUUGAAGGGGAUGAUUAGGAUGAACCCUUUGCCUUCACCUCUCUGUUUCGCUCAAUUCUUGGAGGGAUCGUGGAGAAGAUGAAGAAGCAUUGCGCCCCGGCCAUCGACAGGACCGGUCGGAUGAAUUCGAAGGGAAUGACUCCCAUCGUUUUUAGGCCAUGCAUUCUGAUGAAUUGUCUCUGCCAAUUGAAAAGGUCCAAUCUUGGACUCGAACCCACAACCGUGAGCUUUAAUCCUCAACAGAUGGCUUAUGUUGCAUAGGCAAAUGGAAAAUAAAGCAAUGAUUUUGUUAAUGAAUACAACGCGAUUUACCAUUCAUUGUUAAAAGAUUUGCAUCUUGGAAAUGUUUUAUUGGUUGACAAUCAUUGAUUUUUCAAUGAUAGAUGAGAAGAGUUAUUGAUGGAAUUGAAAGGACCAUCAAUGAGUUUACUUUUUUUGUUGGCUGAUCAUGAUGAAAUUUUGUCGCACUUUCAUUUUAUAUCGAUCUAGGCCAAGGACAACUAAUAGAUUUUAUUUGGCUGAAACAUCUUCUGACUAGGUAACAUAAAUAGAACCUUAGGCUCCAUAUGUUUCGCGGAAAACAUUAGACCAUGUGAUUGCAUUAAGGAGCCAUGAACCCAACCCUUUGCUAAUAGGGAGGCUGUUAUCAUCCGUGAACACAAAUAUUGGUACAAUUCCAUCAUUUAUCAGAUUGUUGUAGUCUCGAAAGCUCAAGAAUACAUCACGAUGAUCACUUCCCCCCUUUGGUGUUGGAGAGAUGAAUGUAGAUGUAGAUGCUCUGGCAGCGCUCUUCUUUUCAGCGAGCGCUAUUGCUUCCACUAUUUUUCCUUGUCUUGAGAAGAUUAUAAGCGCACACCGAAAGAAGAAUUGGCGCGACAAGCACCACUAAAAGAAUGCCCCAAAGCCGAACUGAUGGCACUUCGUUGUUCUCGUUGAUUUGGCUCUUCCCUUCAUCCAUGGAAGUCCAAUAGCAAAAAGAAAAAAAGGGAAAUGCCCUUCCUGUAGCGCAUAAAGGAUAGAUUAACGUAUCAACCGGACUUAUGCAUCAACUUGAAACGAUCGCCGCCACACGCUCAAGAGUGAAGUGCACAACUUCUUUUACCCAAGAAAAAGAAAAAUUACAGACCCAAGGGUGUCAAACGAAACCAGGAAAAACUUGUGGGGGGCAAAAAGAGAGCUUAAACAAACUUCGGGCGCGAAAACGGAAUAUUUAAUAAAUAGAAAGGUAAAACGUCAAUCCCGCCAUCGCUGGCGAGGUUUUUCGAACAGAGUACUUCGAGCGCACGCUCUCCAGAGAGAGGCUAGCGAUCGAUUCGAUUCCGGCUCGUGCAUCGUCGAUCGAUCGAAUCGCUCGAAAAGGUUGGAAUUCCACGGGGGAUUGGGGCUUGGAGGAGGUAGAGAAAGCUCGGGGUUGCUCAGCUUGGCUCUCGAGUUCAGCUUUGAUGAGCAGUCUGCUAGCAAGUGCUUGGACCAUCUCGUUUCGCUCUACGGUAACGCGAAUCAUUACGUCGAGUUAUGUAGCCCAUUUUUUAUGCUGAUUGGCCGUCGAAGCACUUGCUGGCAGACUGCUCGUCGAAGCUGAACUCGAGAGCCAAGCUCAGCAACCCCCGUGGUCCGUCCUCCAGCAACGCGGCGUCAAGGUCCGCGGAUCCGACGUAAGUGCCCCUUUUUCUCCCACGCGCAUUGCGCACGCUAGCAAGAACACUCGUUCGGCAGAUGACUUGACGCGCUAGCUCAGCUUGCGUAGUUCCCGUCCUGCUGGGUUGGCGUCGGAAUUCGCGAUAGCUUCGGUUCAUUCAAUGCACGAAAAGUUUCGCGCAAUGUUUUUUUUUUUUUUUUGGUUACGUGAAAGCCUAGUUGAGGUCUUGUAAUGCUCGGGGCGUCUUGAUUUCAGCUUUUCAUGCUUUGAAAUGUGCGGCCGUGAGUUGUGGGGAUAAGAGGUGGGAGAGUGUGUGAUGUGUUUGAUUUUAUGCUCCAUCCAGUGGAGAUGCGAAUAUGGGUUCCUGGGUAGUUUCGUAUACGGCCUUGCUGUUUGGAUAAUUCUUCUGUGGAUAAAUUGUCCUUGUUCUCAAGGAUUUUUCUGUGCUGGCUGAGCUGUGGUCAUUGGUCAAAUUUUGUACUCUGGACAUGCUUACUAACAAGAUUAGUGAGUUGACAGUCUCUUUAAAUGGGUUCGUAGGUUUUGUGUGAGAGGGUGAGUCUCCCGUUGAUGAACUUCACAUUUCAUAUCUCGAAAUUUGAGUUAGAUUCGAGAUACAGCAGGAUAAGUUUGGUGUGACUGUAAGAGAUUCAUGCCAAAUAUUAGGAUACGGAUAUCCAACAAACAUCAAACGGCAGAGAGGGCGGUCAGUUUGAUGAGUAUCAGCUGUCUCAUAAUUGGACUCGACUAUAAAGUGGUAAAUGAGGAUUGCACAUCGAGUGUGUUUAUCAGGUUGUUCAGUUUGGUAUUUUUCAUACAGUCAUAUAAUUUUUAAUUUCUCGCAUCACUGAACUAAGUGCAAAUCGCAUAUUGUAUAUUGUGUUUAUUUGAUCUCUUAUUUGCCAUGGAAUGUGCAAAAUCAUCUCUUUCUUCUUUUGGUUUUCUUAAGGUGACGAAGGUCAAGAGUUUAUCACUGUAGAGCACUGUGGCAAUGACUUCCUAGCAGAACUUGAUGAAACCAUGCGAGAUUCUAAGGAUUGGGAUGAAUUGCAAGCUGUGGAAAUCAGAAACUUGUGGAGUUUUGACUGACAUGUUUGGCCAAGAUAUCGGUAGUGACGGUGAAUGCAAUGGUAUACAAGAUAUCGAUAUUGUAGAAGAUUCUCCACAACCUAAGAAGAACCAAACUUUUCUUGAGGUGAAGAUUCCUCUACUGAUAGUGAUGACGAAGACAAUAUAUUUUCAGUAAAAUAGGCAGGAAAUCUACAUACUAUGUUCCUAACUAAAGUGGUACUCCGAGCGAUUCUUUCAUUCAACUUUUGGCCGAACAAUUUUUUAGAAUCCAUGGUAUGCUUCAACCAUGGACAUAGCCAAUACAUGCCAAACCACUUAAAUCACUAUGUCACUGUUAUGUUCUCAUAUAAUUUAUUCUCUGCUUGAUCAUUUUUAAUUUUGCUUGCAAUUUUGCACAUAGCAAAGGACCUACAUGAUGUACAUGUACAAAAGCAUUUAGUAAAUUUUUCUUGUGGUGCCUCUCAUCCAAUGAAAUGUCCAAUAGACAGUCAUAACUUUUGCCAAUUGCUUCCAAAAUAUUCGAGAUCCAAAAUGACAUAUUGGAACUCUUUGGUCGAUAAAGAAGUUGACUUUUGUUUUGGAAGAUGUACAAGUACCUAUUUUCUCAAAAUACUUUGAGAGUAUAGCAAAUCAUCAAAGUGUGGAACUCAGUGAUCUAGUGUCUUUGAUAGGAGUGUUUUGCAUAAAUGAAGGCUUGUAAUUUCUUUGUGCACAUUUUUUAUUUUCCAUGACAAUCCAUUUCAGAAACUAUUACGGUGCUAAAGAGGCUUAUUCCUGUUGAAGGACUGUAAGAGCACUGUCACUCAAGGUUCAAUAUCAGUUUCAAAUAAAAACGGCCAAUGUUGUCAUAUUCAGAAAUAGAGCAUUUUGACCAAUGUGGCAUUAGGCAUGUAAAGCUUCUGUAGCCAAGCAAGAUUGCUUCAUUCUCAUGCUCAUUGGAGGUGGUAAAAGUUUAUGUUACUAGGUUAGUGAAUGUUAACAUUAUUUCAUUUGCGCAAUGAUCGAAUGAAGACGUAAGUGUGGAGACAAUGUUUAGAGCGCAAGCCCUGUGCACUUUGCUCAAUGGUUCCACUGAUUAAAUACUAGACAGAUAGACCUGUACAUUGAAAUUUUAAGCUUUUUAAUGAUCUUGUAAUCUGCUUUGUUAGCACUGUUGCAAAGUUUGUGCUUAAACUUAAGGAUGAAAAUAUUUUCGAAAUGCAAAUUAAGCUAUAGGAAGUGAUUCGGGUACAGAACCAUGGGUUCCAAUGUACAGGAUCUGACUAAGUUGGAAAAGAAUAUUAUACUGGACAUUCUUGUUCUGCCUUCGCACAUUUCUAUCUAUUCUGUGAUUUCUAGAAUUUGAGGUCUUUACUAUUCUUCUAGGACCUUCUAAUUACUUACUGAAAAAUUUAUCUUGUUUUUGCAUGUAAGUGUUGUUGUCAGUCAUAGUUAAGGUCCAAUUCAAAAGGGUUAUUAAGUCAAAGUUUUUAAAUUACUUGUGCCAAAUACAUAUUUAGAUCUCUAUAUUUCCUGCAGGUAUGUGCUAUGUUAUCAUCUCAACUGGGGUGAUCAUGUAAGAUGGAUCUUGGUAGCAUGCAACAUAUUUGAUCUACUGAAUCACGAAGGAAGAUAUUAAUCUGAAUUUAUUAAUUUAAGUUAUCCUGAAGUAUUUUCUGUUGAGUCUUGAAGUAGAUGAUAUAUGUUUCUAACUGAGGUAAAUAUAAGACAAACAGUGACAACUGGUGCUUUCUGAUCAGCCGAAGGUGAAUGAACGGAUAAUUCCCUCAUCCCAUCUUCUCUUCAUGUGCUCUUCUGAUGUUUUUACCCUUCGUUUCAGCUACCAACAACUCUUAAACCAGGUGUCACAUUUCAUUAUAUGUCCCCUGCUAUCUAUCAUCCAGGACAAAAUAAUUACUCUAACCCUCCAUAUGUUACAGUGGAUGCACAUUUUUUAUGUAUUUAAUGAAAAGGUUCAUGCCUAAGAUGUUUGCCUCAAAUAAAUUUUAGGAUCUUAGUGUUCCUAGAGAAGUAUAUCAUAGCAUACAAUCAUCAUNNNNNNNNNNNNNNNNNNNNNNNNNNNNNNNNNNNNNNNNNNNNNNNNNNNNNNNNNNNNNNNNNNNNNNNNNNNNNNNNNNNNNNNNNNNNNNNNNNNNNNNNNNNNNNNNNNNNNNNNNNNNNNNNNNNNNNNNNNNNNNNNNNNNNNNNNNNNNNNNNNNNNNNNNNNNNNNNNNNNNNNNNNNNNNNNNNNNNNNNNNNNUGCUUGCAUAGAAAGGUACUAUUUCUGAUACACUGUAACUUUCUUUUUAAAGUUUCUUUUUAACUUUUUGAUGCUCGACUGUCGUGCAUUGCAAGCACAACUAGCUGGUUUUGUUGUUGAUGAGGCACAUUGUGUGAGGUAUGUUCUUUGGCAUCCUUGCAUCUGAAGCAAAGUUAAUGCUAAAGUUACUUCAAAAGGAAUAUGUAUUUAUGAUGUUGCCACUGCAAAACUACUGUCCUUGUCCCAGAUAAAGAAGUUAACUUUUAUAUACACUCACUCAAACUCUCUUUUUUGAACGUUUUUGCAUAUUAUGUAUUUCUAGCCUAAGUACAUUGUCCGUAGUACACUGAACCUCCUGAAACCCAAACCUUCUGUGAUGAUCUAGUAUAACAGAAUGCAAUGUUGAAAUAACUAAUUUUGGAAAUGAUCUAGUUCCUUCUUGUGGGAAAAGUCAGUGGCACAUCGUUAAUCAAAUAAAGCAAAAUGCACACAACUAAAAUGAGUUCCAAUGGGAAUUACUUUCGGAAGUAAUUGGAAGUGUCCAUGUUUGGCUUGGUAGUCAGGUCUCUUUAGGUGGUUCUUGUGUCCCUAUUUAUUAUUUUAACCUUUUUACUAUAUGUUAACAACUUGGGACAUAAGGCAAAAGUUCACCCAUUGGAUCAUUGGUUGUGUUUCUUAUUAGGUCUUUACUGGAUUUGUGCCGCCAGUGCCAUCUCAUGAAAGAAACAUACUGCUGGUUUGAGCUUUUCUCAUAUAUUUGAAUGAUUGUAAAUGAGUAACGCUUAUUGAUCAUUACUUUCUCUGUUGUCAUUAUUGCAGUCCAUGGGAACGUGAAUUUUGUCCAAAUUAUAGAGGACUGGAAUGUCUCAAGCAAAACUUUCCAUAUGACCCUGUGAUGGCCUUAACUGCCACUGCCACCUGUUCGUGAGGUAUGAAACUUGCACAUUAACCUCCAGAUUUUGCUGAAAUAAUCAUUUGGGAAUGAUUGACAUCCUAAAAGCUUUCAGGAUCUGUCACGCCCCAAUCCUUGGGCACGCACACAUCCUUCAUCUUGGUCGAUUUUAUAAUGCGAUAUCCCAGGACAAUGUAUCGCCGACCCUUUUAAUUUUUAAGCACAUGCGGAAGCAGUUAAAAUCCCCAGACAAUAAAACGAUGGGAUAGAAAAGCAGGGCCAUAUUUUUCAUAUUGAAAUUUAUAACCAAACUUUUAUACAAACCACAAACCCUUCAUAACUAUUCACAUCAAAACGGAGAUCUCAAAAGAAGACAGAAACUUAGAUGAACUAGGCCGUACUCAAGGCCCCUCUCAGAAUUGUCUUCUUCUUCCAAAAAAUCCUUUUCUUCAGAUCUCACCUCCGAGUUCUCCUUCUCGGAUUCCUCCUCCACAGCUCUUCAGCGGGGUCCUGAAAUGGUUUUCCCCAAACUGGGAUGAGACUACGUCUCAGCGAGUUCUACCCCACUAAGCCCGAUUAGUAAACUAUUAUACUAAAGGCUGCCUAAACACGCACAGGGCAGAGGACUUACCUUGGCCUCAGAUCUUACCUGCAAGUCAGUACAAUUCACAAUAGGCACCCAUUUACUCAAAACAAAUCGAACCAGUCGAUUACAUGUCAUACAAUUCAAUCCCCACCGUGGGAUAUUUAAAAGCUAGGCCACGUGCAUUCUCCAGGACGACCUUCCAAGUCUCCGAGCCACGUGCCUCAAACCUCGGACCCACGUGCAUUCUCUAAGGCGACCUCUUCGCCAAGGUGGUACAUCAAGCCACCGAGCCACGUGUCCUUUUUACGAUGCCCGGGCCCACGUGCAUUCUCUAAGGUACUCGCUUACCAAAGUGACGCAUCAGAUCACCGAGCCACGUGCCCUUUUAGAUGCCAUUCCGAAUACUGGACCCACGUGCAUUCUCUAAGGUACUCGCUUACCAAAGUGACGCAUCAGAUCACCGAGCCACGUGUCCUUUUAGAUGCCUGGGCCCACGUGCAUUCUCUAAGGUACUCACUUACCAAAGUGACGCAUCAGAUCACCGAGCCACGUGCCCUUUUAGAUGCCAAACUCUGUCACCGAGCCACGUGCAUUCUCCAGGACGACAUACCAAGUCUCCGAGCCACGUGCAUUCUCUCAGGCGACCUCUUCGCCAAGGUGACAUAUUCAACCACUGAACUCACGUGCAUUUUCCAGGUGACAUUCCAAUUCACCGAGCCCACGUGUCCUCUUUCAAGCGGUUACCAAUCUUCUUUCAACACCGACAACCAAUGCCCAACGAUUUCUCAAUCAAAUAAUUAAAUCAAGUCAACAAAGCAUUAUAAAUGCUGAAUAACAUACUUGGCCAAUCACCAAUCAAUAAUUCAAUCUCAAUCGAUUCCAAUCAAUUUAGGGUAAAUCCCUAAAAUAUCACAAUUUAUUCAAUUCCAUACAACGUAGAGCUCAAAUAAAUAAACGGACUGCGCCACGACAAUCAGCACGAGAUUUCGGUCGUCGGCCAUCAACAUCUUAAUUUUUGAAAAAUAAUUAAUUUCGAAAAAUUAAAUAAUUAAUAUUAAAAAUUCAAUUUAGCUCAAAAUAAAGCCCGAUUAAAUAAACGGACUUCACCACGGUCAUCAGCAUAAUAUUCCGGUCCCGGGCCAUCUCAGUUGAAUUUUCGGAAAAUAAAUAAUUAUUUAAUUUAAUUCCGAAAAUUAAUAAUUAAAUACUAAAAAUAUCCACUUAGGCCCGAAAAGCCUAAUUGGAGCCCACUAAGGGUUGGGAAAAUUCCCGAAGCACUUCCAAUAAUUAGUAGACCACGUCUACUUGCUAAUUGCGCAAUCAAUUUAUCUAAAUCGCAUCACAAUUCACUAAUAAUUGCUAAUUUAUUCUAAUCUAACAACCUAAACAUAAUUAAUUAAAUCUAAACCAACCUUAAGCAUAAUUAGCCAACUAAUCCUGGAUUAGUGAGAUUACUCACCAAAUCGCAUCACAAAUCGGAUCAAUCCGACGGCGGCGACGCGAGGAACGAUUGUUCCCAAAGCACGGCUCGGGUUCGGGGCCCGGAAACGGCCCAAAACGGCCCAAGAGCCGGCUGAAAACCCACUUCGUGGGUUGCUGGAUUAGCUGCGAAACAGAGGAAAACAGAGAUGGUUAGAGGCGGAGAGGGGUGGGGAAAGCAAGAGGCGGUCCGGUGAGGCCACACGGCGGCUCCGGCGGCUUGCUCGGCCACUCACGGUGGCUGGACGAGACGGAACAGUGGCUGGUUCGUGCGGAGGGAGGAGCGGCCGCGAGCGACGGACGGCGGGACGGCGGCGGCGCACAGCCGCGGCCGCGGGUGCGGGCGCCGGUGCGGCCGGCGGGACAGCGACGGAGCUGCAACUUCUGGUCUUCUUCCGCUUCUGGUUUCCCGCGAAGAAGAAAGAAGAAAGAAGGAGAAGAAAGGAGCCGGUUCUGACGUGCAGGGGAAAAAAGAAGAGAGAGAGAGAAGGGAUAAGCAUUGACCGGUCAAAAGGGAAGAGAGAGGGAAUAGGCGGUCGGGAAGGGUUUCGCACGAGGGGGAGGGGAGAGAGAGAGAGAGAGAAAAAGAGAAAAGGGAAAGGGAAAGAAAAUAAUACUUUAAUAAGAAAACCCAAUUUUCUUAUUUCUAGUAUUUUCCUUUUUUUCAUUCCCUUUUUAUUUUCUUUCAGGUCUUCGAUUUUUCCUCCGAUAAUUUCUUUCUUGAAAUUUCGGACUCGGCAAUAAAUUGAUAGACGAUGAGACGGUCCUAAAAAUGAAUUGUGACACGUCUGAAUAUUCGAUUCCCGAAACCAAAUCAAAUUCCAUGGUUAAAAUCGACCGGACGUGAUUUUAGUCCAAUCCAACCAAUUAGGUAGCUUUUAGGGAUUUUACCAUGGAUAUAUCCCUUAAUAGCUUCACCCAAUAGGUUAGUUAACUCGUGAGUGAUCAGCUCAAAGAAAAAGGACCAUAGGCACGUCGACGAAAUGCACAUUUCAUUUUAUCGAAACGGGGUCAAAUUUCAGGAUGUCACAGGAUCCCCCAUGCUCUUGUUCUUGAGACAGAUUUGAUAGACCAAAUCUAAUGUCUGAGGUCAUAGCUAAGACCAAAGAACCAAUGAAGCAGCUUGGAGAGCUGUUAAAGAAUCAUUUUGCUAAUUUUUGUGGGAUAGUAUUUUGCCUCUCAAAGAGUAAAUGUGUUGAUGUUACCAAAUACUGAAUGAUACGUGCAGUAUAAAGACGGUGUACUAUCAUGCUGGAUUACCAGCCCAUCAAAGAGUAGCUGUUCAAAAGAAAUAACAUACUGGAGAGGUCCAGGUUGUAUGUGCUACCGUUGUUUUUGGCAUGGGAAUAGACAAACCUGAUGUUGUAAGUUGAAAUGGACUUUGCGCCUUUGUCUAUUUUUAGUUUUAGAAUCAAACUGACACGUUGGCAAAUACUCAAUUAAUCCACUUUUCUUCAAAUGUUUAAGUAUCACUAAUUGGUUUCUUAGUGUGCUUUGAAGUAAACUUUGUUAGUUCUAUGGUCCAGUGGCCUGCUAAAUUAUCAUUCUUGGCUAUUUUUCGAGCCGAAUUCUUUCUUCCAAGCACCAAAAUUAAGUUAAACUAGGAUAAAGUUCUUUUCUUUACUGUAAAAGUGGCAAAUGACUCUGAUCUAACUUGACCUUCAGUUAUAAUGUUUUAGUCAUAUUUUAACAUUUUUUUUAAUUUGGUUCAGUAAUUAUAUUUUAUGGCAUGUCAUCAGCAUUUUGUCAUCCACAACACAAUGUCAAAGUCAAUCGAAAGCUAUUACCAAGAAUCAGGGAGGGCAGGAAGAGAUCUACCAGCAAUUUUUCCACUCGACUUCUGGCCAGACAAUCUUUAGAAUCCAUGGUAUGCUUUAACCAUGGACAUAGCCAAUAUAUGCCAAACCACUUAAAUCCCUGUCACUGUUCUGUUCUCAUAUAAUUUAUUCUAUGCUUGAUCAUUUCCAAUUUGCUUGUGAUUCUGCACACAGCAAAGGACCUACACAAUGUACAUGUCCAAAAGCAUUUAGUAAAUUGCUUAGGGGGCUUCUCAUCCAAUCAAACGUCCAAUAGACAGUCUUUAACUUUGGCCAAUUUCUUUCACACUCUUCAAGAUCCAAAAUGACAUACUAGAACUCUUUGGUCAAUAAAGCAGUUGAUUUAAGCUUUGGAUGAUGUGCAAAUACCUAUAUUUCUCAAAUACUUUGAGAGUACAGCAAAUCAUCAAAGUGUGGAUUAGCAAUCCAGCAUCUUUGAUAGGAGUGUUUUGCGUAAAUGAAGGCUUGUGAUUUAUGCGGAGUGUUUGGACUGUCAAAUUAUUAAUCUUUGCCUGCCUUUUCAGAAAGAUAAACCAUUGUGCAAGCUACUGUAUGUAACUGCUGAAAGGAUUGUGGGAAACCCAUCAUUUCUUGAGAUAUUGUAAUGCUUGCAUAGAAAGGGAUUGUUUCUGAUGCACCAUAACUUUUUCUGAAAGGUUCUUUGUAAAUUUAUUAUAUUCAACCAUCAUGCAUUGCAGGCACAGCUAGCUGGUUUUGUUAUUGAUGAGGCACAUUAUGUGAUGAAUAUGUAAUAUUUGGCAUGCCUUGUACAUGAAGAAAGAUCAUGCUAGAGUUACUUCAAGAGGAAUAAUUAUUUGUGAUGUUGCCUCUGGAAAAAUGUUGUCCUUGUUCCUGAUAAAUAUAAGCAAGUUAACUUUUAUAUAUGCUAACUUAAACUCUUUUUCCAAACUUUUCUGCAUUUUCUGGGUUUCUAGCCUAAUUAAAUUGUCAGUGUUACUCUAGACCCUCCAAAGCCCAGAACCCUAUUAAGUUCUAAUAUAACCAAAUGCAGUGUUCCUUGUUUGAUGAAAAGAUUUAGGUUCCGUCAUUUGGGAACACUUAGCGGCACAUCGUAUAUUAUAUUGAGUAAAGAGGACACAAUUUAAUAAAACUCCAAUGGAAAGUACUCCUAGAGUAAUUGGAUCCAGCAUAAGCUUGGAUAAGAUCCAAUCUCCUCUUUAUGUUUGGCAGGACACUCAGUCUCUGAGUGGUUCUUGUAUCCCUAUUUNNNNNNNNNNNNNNNNNNNNNNNNNNNNNNNNNNNNNNNNNNNNNNNNNNNNNNNNNNNNNNNNNNNNNNNNNNNNNNNNNNNNNNNNNNNNNNNNNNNNNNNNNNNNNNNNNNNNNNNNNNNNNNNNNNNNNNNNNNNNNNNNNNNNNNNNNNNNNNNNNNNNNNNNNNNNNNNNNNNNNNNNNNNNNNNNNNNNNNNNNNNNNNNNNNNNNNNNNNNNNNNNNNNNNNNNNNNNNNNNNNNNNNNNNNNNNNNNNNNNNNNNNNNNNNNNNNNNNNNNNNNNNNNNNNNNNNNNNNNNNNNNNNNNNNNNNNNNNNNNNNNNNNNNNNNNNNNNNNNNNNNNNNNNNNNNNNNNNNNNNNNNNNNNNNNNNNNNNNNNNNNNNNNNNNNNNNNNNNNNNNNNNNNNNNNNNNNNNNNNNNNNNNNNNNNNNNNNAUGCUCUUGUUCUUGAGACAAGCUUUGACAGACUAAAUCUAAAAUAUGAGGUAAUAGCCAAGACCAAGGAACCACUGAAGCAGCUCGGAUAGCUGCUAAAGAAUCGUUUUGCUAAUUUGUGUGGCAUAGUAUAUUGCCUUUCAAAGAGUGAAUGCGUUGAUGUCGCAAAAUACUUGAAUAAGAAGUGAUGUAUAAAGACAGUGUACUAUCAUGUUAGAUUAGUAGCCCGCCAAAGGGUAGCUGUUCAAAAGAAAUGGCAAACUGAAGAGGUCCAAAUUGUAUGUUAUAAAAAGAAAUGGCAUACUAUCAUUCUUGUGUUAUUGACUAGCUAUAUUAUAAAUUAUAUAAUCAAUACAUUGACUUUACUAGCAACUUUUCUCAUGUUAUAUAUAAUCAGUAUGCUCAAAAUUAGAUUAUUUCAUGUUUAAUAUAUUUAACUAAUGUUUUGACUUGUUAGUGCGGCCCGCAUUACGUAUGAUUUAGUGCUUGAAUAUGCAAACUUGGCUUAACAAGUUAGUUAAAGUUUUGGUAAACAACGACCAAAUUUGAAUAUAUGAUUAUCUUGUGGGUAGCUUUUAACUACUAAAGUUCCACUGUUGUAAUGUAGUAUGAUGAAGAGGAACAUUUGAGAGUACUGGCCCCAAAGAAAAUGGUUCUAUUGAAACUUGAAAGCAUGACCAAUGACUACAAUUUGGUGUAGUAGAGUCCAAGUACUAACCAAGUAGAUGACCGUUCAAUGGUUUAGUCCAAAUUUGGCGUAGUAGAGUCCAAGUACUAACCAACUAGACGACCGUUCAACGGCUUGGUCCAAACCAAAUGGAUAUAAAUUUCGGGAAGAUUUAACAUUUUCUUUAUCAGUCAACUAUAGCCAACACCAAAGAAAAUUUGGUUUCAAGUAUGAUUAUGUAUGGCUGUGUCUACACUGCUUUAUAGGCUCAUGCUUAAAGGAAUCAAGUUUGAGAUUAUACUAUCAAAGUGAUUGCAAAAUGCCAAUACGUGAACUUCCCAAAAUCCAAGAGCUGAUUGUACACUAACGAACACUUUUAUGUUGCGCUCAAAAUUCUUCCGAGUGAAAAACUACUGUCUUUUGGGAACCUUUUUACUGAAAAUCUUGCCUGCAAUUGACAGAUUAUUUGCUGAUUCCAUGAUAUUCACUUUUUACAUUAAAGAAGUCUCUCACAUUCACAAAAUUGUAGCUAGAAGUGGACAUCUAAAACGGUAAUCUUGUUGACAAACAUGACUUUAUGCUUAACUUCACAUCCAAAACCACCUGUACAUGCAGUCUUCCUGCAAGCAUUUUGAAAUUCUACCUUUGCUAAAUAAUAGCAUGAUGUCAAAGUUUGCAAAGGACUACUUCACCGCAUUAGAAGAGGUCCCUUUAUAUCAAGAAUCCUAUCAAGAUUAUCAGCAUAGAGCACAUUAUAAACACCUUUAGCGAAGAACUUCGGAACACCUUUCCAUAACGUCUCAUGACAUAUCUCAUUUCGGUCCACAUCUCUGUCCUGUGAUGCUCGGGAAUGUUCUCUGAAUUUUAUGAAAUGCAACUUGAAUCUACACAAGAAGGAUUAUUUACUAAUUAUCAAUAAAUGGGGAUAUUUGAGAUCGGAGCAUCACAAUUUACAUCAUGAAAGAUAAGGUACAAAUGCACAAACAUCAUUUGCACCAAUUGCAGUUGGACCGUAAUGAACAGAGACUUCAUGAGCUGGCCGAUGAAAACGUAAACAACAGGCUUGGAAGAAGUAGCAAUUAGCAACACUUUCCCUGUUUGUGUUUAGGAACAUAAUUGAUGUCAAUAAAAAUAUGCUGAAAGGUGAAGUGCUUAAACUACAUAAUAGAAAGAUAAAUUUAUUAUUUGGUUAUUCUGCAAUAUCCUGUUAGCAAAAUCAGCAAAACAGGAUAGUUUGCUAGGAGGUGAAUUUUAACUUUACAAAGUCAACGUCGCAUGAGAACUGACCUUAUCAAAUUAAAAAAGUCAGAAACCUAUAUGACAACAUUCAAAGGAUAGUAUCACAUUGAUGAACUGAUAGAAAUGAAGGAGAUUGUCCUCAUGCAUACUUGCAUACUUUUCAGGUGCAAUUCCAUAGCUCAUAUAGUAUGAGCAAACAAGUUAUUUUUCCAAUGUUAUGGUACGACUAGUAGUGCAUACCUCCCUUUGCAGAGCCUUAUCAAGUUCCAGAAUGAUAACAUUAGAAUGCAACAGCAUUAAACAAACAUUUCUGCAUCAGGGUGACAUACAAAAAAAUCAGCAGCUACGUAUUGGAUUAACAGAGAGGUUGAACCUCAUGAACAUACAAAAAGCAGAUUCAACUCAAAAUACAACAUCAAAAUCAUUUGAGUAUGUGCUGUCGAGACCAGAUAAAGUGUACUAGAUCCUCACAAGCAUACAAAAUUCCCCAAGUAACAUAGAGAAUCUCAAGCGAAGACAAGUCACCGAUUUCACUUGGAAUUGCUCUUUUAGACAACAGCGUGAUGGGAAACUUAUAGUGCACCAAUUUUUCAACCUUCCUAUAGCACUAGGAAGCUUUUCAAUACCAGAACCACUAAUGUCUAAAUGUUGCAAAUUCUGUAAAUUUCAAGUUGAGCUACUGAUAUCAGUGAGCGACUCACAACAGCUCGCACUCGGUUUCUCCAGCUUCCUCAGAGAACUGAUAGACGUAGGAAUCUCAGUAAUAUCAGCAAAAUCUAAUAUAAGUUCUAAUUUGACAGAUUCACCUCCUUUCAGUUCUCACAUACCCAUCCGCUCUUGGUCCAGUCCGUUGCCACAUUCUUCUUCCAAGAUCCCAAAUCUCCUGUGGAUCCUAAGAUUGCCACACUCUCCCCAAUUUCAACUUGACGAUCCAGCCGAACGCUGAGAUGCACCUUUUCCCGUCCCAGCAAUGAUCUGAUCUUCUUUGCUUUCUUCUCCUCUUCUCUGCAAUGAACACAUUAUUUCAUAGCUUCUACCAAUAGCCUCCUUCCUUGUCUAAACAACUUAAACAACAAUUUUCACUUGAACCACCGAUUCAUUGUUUGUCAUUUAACACCACAUUCAAAGAGAAACCUCAAAUCAAGACGGUGUCAGAUAAUCCGUGCCGCUAGCUUUUAUUGCAACAAGAACUCGAAAGAAAAACAGAAUAACUCUUUUUUCCGCACCAAUUCUUGUUCAAGUAAUAAACCCCACAUAAACUCCAUCCACACUAGAGACUCAGAGAAACCUUUGAUCGAGAAUUCCAUAAAACAACUCAAUACCUCACUCCAAACCCCAGUGCUUGAUCAGACUGACAUAAGUGCACUGGAACAAAUCCAGAGAGAGAGAGAGAGAGAGAGACCUGGUUUUAGUGGUGAAAACACCGCGAACAACCAUGAAGGAGCGACUCUGAGCUGCAUGAGCUCCAUGCAUCCACAUGAGAGAAUCUUGAAGGGGAGAAGUAAUGCUGCUCUUCAAGAAAAAACUGGUCUCUUUACUUGGUUUUAGGUAUGAAAAUGCACAUGGCUGUGUCUCUUUUGCUUUUAUAUUUAUGCUUAAAUAAAUCAAGUUUGAGGUUAUAUGACCAAAAUGAUCGGAAGAUGCCUACAUAUGAAUUUCCGAUGUAACCAGACCAAAUGAAUGAUUUUAGAAUGCCAUUAUUUUGGGUUCAAAAUUCUUCCAAAUGAGAAACUACCGUCUUCUUGGAAACCUUUUCAUUGAAACUCUUGGCUGCAGUUGACAGAUUAUUUUUUGAUUCCACGGCAUUUGCUUUUUCCACGAAAAAAGUCUCUCCCAGUCACAAAACUGUAGCUUGAAGUGGACAUCUAAAUGGUAAUCUUGUUAACAAAUCUCAUUUUAUGCUUGACUUCACAUAUAAAACCACCUGCACAUGCAGUCUUCCUCCAAGUGAUUUGUGAUGCAGCCUUUGCUAAAGAAUAGCACGAUUUCAACCUUGCAAAGGACUAAUACACCACAUGAGAAGAGGUCGCCUUAUAUCAAGAACCUUUGAAGAGUAUUAACAACAUGGAGCAAAUGACAAAUGCCAAUGGCAAAGAACUUCAAAAUGCCUUUCUAUACUGACAUAGCUCAUUCUUGCCCUUAUCUAAACCCCGUGGUGUUUGGGGACUUCCUCCGAAUUUCAUCAAAUGCAGCUUUAAUCUGCACAAGGAAGAUAGCACUGAGUAAUUAUCAAUAAAUGAAGAUGUCCAAGAUCGUAGCAUCAGAAUUUACCUCAUGAGAGAUUAAGGUACAAAUGCAUAAACAUCGACACCAAUCAAAGUUGGACCACAAUGAAAGGUAACUUCAUUAGCUGGCCAAUGAAAAAGAAACCAACAAGCUUAAAAGAAGUAAGCAAUUAGCAACACUUUCCCAGUUUGUGUUUAGGAACAGAAUUGAAAUUAAUAAAAUUAUGCUGAAAAGGUGAAGUGCCUAAACUACAUAACAGAAAGAUGCAUUUCCUACUUGGUUAUUUUGCAAGAUCCAAUUAGCAAAAUUAGCAAUACUGAUCGUUUGCAAAGAGGUCAAUUUCAACUUUACAAAUCCAAUGCCACAUACAUGAGAAUUGAGCUUGUCAAACCUAUAUAAUAACAUUCAGAGGAUAUCAUCACACAAAUAAACUGAUAGAAAUGGAGGAGCCUAGCAAUGCAUACCUCCCUCUGCAUAGCAUCAUCAAUUCCAGAGUGAUAUCAUUAGACUGCAACCGCAUCAAACAACUCUGCAUCAGGGUAAGAUACAAAAACUCAUCAACUUAGUGUUUGAUUAAAGGAGAGCUAGAACCUAAUGAGCAUACAUAAAGCAUAUUUAAUUGAAAAAAAAUACAUGUACAAUCAUUUAGGGAUGUGACAUUGAGAUCAGAUCAAGUGUUUUGGAUCUUCAUGAGUAUCAAAACUUCCUUAGGACACUCCAGUCGGCCCCAAAGCCUCUUCAAGUUUGGCACGCAAGAUGGUCCUCAGCUGUUGCUGAUGCUUCCUCUGCAAAAUCCCUUUUCUUUAUUUUGAUCAAUCUCAAGUAUGGAAUUUGAAGUUCCUCAGCCAAGUGAGCCACACCCAAAUCAGUCAUGUAAUAAAGCAAUUCCAUGGCAAUAAUAGGAUCAAAUGGUAUGCAAACUAAUUAGCAAAUUCUUGAGCUCCUCAUCCUAGCUUGUUUCACGACGGGCAAAACAUUGUUCAUUAAUGCAAAAGUCAUCGAUACAGUUAAUCGAACUGAAGUCCCAAAGUAAGCCUUGAUCAUUACACAGACCAACCAAACCUGUCAUGGAAGCAGAACCAAUUUACCUUGCUUAAUAAUAUUCAAAACCAUAGUUUGACUACUAGUAAUGUUAAGGUGGCGUACAUUCAUAUAUGACAGACUAGCCAAAACUACUUUAACAUUUUUUUUUAUCACAAACCAAAAACACUUGAUAUGUUUUAUUUUAGCUCACUUCAUCAUACUUAAUGGGAAUCGAUGCUAUUCUUAGAAGGUUCAAGAGGAACAUCAAGGGAACAAUAAGAAACUUGACAGGGUUUCUGUUCAUUGCGGAAAACCAAUAUGUUUGUCUCAAACAGGACAUUUGCCAUUAGUCAAAUUUCACACAAAAGAACUCACAAAGUAACUCAAAAUGGCCAAGGAUUUUUUCAAAGAAAGUAUUAAUUAUGGACAGGGAAAUUCUGGGUGUAGUUUAAAAUAUUGAGUAGCAGAAGUUCAUCAGCCUCGAUUUGAAAAUUUCAAAUCCCAGGUUUACUUAUGGAGGAACUGUUAAAUCACUAGAGAAUUCUUGUUUACCUUUGCUUGAUAUUUUCAUCCUUGCCUCGCAAGCUGCUAAUCUGUUUGUAGUCUGCAGAAGCUGCCAAUGGAAGGAUAAACGAAAAUAUUGCUACAUCGUAACCGACAGCAAUAUGUGUAGGCAAAUUUGGAGUUUCCAAAAUCAAUCAAAUAGAUACCCAGCACAGAGCAAAUCAUUCUGAAAGAAAUUAAAAUAAAACUUUAAGAAAACUAUUACUCUAUUUGCUCACGCUGGCUAUUCAAGGAUGGAGAAUCUUACUAUGCCUUCUAUUGACAUUUGGGUCUAUAUUUUGAUCUUGGCUGAAGCAUCAUGUAUGACCAACUCCCCCAUUCCUUCAAUUAUGACAGAACCCUGUCAUGGAAGACCUUCUUGUCAAAAGAAGAUGGGGAUGAAAAGUAGGCCAUGAAUCUUAGAAGAAAAAUGAUUGUUAACUGCUUAUUUACCUCUGUUGAGGAAACAUCACUCCAAAAGUCAAAAGACAGCUCUCGCUCAUAAUUUCUAAAGACACGCAUCUCAGUAUUGCUUCCAAUGAGUCACAAUCAGAAAUAUCCAAAUCAAUUAAAUCCAACUUUUCAAGUCCCCAAAGCUAAGGAGGUUUCUUGCUGUCUCAAACUCUUAGAGAUCCUAACUUCUCACAUCCCAUCAAAUCUGGAAAGUCUCUAUUGAUUUGCAUCCUGUAAAAUCCAAGUCUUCUAAGAACUUCGCACCAUCAAGACCUUGAAUUUCGACUAUAUUGUCGCACCCGACAGCCACUAAUUUCUUCAGAGACCGUGAUUCUGGACAGAGAAGCCUUUUAAUGGAAUUGCAAUCAUAUAUAAAUAUGACCUCCAAGAAUGCCAAAUUAUCAUGCCCUGAAUUUCAACUAGGCUAUUGCAAUGCUCAGCAUGCAAUCAUUUCAGACGAAUCAAUUGUGAAAGGUUCAAUCUUUCAAUGGAACUACAUUUUUCUAUGGAAAAUCUCGAGGGAAGGCAACUCACCAAUUUCACUUUUCAGACAACAGCACAAUGAGAUACGUAGAGUCUGCAGAUUUUUCAGCCUUCCAAUCGCAUUGGGAAGCUUUUCGAUCGCAAAAAAACUCAAAUGAAGAUGUUGCAAAUUCUGUAAAUGCCCAAUUGAGCUAGGGAUUUCUCUCAGAGACUCACAACCAUAAGCGCUCGAUUUCUUCAACUUCCUCAGAGAACCAAUAGACGUGUUCAUGGUCAUCAAGAGAGAAAAAAAAUCCUUCCCAUCCGAGAAAGGGGAGAGGUUGAGAGAGAGAUAGAGAGAGAGAGAGAGGGGGGGGGGGAGAGAGAGAGAGAGAGAUUGAGGACACGGAUGGACCCGUGGUCGCCGAGCUACCAGUCCCAUGGAGUUGGCCAGAGUCUAGAGAUCAUGACGAUUCAAACUCUUAACCAAAACCAGAUGUACUUAGCCAAAUCCCGGCCUCGCAUGCUCGAACACGCUUCACCCCCGCACAGACUAGACAACGUGAAGGAGUCGGCGAUAAAAGCAUCGUGGUGGAAUGAUCCAGAGAAGAAGAGGAAGAGGAGGGUGGCCAGAUACAAGCUUUAUUCGGUCGAAGGCAAGUUCAAGGCUUCUUUCAAAUAAGGGUUCCGAUGGUUGAAGCGCAAAUGCUCGACCUUCGCACGUCGAUUCUAAUUAGCAUAAAUUAAGGAAUACCGUGUCCAUCGUCAUCAAGAGAGAAAAAUGGUGAGAAAGAGGAAACAGAGAGAUUUGCUGUGCUAUUUGGGUGUUCAUCUUUAUAUGUAUCUAAUGGUGAUCAAAUAUUCAGAAGGGUGCCGCUAAUGUUCAAUCUUUCUGAUAUAAUGUUCAUCUGACUCAUUGUUUCAUUCAUCGAUCUCCAACAUUCAAAACAUAGGCAAAUGAGACAACUCGUACGUGAUAGUAAUAUAUAUUUAUAUUUGCCAAUUUUUCUUUUUCUUUUCUGAAUUUUCUUACCUUCUAAUACAUUUGUAACAGGAUUUUGCAUCCAUGCCCAUGCAAAUUAGAAUUGUCUGAUUUGUUCAAUUCUCCUCUUUUCUGUAAGCUCUUUUCCUUAUAAAUGUGAUGCUGAUUGCAAAACCAGAUGGAUACUUGUAUUUGUAGGAUUGACAUUACCAUCUAUUUUGUGGUCGAUUUUGUUGGGUACGAUUUUGUUUUGGCCGAAUGUUGUCUACGCCUUGUUUCUGGGGUUCUUUAACCCCCCCUAAUUUCCUCAAUUUGUCUAGUUCGAUUCCUCUUCGUUGUACAAUUCAUCAUAUGGCAACAUAUAUUGCUGUAGUAGAUAUUCUAAAAUGACAUGCACCGGUGCUAAACAAAACGAAAGGCUUUCGAUGGUUCCAUUUUGAUUUGAGGACAAUUUUUCAUAUUUCGAAUGCCGUCCCAUUGAGACUGGAGUUACGAAAAUGUGGAAAACUGAAAAGCCCAAAGGGAACCCUCUUUAAUUCUAUCAAAACUUGCGUAGUUAAUGUUCAAAUGGUCGUAAUUUAUAGGAUCUUGAUGUAAUAUGUGAUAUAACUUUCAAAAACAAGGUGAAAACGAAGGAGAAGGAGAGUAUGAAAACCCAUGAGCAGAACCGAACUGAUUCACCAGGUUUAACACCUUCAUCCAGUUAUCCAGUCGAUUCACAGUUUUCAAAUUUUAAAUCAAUUCAGCCGAUAAGGUUGUGACUAAAAUCCUAAAAGUAGUCAAAACACAUAGCCAUUGCCCUUUAGAAUAAUGGCUUAGACAAUGGUUAAGCAACUUAGCAAAUAAACUGUAGACUCAACACAUCGACUUUACUUGUGAUUUUUCUUGUGAAAUGUUCAAUCGAUAUUCUGAAAUUUAAUUAUUUCACAUUAAGUAUGUUUAACAAGUAUUUCAACACGACCCACACUAUAUUUGUGUUAAUAAUUAUAGAUUCGAACUUGGCUUAAAAAGCUACCUGGCCUUACAAGCUACUUGGCCUUGUAUUGAGCUCCGGAAAUAUUGAGUUUCAGUUCAAGUAGACAAGCAGCGAAUCAGACAGAGUACCUUGCCAGUAGCUUUCAGCCUUUCGACUACUAAAAUUCCACCAUUGUCAUCUAGUACAAGGGUACAGGAGUAUCAAAGAGUGACCUCAAAGAAAUUGCUUCGAUUGAGGCUUCAAUGCGUGACUGGUUAACACAAUUUGGUUUAGUAGAGUCUGAUUAUUAACCAAUAAGAUGACCCUUUUAAAGUUUUUUGUUCAAACCAAAUGAGUAAAUUUUGGGAAUGGCCUUUUCACCCUUCCAAAAAUUUCCCACAUUUUUCAAUAGUCUUCAAUCAUAGCCUACGCCAGAGAAAAAUAGGUUUCAGAUAUGAAAAUGUACAUGGAUGUGGCUCUUCUGCUUUUAGAUUCAUGCUUAAAUAAAUCAAGCUUGAGAUUAUACGAUCAAAACGAUUGCAAAAUGCCUACAUAUGAUUUUUCAAUGUAACCAGACUAGGAAGAUGAUUUUACACUGAUGAGUGCUUUAUUUCGUGUUCAAAAUUCUUUCAAAUGAGAAAACUACUGUCUUCUUGGAAACAUUAUCGUUGAAACUCUUAACUGCAAUUGACAAAUUAUUUGCUAAUUCCAUGGCAUUCGCUUUUUCCACAAAAAGAAUCUCUCCGCCACAAAAUUAUAGCUUGAAGUGGACAUCUAACUGGUAAUCUUGUUAGCAAAACUCAUUUUAUGCUUAACCUGCAAAUGCAUUCUUCCAGCAAGCAAUUUGUGAUUCGGCCUUCGCUAAAGGAUAGCACGAUGUCAAAGCUCGCCAAGGCCUAAUGCACCAUAUGAGAAGAGGUCACCUCACAUCCAGAAUCCUUUGAAGAGUACUAACAACACAAACACCAACAGGAUAGAACUUCGGGAUGACUUUCCAUAAUGACAAAGCUCAUUCCUGCUCGCAUCUCCAUCCCAUGGUAUUUGGGGACUUUCUCCGAGUUAAAUAAAUUGCAGCUUGAAUCUACACAAGACGAAUAGCACUGACUAUAAUCAUCAGUAAUGAAAAAAACCAAGAUAUGUAGCAUCACAAUUUACCCCAUCAAAGAUAAGGUACAAAUGCAUAAACAUCAUUUCCACCAGUUGGACCACAAUGACAGACGCUUCAUUAGCUGGCUGAUGAAAUAGAAAACAACAGACUUGGAGAAGUAAGCAAUUAGCAAUACUUCCCUUGUUUGAGUUUAGGAACAGAAUUGAUGCUAACGGAAUGAUGCUGAAAAGGUGUGAGUGCCUAAACUACAUAACAGAGAGAUGUAUCUGUUACUUGGGUAUUUCACAAUAUCCUAUUAACAAAAUCAGCAAUACCGGAUAGUUUGCAAGGAGGUCAAUUUCAACUUUACAAUUCCAAUGCCGCAUACACAUGAGAGAUGAGCCUAUCAAAUCAAAAACCUACAUGAGAAUAUUUACGAGAUAUUAUCACACUAAUAAACUGAUAGAAAUGAAGGAGAUUGUCAUCAUGCAUACUUGCGUACUAAUUUCAGGUGAAAUUACAUAGCUCAUAUAUUCUAAGCACACAAGUAAGUCUUUCAUAGUACAACUAACACUGCAUAUCUCUCCCUUCAGAGCCUCAGCGAGUUGAGGAGUGAUAUAUUUAGAAUGCAACUUUAUCAAACAACUCUGCAACAGGGUAACAUACAAAAAGUCAGCAGCUACGUGUUUGAUUAACGGAGAGAUAGAACCUAAUGAGCAUACAAAAAGCAUAUUUAAUUGAAAAAUAUACAUUUACAAUCGUUCAGGUAAGUACUGUUGACAUGAUCAAGUGUUCGGAUAUUCACAAGCAUCAAAACUUCCUCAGGACACUCCAGUUGGCCCCAGAGCGUCUUCAAGGUUGGCACAGAAAAUGGUCCUCAGCUGUUGUUAUGGAAUUGAAGUUCCUCAGCCAAGUUAGAACUAGUAAUCAUGUUAACAAAUCUCAUUUUAUGCUUCAAUUCACAUAUAGAACCUCACAUGCAGUCUUCCUGAAAGUGAUUUGUCAUUCAGCCUUUGCCAAAGGAGAGGACAAUUGCAAAGGUUGCACAGGACUAAAACACCACAUGAGAAGAGGUCGCUUUAUAUCAAGAAUCCUUUGAAGAGUAUUAACAACACGGAACACAUGAUAAACGCCAUUAGCAAGGAACUUCAAGAUGCAUUUCCAUAAUGACAUAGCUCAUUCCUGCAGUAUUUUGGGACUUUCUCCGGGUUUCAUGGAAUGCAGCUUCAAUCUACACACGGAAGAUAGCACUGACUAAUUAUCAAUAAAUGAAGAUAUCCAAGAUCCUAGCAUCACAAUUUACACCAUGAGAGAUAAGGUACAGUUGCAUAAACAUCAUUGACACCAAUUGCAGUUGGACGACAAUGAACAGAGACUUCAUUAGCUGGCUGAUGGAAAAGAAACCAACAGGCUCAAAAGAAGUAAGCAAUUAACAACACUUUCCCUGUUUGUGUUAGGAACAGAAUUGAAGUUAAUAAAAUUAUGUUGAAAAGGUGAAGUGCCUAAACUAUAGAACAGAAAGAUGUAUUUGCUACUUGGUUAUUUUGCAAGAUCCAAUUAGCAAAAUCAGCAAUACAUGAUUGCUUGUGAGGAGGUCAAUUUCAUCAUGCAUACUUUUGGCCUAAUUUCAAGUGAAAUUCCACAGCUCAUAGAGUAUCGGCACACAAGUUAGUCUUUCAUGGUACAACUAGCAGUGCAUACUUCCCCCUUCAGAGCCUCGUCAAGUUCAGGAGUGAUAUCAUUAGAAUGCAACUGUAUCAAGCAACUCUGCAUCAGGGUAACAUAUAAAAAGUCAAAAGCUAUGUGUUUGAUUAAUGGAGAGGUAGAACCUAAUGAGCAUACAUAAAGCCUAUUUAAUUAAAAUAAGUACAUUUACAAUCGUUCAGGUAUGUGUUGUUGAGACAAGAUCAAAUGUUUGAGCAUUCACACAAAUCAAACUUUCCUUUGGACACUCCAGUUGCCCCUAAAACGUCUUCAAGGUUGGCACACAAGAUGGUCCUCAGCUGUUGCUGAUGCUUCCUCCGCAAAAUCCAUUUUCUUCAUUUUGAUUGGUCUCAAGUAUGGAAUUUGAAGUUCCUCAGCCAAGCUAGCCACACCCAAAUUAGAUGAUGAAACAAUUCCAUGGCAGCAAUAGGAUCAAAUGCGAUGCAAACCAAUUAUCAAAUUCUUGAGCCCCUCAUCCCACCUUGUUUCACAGACCAGGCAAAAAUUGUCUAAUUAUGCAAAAGGUCAUCGACACGGUUGAUUGAAUUGAAGUCCCAAAGUAAUUCUUGAUCAUCGCAUAGACCAACCAAACCUGUCAUAGAAGCAGCACAAGUUUACCUUGCUUGAUAAUAUUUCAAAACAACAGUAUGACUACUGGUAAUGUUAAGGGGGUCUACAUUCAUAUAUGACAGACUAGCCAAAACAACUUUCAACAUUUUCUUUAUCACCAAACAGAAACACUUGAACCUUGAAUUUUAUUUUAUCUCAGUUCAUCAUAUUCUGAGAAGCGAUGCUCUUCUUAGAAGGUUAAUGAGGGACAUCAAGAGAACAAUAAGAAACUUGACGGGGGUUUCGUUCAUCACAGAAAAUCAAAACGUGUUUGUCCCAAUCAUGAUAUCUGCCAUUAAUCAAAUUUGACAUACAAAAGAACUUACAAAGGAACUCAAAAUGGCCAAGGAUUUUUUUCAAAGAAAAUAUGAACAUUGGACAUUGGGAAAUUCUGG
This 119886-nucleotide long non-coding RNA is filed under the name Eucalyptus grandis. RNAcentral describes it as "long non-coding RNA (EGRA_LNC000889)". The record is from RNAcentral. Lineage: Eukaryota; Viridiplantae; Streptophyta; Magnoliopsida; Myrtales; Myrtaceae.